RNAcentral lists this long non-coding RNA (100582 nucleotides) under Gossypium raimondii (Peruvian cotton). Its description in RNAcentral is "long non-coding RNA (GRAI_LNC007194)". The stretch from base 98329 to 98473 matches the Rfam family "MIR7502 microRNA precursor family". Lineage: Eukaryota; Viridiplantae; Streptophyta; Magnoliopsida; Malvales; Malvaceae. The record is from RNAcentral.
UUUUUUUUUUUUUUUAUAACUAAUUCGGUCAUUAAACUAAUGUCUCAAUAGCUAUAACUCAGUGUUGAAUUCAAGGAUAAAAGUUAAUUUAUAGAUAUCCUAAUGUUAUCAUAUCUAAUGUGAAUUAAUUAAGUGCUCAUUUAGCCUCGUUGUUACUUAAGUUUGAUACCAAACCUAGGUGUCAUGAACAAUCAUGAGAGCUAAAUAUAUAUUUAAUCUAUUCUGAAUGAAUCAAAUAUAAAUCAUGUUUUUUUUUUUCAAGUAUAGUUUUAAAAAAAUAAAUAUCCAACUUAAACUCUUACCGCAAAGAAUAAGCAACUAAUUACUCAGAAUCUCAAAUACCAUACUAUUAUAUCCCAUGUAGCGAACUUUGUGGACUUUCUAAUAUAUUUUGUAGAUCUCAUAGUGUACUCAUAGAGAACUAGACAUGUGUUUCCCAACUGAACUAACGACACUACAAAUCUAGGGUUAAUUUGUGAACCUCAAGUUGGAGAACUUUGGAAUUGGACGUCGCUAUAUGACGACCACAUGGAGAGUUAGGGUAAUUGAUUGCUAACCACUAUACUUGGAACACGUAUCCAAAUUUAUCUCCCACUAUGAAAGAGUCACGCAAAUAACUCACACAGACUCGCUACAUUCUCUCUUCCCCAAUUCCCUUAUUUUUCCAUAACAAGAACCUCUCUCCCAACUUUCACCUCUCCUCCUCCUCUUUUAGUUACCAUCUUCUUUUGUUCACUUUCAUUAAUUAACACAUAGAGAUCAAGAAUGGAAGAAUUAAAAUCAAAUCCAAUUAAAAAAUAGUCAAAUGAACAUUAUAAUAUAAUAAUAUAUUGGUAAUGAAAUUCUUUUAAUUCCAUAAUUCAUACGUAUAUAUAUUUAAAUUUUAAACUGAUUUUAUUAGUUUAAAAGUACCUUAAAACAAUUUUAAUUUAUAUAUUUUUGUACAUUUGUAAUGUGAUUAUGUUUAUAUUUUAAUUAUAUAAUAGAAUCAAACUCGUGUAAGAAAAUGAUGAAAUGCAUUAAAAAUUCAUUUAAAAAUAUUGUGACAAGUUAGCUUAUAACGUAAACAGACCAAAUAGACAUCGUGUGAUGCCGAGUGGCGAGGCUAACGGAAUGGAGUAAGGUUUAAAGUUAUAAUUCCUAAAUAGAAAGUCAAUGGCAGACAAUUACGAUAAUUAAAGUAAAUUAUUAAUCAAAAAAAAUGGAAUUUAAGCAUCUUUGAUUGAUUGGACGAGAGCGAAAUAUAAAAUGGGAAGAGAUAGAGGAACAGCAUGUGACAUGUUUGGGAGGUAGGUAACCGAAUCUUGUAUUUAAACAAAAAGAAAAUACCAUUAAAAAAACUACAACAUUUCGUUAGUUACAAGUAGAUUUAUUAUGUAAAUUAUUCUUUAAACAAUCUUAGUAUAAGUUGUUAUCGUGUUUAUUUUUCUUGAUAUAAUGUUUAAAAUUAUUCACAGUAUUUUCUCAACUCAUAAAUAGGAGGAUAAUGUACUUCAUCGCACUCGAACUCACAUUUUAUUAUAUUGAUAACAGUAUCCAUUACAAUUGAACUAAGGUUCAAUCGACUAAUUAUAUUUAUUGUUUAGUUAAAAGCAUUGUAUUGAUAAAGUAUACUUUAAAUGUAGUUAAAGAUAGGUAGUUGAAGAAAAACCAAAAGAGGGUAUAGUAGGGAAGAACAUGGGGACAUGUGGUGAUACAGUUAGGUAGAAGAAUGAGAUUCCAAUCCAGCAUUAAUGGGGGAAGAGAAAUGGGCACCCAAACAUGGCCUCACCUCCUUUUUAAGAAAAGUCGAUUUUAUUUAAUUUUAGCCAUACCUAAGCUGCUGCGUAAUUCCUCUUGUUUCCUUUGCUUUCACACCAACUAAAAUAUUUUUAUAUUUGGAUAGGUUUUACAGAUUACACGCUACCUAGUAAAUUGGGAUAUAUGGCUCAGCAUAUUGGACCUUUUUACCUUCCCUGCCCGCAUCUGAUAAGUGUCAUUGUUGGAGGCCAUAAUCGGUGGCCACAAGCUAGUAAGGUCUUUUCGGCUCAGUUUGGUAUACCGAUUGCCUUAAGGAUGGUUAUGAAUUGACCUUAGCUUAGGCCUGCCAAUAUUUAAUUUCCCACAGUGUAUUGUUGUUUGUGGUGGACCAAGAGCUUGCCAUGUACUUUGGUCUACGCAUCUACAUUUCAUUCAACCUCAUUUAUCCCUCAAGUUGUUCCUAAGGUCCAAUUAUAGCAUUAUGUGUUUAUCUUCAACAUACUAUCCUUAUGUGGCACAUAAAAAUUUUCGUUCUUUUUAUUUUCAAAUUUUCUUUAAACAAAUAAUUAUAUUAUAAAAAUUAAAAAUAAUUGAAUAACAAUAAUGACGUAAACAUCAAUUUUACGUUACAAAUUUAAAACAUUAACAAACUUAACUAUGUAAGUUAUACAUUACAAAUUCUUUUUUUUUUUCUGGAUUUAAGUUGGGCUUGAAUCGAUUGAUUAGUCUGUUUAAAAUUAGACUUUUGUUCUAGUUUAGACUAAAAACAUAAAACUCGACUCUAUUAAUUUAAUCGAUUCUCGAUUCGUGAUUCAGUUGAUCGAAUCCCUUUCUUAAAACUAACAUAUCAAUCAAUUUUUAGUUCCACCAACUGAAGCUAAACAACCAUGCUGCUGGUAAUACUAGAGGACUACUUUUUGCUCAUCCCUUCCAACCGACUAAGCUAUCAUCCAUGACGAAGGCUAACCUUUAUAAUAGUCUCUGUCUUGGGCCUUUUCCUUCAACUAGGCAUAGAAGGAUGUUGAAAAAGUUUGGAUGCUAGAUAUUUAUAUUUUUAUAUACGUAUGCAAAAAAUAGUUAACUAACCUAAAAAUUACAUAUAAUUUAUAUAUAUUAAUUUUUUUUAAAAAUUAAAAUUUAUAUUUCAUUAUACCACAAUAUUAAUAAUGAGUUACCAUAAAUUACUUUAUUAUAUUUCUACUGUAAUCUAAGUUGAAUAUUUAUUAAUAUCAAAAUAAUAAGUUGGCAUCGUACUAACAAUAACAUGUGAAAAUGAUUAUACUUUAUAUUUGAGUCAAUUAUAAUUUUUUUGUAAUUAAUUAUAACUUAAGUUUAUAUAUUUCAUGUAUUACCUAUAUCAUAAUAUUAAUUACUUAAUAACUUAUUUUUAAUAUUUUUAUUAUAAUUAUUUCAUAUUAUUAUUUAUCUACUUUACACCAUCAUGUUUAAAAUAGAUAUUUUAUUUUCUCAAAAUCACUUUUCAACCUCAAUGAUAAAUGAACCCUUCCUCUAUUAUUUUUAUGAUUUUUUUUUACUAUUUCCUUAUUUUUCAAAAAUCUAUAAAAUUAUGAAUUUUUUUUAUAAUUUUAAAAGUGAAUAAGAUUUUGGAAUUUUUAAUGAUUAUUUUUUUGCAAUUUUCAUUUAAAAUAAGUGGAGAAGUUAUAAGAUUUGAUUGACAUCGACGUCAUUUGUAAUGAAAAAUGGUGGAUAGAAUGAACAUACAACAAAAUGAGUUGAGUGAUAAUUGGUUGUAUGAAAUAAGAAAAAGAGAAAGUCAAUUCUGUCGUAUUUUAACCGUAAGGAGAAAGAGGUGAGUGGAAAGACAACAUAAAGGAUAAGAACAAAGGAAAAUAUGGAUAUGGUAAAGAAAAAGGGGUGGUGGAGGUUUGGUAGGAUUAGGAUUUGGCUGACGUUGCAUUUUGCAACAACUUUUGUCUCUUCUCCACCCCUUCUCUUUCUUUCAAUUUUUUAAUAAUCAAUAAAUCUUUAUAAAAAAUUAACACAUGAUAAAAUUUUAAAUAAAUAAAAUAUAUUGUAAAUAUAUCAAAUACUAACCCAUAUUAAAAAUUAAAAUGAUUUAUUAAUCAUAUAUAAUAAUUUAUUUGAAAAAAAAGAAGAAAAUACUCUGAAUCAAAUAGUUUAUAAAAGUAUAAUAAAUUAUUAAAAGUAAAUAUUUACAAUAAAAAUAUACAUAAUAAAUUUUAAAAACUAUUUGUGAAAUAAAAAAAAUACAUUAUCUUUAAAAUUACAUUAUUAUAAACAUUGGUCAUUGGACACAAUAAUAGCAGAAUCAUUGUAUAAAAGAAAAUUGGAUUUAAAUCCUAAAGAAAGAAGAAAAAGGCAGUAAUCUAGAAGGUCAGGCGAAAAACCCAUUCUUCUUUUCCUUCUCCUUCUUGAGACCACAGCAAGAAAGGAAAGAACCCAUUACCAGCGACCAAUGCUUUUGUUCCUUAGCCACAAUUCUAUCAUUUGCUGAUUUGAUAGAUUGUGACUGCAUCAACCACUCAGCCUUGUAGAUAACUAUCUCCUUCUUAUAUAAGAUAAUUACUAAUAUAAAACAGUAAUUUUAUGUCUUUAUUUUGAAUCAGUUUUUUUAUUUAAAAAAAUUUAAAUAUAAAUUAACAUCCUAAAAUUAAGGAUGAAAUUAUUAAUGUGACAUAAAAUUAUUAGAAAGAAAUAAUAUAUCUGUUUCAUACAAUCAUUUUUCAUUAUAUCAAUGUUAUAAAAAUCAAUCUCCCAUCGAUAUAGUAGUUAUAUUUAACAAUUUAAAACUUUAUUACUACAUCUCCAAAAAGUAUUAUUUAUUCAUCUAUAUGAAUUAAUAGCAAAUUAAAUUUAAUUGGUAAUUUAUAAUUAUUCAUAUGACUUAUGCUAAGAGAAAAGGAAUUUUAUUUUACUUUAUUUUAUUUCAUGAGGUUUUAUAUUUUGCAAAAACUUUUAUUUAUCUUUUCAAUUUUAAUUUUAAAUUUGUAUUAAUUAUUCUUUAUUUCAUGUUUAAUUAUUAUAAUACACAAAUAAUAAAUGAGUUCCGUGCGUAGAUGAAAAAUAGUAUGUUUCAGUUUGUUCAUUUGUCAAAUUAAUUAAAUAGUUAUAAAUAAGAUUUAAAAUAAAUUUAUUAUAUGAGUUCCACACAAACAAAGUUUAUUCAAUUUAUUUAUAUUCAUUUGUUAUCCCGUUUCGUUUCAAUAAAUAGUUUUAAUUAUAUUAAUUUUUUUUCAAAAAAAAUCUAACUUUUUAUUAAAUCAAAUGAGAAAUGAUUGUGUUAUAUAUAGAUUGUUUUACGUUAAUCUAUGGCUAUGGUCAUCUAAUAUUUUCAAAUUUAGAAUUAAAUAUCUACAUUUUAAUUCGACAUAAUUUAGUUCAUAUACAUAAUACUAUUAGUUAGUUAAAACAGUUGAUACCCUCAACUAAUUCAGUUAAAAUACUAAUGUCGAAUUUUUUUUAAGAAAUAUUCAUUCUAACUUAUUAUGUCGAAUUUUUUUAUGUGAUAGAAAAAAAUAUUUUUUUUAAAUUCACAUCAUCAAUUAAUCGAAAUAAUUAAGGAAGUUUAAUUAUUUAGAUUAAUUAAUAUAAAUGUAAAACUAGAGAAACCUAGUAGAGAGAUCAAAAUUGGAAUUCUACCAUUUUCGUUUAAUGACUUUUAGAAAAAAGUUAGUACACGUGUCAUUGGUAGAAGCUUUUUGGGCAUCCUUUUUUAUAUGUAGAGUAUGUAUUUUUAAACAAAUUUAUUUAUGACCUAUUUGAAACUAUGAUUUGGGUCAAAAGAUUGGUUGGAUAACAAAUAAAAAAUUGAAAUUAAAUUUAGAAAAUCUAAGUUUAAUUUUAUAAGAGUUAAAAUUUUUAUUUUAAAAUUUGGACUUUUCAAAAUCUAAGAUUCAUUAAAAAAAAUGAUAAUUUAUUUGUUCUCUCUAACCUAAAAAAAAACAAUUAAUUUUACUUAUAAUAUAUCAUCAAUGAAGCUUCAUAUAUAUAAUUUAGUAUAGUAUAAAUAUUAAAAUUUCCAUUUAUACCAUAACUUUUACAAUUUUAAUUUAUAUCUAUAUAAGUGCUCUUAUUUAGGUACAAACCAAAUUAUAUGAUUUUAUUCAGGUGUAAAUAAAAUAUAAAAGCCUUAAAUACAUAAUAGAAUGAGGUUGAGAGUUCUUUUUAAUAUUUUAACUUAAAAAAUUAUAAAAUUAUAAAAAUUAAAAGUUACAUUUUGUUGGCCAAGGUAUAAUUAAAAAAAGAUAUCUUUAAAAAAUAUAUAGAAGCAAUAAGUUCCAUCUUAAAUUCUUCAUAACAAAGUGGAAAAGCCAUUUUCUUCCUUCAAAAUCAAGGUUUUCAGAAUCGAUCUGAUGGUCGAAUAGGUUAGGCCACUGAUUCAUCAGUCUGUCCGGUUUGAUUAAAUAAAUCUUUAAAAAUUCAUAAAAAUAAAAAUAUAAAAAAAUAUUGUUCAACCGAUUUUUGUUCGGUUCAAUUGAUCAUUACCAGUUCCUGGGUCAACCGCUGUAGUGCCUUUCGUUGGAUCGGUACCCUAGCCAAUUCUUGAUUCAACUAGUCGAAUUGGUUACUCUGGUCCAAUUCAAGUAACCAUAUUCAAAAUCCUCCUAAAUAAUUAAAUUAAAAAAUAUUUUUAGGGGUGAGAAUUGGUUGAAAUCCAAACCUAAAUUUGAAUUACCCAAACAAUGAAUUUGGAUUAAUUAAAAAUCUUGAAUUUCAAAUAUUUUAAUUAAAAUAAAGAAUUUUAAAGGUAAAAUUUUGAAAUCCUAAUUCAACUAAAGGCUACCUUAUGAAUCAUUUAGGGUUUUAGAUUGUUUAAAGUUUUUUUUAAAAUUUAUUUAUUAUUUAAUAGGGGUACAAUACUAAAAUAUCUCAAGGGGUCAUCCAUUUUAAUAUUACUCUUGCCCCAAUAUGCUUAAUUUCGAAAUUAUGAUGAAAUUGAAUGCAUUACUGCAGGCUUCAUGUAUGUACAACAAUAAAAAGGUGGGGGAGCUGCUAACCAGAGAAGACACGAGCUAUUCAAACUCUGGAGGUAGUCAGCAGUGUCAAAGAACUGUGCCAAAGACAUCGGCAAGUGAAGAUUUCCCAUGUUCAUAGAGAGGCAAUAUGGUGGCACAUUACCUUGUUGGAUUGACAAAUUGUUGUAACCUUGGAAUCACUAGGUUUGAUUAACCUCCUCCUGGUGUCCAUAUAUUGCCCAGAUAGGAUGUGGAAAGAUAUGUACUAAGCGUACUUAGGCUCUUAUUAUACCUGUUGACACCAUUUUUUGGAUGAAAACGAGGUCGACUUGGGUUUUGAAAAUGAAAACUAAAAACGGGAGUCACCACCAAUCUUUUUUUGUAAGGUGUGAUCGGGUUAUCUCGAAAAGUAGUUGUUUUUAAUAAACGACUUAAUUUUAUCAAAACAACGAUUUUGGUCUACGGAAUUCAGAAAACGGGUUCGGGAGUCGGUUACGCACGAGGAAGGAUUAGCACACUCGAUGCGCCCAAAAUUGGUACCUAGCUGAUUAAUUAGUGUCUUAGUGUCGAAAAUUGAGAACUUUGAAGAAUUUUAAAAGUACGAUCCUCGUAUUAAAAUGUUAGAAAUUUUUAGGAACAUGGGCAUAUUUCACGUUAUUCGAGAAAGAAAACAUCAUAUCCAGUAAGUUAGGACACGAUGUAUCGAAUUCCCGAUACGUAAAAACUCCAAAAUUUUGUUCGUUGAAAAGAUAUUUUAAUCAUCUCAGGCUUGAAAACGUGAUCACGACCAGUAAGUUAGGACGUGUUUCUUUUUAAAAUCCCGAGAUUAUUUAAAACUUGGGUUAAAAAAAUUCAUGCAUUUAGAUUUAUUAUAAAAAUCGAAACCCAGUGAGUUAGGGUACGAUCUUUUCAAAUCUAAACACGAAAUAUAUAAUUUUUUAAAACAAAUUUUGUUAUAUCGAGUAAUAACAACAAUAUAAAAUAAAUAAAAGUCAUACUUACAAUCAUAUAAAAUAACAAUGUAUAUAAACAAAUAGAUUAAAACAUUCAUUCUCAAAUGAUAAAGAAAAUGAAAUAAAUAAAUAGUAAAUACAAUUAAAUGUAAAGAGACACAAACCAAAAUAUGUGUGCAUAUGUAUAUGUAUUUACAAAGGUUAGAGUAUAUAUAUAUAUAUAUAUAUAUAUAUAUAUAUAUAUAUAUAAUAAGAAAGGUAUACAUAAAUAUUACGAAACAUAAAAAUAUAUGUAUGUAGAUAAAAAUAUAUGUGGAUUAUAAAAAUGAAAUAAGAUAAUAUAUAAUAUAUAUAUUUUAAUACGUAAAAAGAGCAUACAUAUAUAUAUAAAAGAAACCAUAUAAAAUAUAUAAAUAUGUAUACAUAUAUUCGUAAAAAGAGGGGUUAUAUAGAUACACAUAUAAAAAGGUAUUUAUAUAUAUUAUAUAAGUCUAAAAAAGGGGAAAUAAUAAUGACAAUACUAUAUAUGUAUGUAUCGAAACUAUCAUAUAAUAAUAGUAUGAUAAAUAAAAAUAAUAAAAAUAAUAUUAUGAAUGACGAUAAUAAUAAAUGAUAAUACAUUGAAAAUAAUAAAGAAAAUGAUAAAAAUGCUAAAAGGGGACUAAAUCGAAGUAAAGUCUAAAAUAUGGGGCGAAAUCGAAAUAAAAAAACAAAAGGGACUGAAUUAUGCAGCUCGCCGAAAUAGGGGGACCAAAAUGGUAAAUACCCUGAAGCCCCAAAACGCUGCGCUUAGAUGUGGACUAAAAUGAACAAAAAAUAAAAUUUUGUGGCCAAACCGCAAAAUAAAAAGGUUCGGGGGCUGUAAUGAAUCACGCACAAAAUGUGAAGGACUGAUCGGGCGAUAUGCCCCAGCCUUGUAGCGCGCCACUUAUGCCCAGACUAAAUCGAGACAUGCAACAAAUUUGCGAGGCCAAUUUAAAUAAUGAAGAAACAAGCAGAAGGAUCAAAUUAAAACAAAACAAUAAUGAAAGGGAUUAAUGGCGCAAAUAGCCCAUUUAUCAGAAACGCGCGGAUCCCCUGGAGCGGGUCGGGUCGCGCGCGGAUCUUAAAGGCCAAAACGGCGCCGUUUUAAAUUUAAUAUAAAUACCAAAAAAAAUACUAAAAAAAACAGUUUCAUCUUCAUUUUCAACAAAAACAGAGAGAACUCUCUCAACACCCUCUCCCCAGGAACCGACCAAAGGCUCCGGCGCACCUCCGCCGUAGCUCCGCCGUAGCUCCGCCGUAGCUCCGCCGUAGACGGCAGCCGGAGGUGCAAAACAGAACCUUUCUUAGCCCCGCUUGAAGCCCACCCCCUUUAGAACUCGGAUUCAAAGCCGAAUCCUUUAAAAAACGAGUCAAAACCGAAAAGAAGAGAAGGAAUCCGUUCGCCUUCCCUCCUCUCCGGCGCGGCGCAGGUAAGGCUUCUUCUCAUCCCUUUUUUGUUUUCUAUUUGAUAUGCAAAAUAAAGAAAAUAAAUAAAAGAGGAAAAUGCGAAUCUGAUGUAAAAUAACAACCUGGAAUCCGUUUGUUUGCUUUUAUUUCUUUCUGCUAAUGUGUUCUCUUUUUUUUUUACAAAAAUCCCCCCUUUUACAUUUCACCACAUACUUGGCUUUAUAGCCGAAAGAAAAGAUGAAAAAUGCAGGAAAAUUCCCUCUUUUGCUACUGUUUUUCUAGUCUGUUUCCAUUUCUCUCUUUUUGCUACUUGUUUGCAGGUACAUGGCAAGGUCAACUUGCCAUUUCGGUGCAAGGCCGGCUGGUGGUGGCAGGCCUCGGGCGUGGUGCGCGCUGAAGGCUCACAUGGGUAGCAGCAGGGGAACGGCGCCAGAAACCCUAGGGUUUCUGGCAUUCUGAAAAUGUCAAACGUUUUGGGCCGUUUGGGCUUUUGAAUUUUGGGUUGUGGGUCUGUUAUUGUAAUUGGGUCAGUAAAUUUUUUUGGGUUGGUAGGUUCGGGCUAGGGUUUAUAUGGGCCCGGGCAAAAUAAGGUCUGUACAAUACCCAAAAAAAAUCACUUAGUAUUUAAAUAUACAUUUCUGCUAUUUUCAAUUAUAAACUUAUAGUAUAAGUACUAUUAUUUGUUAUCGUACGUAUAAAAGAUGUUCAUUUCCAAUUUUGGUUCCUAUAAUUUGAUAUUUUUAGUUUUACUUUUCAAAAUAUGUAUUUUUAGUUAUGAUACUAACCUUUUUCCCUUAUUUUCAUUAAAUUAUUUGACGUGUUUUAUUUUUUAAACAUUUUGGUGAUGUGAUAUAUACUUUGUUGUAUUCUUUUUACACCCAAAUAAAUAUUAUGCAUUUUCUCCUUUUUAAUAUUUUUUAACUGUGCAAAAAAGUUAUCAAGAAUAAAACAUAAUAAGGUGUAUUUCGUUAGAAUCAACAAAUCUGAUUUAAAACUUAAUAAAUCAGUACAUGUCCUAUCAAAUCAUCAAUAAUAAAUCAAAAAUAAAAUUAAACAUGGAAGCGUAUUUGAAUCUAUUAAUUUCUUGAAAUAUUUGAAUCUUGAGGUUUUGAUCUUCCAAAUUAGCACACAGGUAAUUUAGAGAAGGCGACUCUCUCUUUCCUAAAGAUGGGAUGUCAAAAAAGUUAAGUAUGUGUAAUUUGGAAACCAUAACACUAAUAUAUACCUUUUGCACAUUACCAUCAAUUAAAAAUUAGUUACUAGAGUAUCUACACAUAUUUGAUGCAUACUUUAUUUAAUAACUGAAGUUCAAUAAGUCUUAGCCAAAUUAGAUCAUUUUUAAUUUGAGCUAACCUUUUAUGAUAGUAAAUAUAUAAUAUGUAAUUAUUCUUAUUAUAUAUGUAAUUUAUUAUAUAUGUAAUGUCCAUACAAUCUAACAAUCUCCCACUUGGACUACAUAUAUAUAUACUAAUUACAUUAUAAUCACAUGUCAUUUUAUAAUUACAUUUUAAAACUUUAUUAUCAUAUCCAAAAGGCAUUCCAAAAAAUCUCAUCCAUUAAUUAUGUUAACAUUGAACUAAUGUGACCUUUGUUACAUAUAUCGUAACAAAAUCCAUCAUUGGUCACAAAUAUUAAUACAACCAAAUGACAUAGAUCUGUACGGAUGUAUAGCAUGGAAAUGCAUGCAAUGUGAUCUAAACAUGCCUAUUCCCAAGUGGUCCUCCUUAACCUUAGUGAGAUCAAACUUUACCAAAAUUAGAGUGUGAAUAAACUAAAUAGAUAUUAUUUCUGCAAAAAAAAUAACCUUAAAAUAUUUGUAAACUACAACAAUUAAGAAUGCGUCUAUAACAAAAAAAAAAAAUUAAAUUUACAAAAUCGCACUAAAAUUGAAUAUCCUAAAAUGACAUUACACCUAUAUAAGCAGCGUGCUCAUAAAAACCUUAGUGGUAGUCCCUUAGUAAGCGGAUCUGCAAUCAUAGAAUUUUUCCCAAUAUGCUUUAUAGACAUCUAACCACUUUGAACUCUUACUUUAAUAACAAAAAAUUAAAAUUUAUGUGCUUUUGACUUCGAUGUGCUCCUGUUGUUAUUGCAAUAAAGGGCUACAAAUUAUUGUUACAAUUUGCACCUUAGUGACAAAAAUUUUGCAUCCAUAUUCCAUUAAAAUCGAAGUCUGUCAAUUCCAAGAGAUUGGAUGAUGGAAAAAAUUAAUAGUUCUAAUACUUCUAAACCAGUUAGUACUAUAGAAUAUAUGUCAUCAGGCAAUAAAUUGUAUUUUAAAAAUAAUUGUAUAACAAAUACAAAUGAAAAUUUAGUUUUACCCUCUAGUUCUCAACCAGAUGAAGAAGAGGAUAAUAUUAGUACAAACAGUACACCAAUAGGAAUUAAAACUGUUCAAAUUACUAUAUUUCCUACUGAUCCUAGUAAUAAUUCUAGAAAAACUAGAAUGGAAGAAAUUCAAACUUCAACAAUUGAUAAAAAGUCAAAAGUUGGAAUAAAUAUCAAAAUCACAUUUCAAUUUAGAAAAUAUAAAAAAUAUUCUCUAAAUGCUUUUAUUGAUACUGGAGCUACAAUCUGUAGUUACAGAAGAAAUGCAAUUCCUGUAGAAAAAUGGGAAUUAAUGAAAAAACCUAUAAAAAUAAUAGGAAUAGACGGUAGUAAAACUAUUAUACAUUAUAAAGUAAAAAAAUUACCAAUCUACAUAAACAAUGUUAGAUUUGUGAUUCCUAAAAUUGUAUGUUUUCCUAACAUGAAAGGAGAUAUAUUAUUAGGAAAUAAUUUUAUAUGUAAAUAUUUACCUUUUACUAUAGAUAAAAAUUCUAUUUGGUUAUCGGAAAAAGAUGAUUUUAUAGAAAUUCCAAUUGAAGAAAAUAAUAAAAUUGUGUGUAAUAAAAAAUUUACACCUAUUAAAAUUAAUUAGUAGUUUAUUACUAAUAUUUGCUGAUUUUUUGAGCAGGCCUCAUGGAUAGAGGUAAACAGCCUCUAAAAGAAAUAGUCGGUGAAUGGACAGCCGUUCACAAAAAGCCCAACAAAGGGAAAGCAGAAUCAAACUCCAAAAAAGGAUUUGUAUCUGCACAGAUACCAUUUUAUCCUAACCAAGGAUAUUAUGUGUCCUGUCCAAGGGUAAACCAACCACUUGGAUCAAAUGUUUUAAAUUACCCGAUGGUAAACCAACCAAUGGGAAAUACUUUUUCAUUGACCCCAAAUACGGUGAGUCAAUUACAAUGGUCCCAAAAUCCGAAUUCAGUGUCACAAACAAGUUAUGCUGAAGUCAUUAAGGGAGCUGAGAAUUUGUUGAAUCAACAACAAAUUCAAGAAUUAAAAGAUCUUUCAAAAAUUAAAGAUUUUUGUAAUCCUGGUUUAUCACCAGAAAAUUAUGAUUUUAUAAAUGAGAUAUGGAAAACCCAUAUUUCAAAUCAAAGAGCCAAUUUCUGAAGAGCUCUUACCAAAUUUUCAUUAUUCUUAGUUGAAAAAACAACUAAAGAAAAUGAAGCUGAAGAUUUAUUAUUAAAAUCUAUUUUAUAUAGAGAAUGAGAUGAAUUCCAGUUAGAAUUCAUGGAUAUAAGGGAGAUAAACAAUCUUCUUGAUAUCAUUCAAUAUUUUAUUCAUAAAGGGAAAAACAAUUCUAUUAUGAAUAAAGUAUUUAGAAUCUGUUUAUAUAACAAAUCUAGACAGAUUUUACCGAUAGAAAUAUUCAAUAAAAUUAAUGGAAUUAUCUGUAACCAGCAGAAUCAAUUCCAAAAAGUUAUUAUAUAAACAGAAGGGCUUCCUGUUUUGUACGAUAGGAACUGAAGAGAAUGAAUAGCGAAAGUUUUUGUAUUUAUUUCCUUUGGGCUCAUAAUUUUCAAACCCAUUUAUUUAUUUCAAAAAGUGUUCUACACUUUCCAUCUAUGAUUUAACAUCAUAUUGAUCCAAUCCCCACCACAUCAACCUCUACUUUCUUUUCUUUUCAUUCUUUCUUUUUUUCUAAACAAUAUACAACGAAUAACACUUGAAUUAAUUCCAAACAAAAACAAUAAAUAUUUUUUAUUUACUUUAAUAUGGGAACUUAAAAUGAUCCAAUUUGAGAAUAUGGGUCAAAUCUACAAUUAUACGUAUAGUACAAGACUAAUGAUUGAAUUUAAUUAAAUAAAUUUGAAUAUUACUGUUUGGAAUAAGACUAAAAAAAUCAAUUCUAGAAUUAAAAAGAAACAAUUAAUCAAAUUUAGUACCGCCUCUAAAUUUACAACUUCUGUAAAAAAAUACAGAUUAAUAGUAAAAAUUAACAAAAAUUAAAUAAAGAUUUUCUUUAUAACAUCAUUUAGUUGUUUGAUUAAUAUAGUGCUAAACGAUGUUAUAAAGAAAAUCUUUGAUCAUAAAAAGAUAAAAUAGCAAGACAUAAAUUCAUAAUUAGACGUUAAGGGUAUGUUUUGGUGAGAGGUUUGAGAAGAAGAUUGUAUGAAACUGUGAUUUCAUAAUAAUUUUAUUCAUUUUUAAUAGGAAAAAUGAUAAAUUAGAUUUUUCCUUUUGAAUUUUAGUAUUUUUAGUUGGAUUUGAAUUUUGUCAAGAGAAAAAAGCUGAAAGUUAGGAGAAAAAAAUUUAAUUUGUCAUUCUUUUAUUGGAAAGUGACAGAGAUAACGUGAAAUCACUGUUUCAUACAAUCCUUAGCCAAAGUUUGGUGGAGUAAUUUUAAGCUUUAUUUGGCUUUUCAAUUUAAAAAAAAAAUAUUUUAGUUUUUAAUUUAAAUUUUCAUCUUUUCUAAUUUUAAAUUUGUGUUUUUGUCAAACCAUCUCAAAAUAGAUGGAAAUUUUAAUAUUAUCACAUGGAUAAAAACUUAAAAAUAUGAUUUUAAAAAAAAAAAGUAAAAUAUCUAUCGUUGCUCAUAAAUAUUUGGUAAAAAAAUAAACGAUGGGUAGCAGGUGAAGUCAUGAAGAAGAUGUGGCCAAUGAACUAUAUGAGGGAUCACCCCAUCUUCUCUUGCUAACAUUCUCUGCAGAGCUUGGUUUACCUGUACCACACUAAAAUUACAUGCAUUAUAGCUUCUAGGUUUUUGAGGCACUUGUCAAAAGUACCUCUAUAAGCUGCUAGGUGGUAUUCUGCACUUUUGAGCCCCCAAGAAAAUGUAGUAUAUUUUUAUAUAUCUACAACAAAUUCAAGUUAUAGCCGCGUUGUAAAGCGAAAAUGCCACCGUGGUCCAGCUUUGCGGUUUUGGGCCACCCAAUUUCGACUCGAGAUACCUUUAUUGAUCCCAUCUGAUUUGAAAUCCUCGAAAAUGUAUGUUACUUCCUACAUGAUUUAAAGAAAUGGAUUGUUUUUGUUCACUAGGCAAAAGAGCACCCUUUUUCUUUUUGACAUAUCAUGUUUUUUGGUUGAAUUCUCAUUUUUUUCAUUUUUGGGAGAGGAUUCCAACCGAGACACCCACAUUUAAUCAUUUGAUCAACAAAAAUGACAUAUCAAAGAAAAGUAUAUUUUGUAUUAAAUGUAUUUCAAAAGGCGGGUUUUACAAGGCACUUUUGCCCAUGUUGUUCGGUCAGCAAAAACAAUCCAUUUAUCCGUUUUUUUUUAAAAUAGAUAAAGUGGCAUGUGCCAUUAAUUUUGUCAAUAUUAUAUACAAGGGCAUUUUCAUAAUUUUAUUAUGAGCAUGCGAAUUUUUUAAUUGACCCGCCUUGAAACCUGAUUUCAAAGAAAAAGGUUGACCCUAUUAGAUCAAAUUAGAUUGGGCCGAAACCCGUCGGGUUUAGAAAUUUUUGUCAUCCCUAUAUUUCACAAAGAAAAUACACCAAAGGAUACGAAUGAAAUUAAAAAAGUUUGGUACACAGGUAGUAUGUAUUUUUAAUUCCACAAGUAAAUUUAAAAAAUUGUCAUGUGUCUCCCAUUUCUUUUAUAUAUAUAUAUAUAUAUUUAUAUUUAUAUUUAUUUUUUUAAAAAUAUUUUACUAUAUCUUAUAGAAUACUUGUCAUCACUUUAACCCUACUUAUAGAAUCUAAAAACUUCAUGUGUGUGUAUGUGUGUGAGGUUAUGCAGGCUUUCAAAUAUUCCAUUUGGAUAGACGCUUUUGGUGAGAUUAAAAAUAAUGUUGGUAGCGAGAUUAGUUUUUGUAGUUAUGAGAUUGGAUACUGUAGUGGUGAGACCAAAAUCAGUGGUUAAGUAUGUAUUUGGAUUCAAUUAUAGCAGCGAAUUGAAUUAUUGCAAGGAGAAAAAAAUUACCAUUAUAGACAUUGGAUUAAAAGAUUAAAAUAUAUAGAAUAAAAAAUUUAAUUUAUUUUAUUUUAUAAACUUAAACAUAAUAAAAAUUUAUUACAAUUAUAUUAUGGCAUAUAAUAAUUAAAAAUAAAUUAUAUCAAAUAAUUUUUUAUGUAUUUAUAUUAUUUGUUAAAUUAAUUAAUUAUAAAUUAAUUAGUAUUAACCUUAUAAUUAUUGCAUAUUCAUAAAACGCAUAGAAAGUUAGAGUGCGCGUCAGUUGUCGCUUGGAGGUAAAGAAGUUUUUAUAAAAUCAAUUUUACAAGCUAUCUUAGUUGAUACAAUGCAAUGUUUUUUAUUGCCUGUUACAGUAUGUCAUGAAUUGGAAAGUAUUAUUAGUAAAUUCUGGUGGAGAAAUUCUAAAACAAGGAAGGGAAUCCAUUGGAGUGAUUGGAGGGGGAUGUGCAAGCCAAAGGCACAAGGAGGAUUGGGGUUUAGGGAUUUGAAAAAGUUCAACCUAAUGUUGCUUGCAAAUCAGGGCUGGAGAUUAAUUAAGAAACUAGAUUGUUUGUUUGCUCGUGUCAUGAAAGCAAAGUACUAUCCAAAAAAUAACUUUAUGAGUGCUAGUUUAGGUUCUCACCCUUCAUAUGCCUAAAUAGCAUUUGGGGUGCUAGAACUAGGCAUGGGCUGGAGAGUUGGAAAUGACAGAUCAAUAAAUAUUUGGAACGAUGCUUGGUUACCAGGGCCUAGACAUGGAAAAGUAACAGUUCAGAAUAUUGAUAUUAAUUAUACAACAAUAGCAUAUUUUAUUAUUAUAGAGUUGGCUACUUGGAAUUUGGAGGCCUUGAGGAAGCUUUUUGUUAAAGAGAAAGUAAACAUAAUAUUGACUAUCCCAGUUGUUGAAGUUGAUCUUAGAGAUAAGAGGGUGUGGAGGGGUGAAAAUGCAAGUGUGCAUUCAACAAAAAGUGGAUAUAAGUGGCUACUAAAUGGGGAUGCGACAAGAUCACAUAGGGAAGUGACACAACAAUCUACACUAUUACAGAAUUUCUACAAAAAAUUAUGGAGAUUACAAAUUGCGAGCAAAAUUAAAAUUACAAUAUGGAAACUGGCUAAUAAUUACAUUCCUACGUUUGGCAAUUUAUAGUUGAGGAAGUUGUUGGUGAUGAAUUUUUGUCCUCUCUAUCGUACAAUGGAAGAAUCAGUGAGCCACAUUUUUCGAGAUUGCACGUUCAUCAAAAGUGUCCUGCAAUGGGUGGGGAUCGAUGUCUCACCCAAUAUUCAAGGACAAAGUUGGAAAACGUGGUUAGCAAAUCUGUCUGUUAGUAUAAGAGAGGAUCAAUGCAAAUGGUUAGCCAUUGUUUUUUGGGCAAUUUGGCACCACAGAAACAAGGUUUAUCAUCAAGGUGAAAGAUAGAGUAUAGUUGUAACACCCCUAACCCGUAUCCGUCGACAGAAUAGGGUUACGAAGCCUUACUGAAAUUUACAAAUCAAAUAUAGAUAUUUCAUAACAUUUAACAUUCAUAUCAGGAAUCAUUCAUAAUGAAUCAUAUCCCUUAAAUUAUCCCACGAGGCCCAAAAUAUGCAUCAGAAAUAAGUAGGGACUAAAUCGAGUAUUCGAAAAAAUUUUUGCGAAAUUUUAAAAUUUUUCCUAAGUGCAGGGUACACACACUCGUGUGUUUCACACGGCCAAGAGACACGCUCGUGUGGGCAUUCGAAAUAGGGUACAUGGUCAUGUCUCAGCUCGCGUCCAUACCCGUGUAACUCUCUGACUUAGGUCACACGGUCAAGUCACAGACCUAUGUGUUUUGCCAUGUGUAGGUGCAAAGGUCACACGGCCAAGCCACACACUCGUGUGCCAGGCCGUUGAAAAAUCUUAAGCAUUUUGUUUUGAAUUUUUAAAAUGCAGGGGACACACGGUCGAGACACACCCAUGUGCUAGGCCGUGUGUCACACACGGCUGAGACACAUGCCGGUGUCUCUGCCCGUGUGGAUAAAAUAAGGCCAUUUUCAAGCCAUAUUUCUCAUCCAUUUGGUCUUCUACCUACAUUAACAUUUUAACAUAUUCAAAAACCAAUCCAAAACAUUUAAACUAAACUAAAACCAAGUCAUAAAUAUGUCAUAUACCUCAUUUCUCAACAUUCCAAUUUACCAUAUUUAUCAAAACAUCUAUUUGCUUACUUUUACCAACUAUACUAUCUCAUCUCAUACAUCAAUAUGCCUAUAACUUAUCCACCAUUCAACCGCAUCAAACACAACAAACAUGAAGAAGCCACACAUAUUCAUACAUAACAUAAGUAUGUCCUACUUAAGCCAUUCCAAUGGCCAUUUAUAACCAAAAUACAUAUUUGUCAUCAAUGGCCCAAUUGAACCUAUACAUGUCAUUAUACCAAAAAUUUAGUUUGUUACAUAUACCAAAAUAAGUCGAAGGAUAGUGUGAUGAUGCUCCGACCAGCUUCCAACCACUCCGAGCUUUUGAUUUACUAUAAAACAGGAAAAAUAAAAUUGGGUAAGCAUAUUAUACUUAGUAAGUUCGUAUAACGAGAAAUUAACUUACCAUUCAUUUAUAUUUAAAGUAAGUAAGCAAAAUUCAUCCAAAGAAAUUUGGCAAUUUUCAUAAAUAUAUAUAACCUAAAAAAACAUGUUAGUCAUGUACUUCAUGUGAAUAUCAAGAAAUAAGGAUGAGCUCAUCAUGUAAAAAUUUUCAUAAACAUAUAUUUUCCACAUCAUAUACUUAUAUAACAUAUACAUUUUUAUAAUAAUUCAUCUCAAGGUCAGAUUAUUCCAUGUUGAAACUUUACCCGUUGAAUUUAUUUGAAAUAUCGAUGGAUACACAGGUAGUACACUCGAAGUGUACAAAACUGUAAUCCACCAAUUCAUAUUCAGGAAUGCUCAUACGAGCACAUAAACGAAAUGCUCUCUCUUGAGCCAUAUAACAGGAAGCUUAUGUGAGCCAUGUAAUAGGAAGCUUAUCCAGGCUAUAUAACGAGAAGCUCAUAAGAGCCAUAAUCGGGAAGCUCAUGCGAGCCAAUAAUGGGUAACUCUGAAGAGCCAUUAACGGGAAGCUCCAGAUAACCAUAUGUAACACCCCUUAACCGUAUCCAACACCGGAAUAGGUACGAGGCAUUACCAAAACACAUACACUUGUAAACGUAUUUAACCGAGUUAUAAAAUUUCAUCAAAAUUAAAACUUUCAAAAUAAUUAACAUGUUUCUAUAACUUUUCACAAUAUAUCCUCAAAAUAUUAUAAUCAUAAUAAUUAGGGCCUGCGAGACCCGAUACAUACUCAUGCAAUUUAAUGCUUCAUUUCCAUUUCAUUCAAUUCGCAAUUUCUCAUGCUCAUAAUUUAAAUCAUAUCACUAGCAAUUUCCAUUUAAUUCACGUACAAUUCAAUGACAUCAAAUUCAAAACUAAUACGUAUUUACCAUUUAACUCAAUGUUUAUUGAUUAUACCAUUCAAUAACACAUUUAUGAAAUUCUCAAUUUAGCAAUGAAAAUAUCGCUUUAGUUUGAAUAACAACAUCGUCCUGAUAUAAAUACACUACCACUUAUCCAUUUACUUUAAUUCUUUCGGGCCCAUUUGUCACUUACCAUCCUUAAUCAAAUUAGGGAACGGUCACGGAAAAUUGAGUACUUCACUUUCACUUUGCCAUAGUAUAACUNNNNNNNNNNNNNNNNNNNNNNNNNNNNNNNNNNNNNNNNNNNNNNNNNNNNNNNNNNNNNNNNNNNNNNNNNNNNNNNNNNNNNNNNNNNNNNNNNNNNNNNNNNNNNNNNNNNNNNNNNNNNNNNNNNNNNNNNNNNNNNNNNNNNNNNNNNNNNNNNNNNNNNNNNNNNNNNNNNNNNNNNNNNNNNNNNNNNNNNNNNNNAUAGCCGAAGCUAUCACUUAUCACUUUUCACUUGUCACUUGAUCAGAUAAGUGUAGCCGAAGCUAUCACUUAUCACUUUCCACUUGUCACUUGAUCAGAUAAGUGUAGCUGAAGCUAUCACUCAUCACUUUGUCACUUGAUCAGAAGUACUCAAAUCCGGCGUUCCGCUCAAUUUGAUCAUUUAUUCAUAUUUCAGGCUUACCAACAUGUGUUAAUUCAUAAACCAUUCAUGGUAUUAUUUCAUGCCAAAUCAUAUACUGAAUAUACCAUACACACAUACUAUGAAACUUUAUUUUCACACAUGAGCUUAAACCAUGACCAAUAAUGCACAAAAAUAAGCAUCAUUCAUAUUUCAUCGUUUAUGAGUUAUAAUCAAACAUAUGACCAUUUAUACACGAAUCAUUCAUAUAUUUCCCAAUUUUCCUCCUCCUCCUCUCCAUUCCACAUCCUUAAUGUGUAUAACACACUUAAACAACAUUAACCAUAAUUUCAAUAUACACUAACAUGUAUAUUCAAAGCUGUUUAUCCGAGUCAGAGUCACUAAAUUAUUUUUAUCCAGAGCUACAGAGCUCCAAAUUAAGAUCCGUUAAUUUUACCUGAAACUAGACUCACAUAUCUUCAUACCAUAAAAUUUUCAUAAUUUUUGGUUCAGCCAAAUAGUACAGUUUAUUCUUUAAAGUUUCCCCUGUUUCGCUGUCUGACAGUUCCGACCACUCUUCACUAAAAAUUAAUUAUCUCAUUGUACAGAAUUCGGAUGAUGUUUUAGCUUGUUUCUUCUAAAAAUAGACUCAUUAAGGAUUCUAACCAUAUAAACUAUAACUCAUAAUAAUUUUUUUACAAUUUUUAAUGAUUUUCCAAAGUCAGAACAGGGGAACCCGAAUUCAUUCUGACCUUGUCUCACAAAAUCUAUUAUAUCUCAUGAUUUACAAUUCCAUUGCUCACAUCAUUUCUUUUAUAAGAAACUAGACUCAAUAAGCUUUAGUUUCAUAUUUUAUUCAUCCUCUAAUUCAAUCUCUACAAUUUUUGGUGAUUUUUCAAAGUUACACUACUGCUGCUGUCCAAAACUGCUUUAGUGCAAAAUGUUGAUUUCCAUUUUGCCCCAAAUUUCACAGUUUAUACAAUUCGGUCCUUUCUCAAUUAACCCCUCAAUUAAUCUAAUUUUCUCAAUUAGUACUUUACUAGACAUUAUAAGUUGUUACACAACUAUUGAAAUUCAGAAUUUCCACAUAUAACUCUAUCUUCAAACUCUUUUACUAUUAGGUCCCAAACAUUCACUUUCUAUUCAAUUCUUUCAAUAAAAUCAGCAUAUGAACAAUUUAAAGCUCUAAUUUCAUGCUAAAUCAUCAUAUACUUCCAGCACAUAUUCAUAUCAACUUUCAACUUCUUUCAUAAAAUCAAAAACUAAUGAAUUUAACAAGUGGGCCUAGUUGUAAAAGUCAUAAAAAUACAAAAAUUUCAAGAAAUAGUCAAGAAUUGAACUUACUUGUAAUAAAAAUAUGAAGAACCAGCUUGAAGAAGCCCUUCCAUGGUGUUUUAGCUGAUGAGAAUUCAGAAAAAUGAAGGGAAAUCUAGAUAAUUCCACUUGGGUCCUAACUUUAUUAAGCAAAUUUUGCAAUUUUCCAAUUUUGCCCUUAAUUCUCCUUACUUUCUUGCUGAUUUCAUGCCUCUGCCGUCCAGCCCAAAUAGACCUUGGGUCUAUUUGUCUUUUAAGCCCUCUUCCUUUUAUCAUUUAAGCUAUUUAAUCAUUUCCCAAAAUUUUGCAUUUGUUAUAAUUUAGUCCUUUUUGUUCAAUUAAUUAUCGGAACUUUAAAAUUUCUUAACGAAACUUUAAUACUAACUUUUUAACACUCCAUAAAUAUUUAUAAAAAUAUUUAUGGCUCAGUUUAAAAUCCCCGAGGUCUUGAUACCUCAUUUCGAUUCUAAUUAUUUUAAUAUUUAUUUCUAGUGCACUAUUCACUAUUUCAAAAAUUUUCCUAACUUCAUAUUUAACUUAUACUUACUAAAUUAAUAAUAUUUUCUACCCAUUUGUCGAAUUUAGUGAUCUCGAAUCACCGUUCCGACACCUCUGAAAAUUCAAGCCAUUACAUUUUUUUUCGUCGGAUUUGUGGUCCCGAAACCACUGUUCCGACUAAGCCUAAAAUCGGGCUAUUACACCAUAUAUCGAAAAGUUCAAGCGAGCCAAUAUCGGGAAGCUUAGGAGAGCCAUUAACGGGAAGCUUACAAAGAGCCUUUAAUUAGGAAGCUCCAAAUAGCCAUAUAACAGGGCGCUCAUAAGAGCUGCAGUGUGCCCACAACACAUGCAGGAUCACAACUGAUUGGGAUGCUCCGAAGAGCUAUUAACGGGAAGUUCACAAGAACCAUAUAACGGGAAGCUCGAGAGGGCUAAUAAUGGGACUUUCUUUCAAGUUCUGGUGUGUCCGCAACAUAUGCAGGAUCACAAUCAAUACGGGAAAUCUUGUAUCCAUCGAAUUUCAUUUAUUCAAUCGGAACUUGAUGUUUGUUAGACAUUGUCGGAUAUAAUAUUAAUUUCAUAUUCAUAGCAAAAAUACAAUUACAUACACAACAUUCAAUCCAAGCAUAUAAAUAUACACAAUUUAGUUACACAAACAUACUUUGACAAGUGUUCGUGUACACAAAAUCUACUAAUCCGACACUUUUUCUUUUCCACGACCUAACUUCGUUUUUGAGUUAACCGGAUCUAUACGAGUGAAUUUAACGUCAAUUUAAUACAAUUCAUAUUCAAUUCAAUUAAAUUCACAUCUUAGGAAAAAUUACCAUUUUACCCCUUUGCUUUUAAUUAAUUUUAAUUUCGUCCCUAGGCUCAGAAAAUGAAAUUCAUGCAAUUUAAUCAUUAUUCUAGGCCUGGCCAAUUUUUACAUGUAACAUUUUCAGCCCAUUUAAUUCAUAAAAUUUAGAAAUUUUUUCAUAAAUUUUACAUAUUUACAAUGUAGUCCCUAAAUCACAAUUUCAUCAAAAUUCACUUUUCAAAAGUUAUUUAUCUAUUAACAACCUUUCAUUUUCUACCAUAAAUUUCAUAAUUCAUGCAUAUUCAUCCAUGGAAAACCCUAGUACUUUGAUAAUUUUACAAAUUAAUCCCCGAGAUAGCUAAAUUAAGAUUUUACGAUCUCAGAAAUAUAAAAAUUACUAAAAACGGGACAAGAAUUCAUACCUAAUUGAGUCAAAACAACUUCCUUGAACUCAACACCCAAAAAAUAGGGUUUCCAUGUCUUUUAAUUGGGACAGAUGAUAUAAAAUGAUGAUAUUAGAUAUUUAUUUUAUUUAUCAUCUUUUAUUUAUUUACUUUCCAAUUUAGUCAUUUUCUUUUCUUAAAUUUCCAUAGAUGAAUCAUCAUACUUAUAUACUAACUCCUCUUAAUGGUCUAUUUACCAUAUAAGGACCUCAAAUUUUGAAUUCCAUAGCUAUUUGAUCCCUUUAGCUACUAGAAUUCAACUUUGGCAUUUUAUGCAAUUUGGUCCUUUCCAUCUAAUUGAACAUGAAAUCAGUAAAAUUUUCUUAACAAAAUUUUUAUACGAUGUUCUUAUCAUACGGUAAACCAUAAAAUAAUCUUAAAAUAAUUUUUUUUACGGACUCGAGUUUGUGGUCCCGAAACCAUUGUUCCAGUUUCAUUGAAAACAUGCUGUUACAAUAGUUGGCCUGGUCACAUUUAUUAAAACAUAUUACACAGAGAGUUUUCACACAGAACUAAUGAAAACAACAAGCAUAGGUCAAAAUGACAGUACACGGACUCCACCAAGGUUAUAUGAAGUUAAAUGUAAUCUUGACGCGAUUUUUGACAAGUGCGUACUUAGUUCAAUGACUGGAAUAAUUUUUAGAGAUAACGAGGGGUAUAUCCUGGCAUCUUGUACUUACGCGAACAAUUAUGUGGCCAACGCAACUACCGCUGAGGCGAGAGCCUGCUUACAAUCGAUGGCAGUGGCUGAACAACUAGGGUUCCAAAGAUUGGUGGUGAAGUUGAAAGUUAUUAAAAAAGCUCGGUCAAUAGGGGAGGAUAGAUCGAGCAUAGAUGUGAUUGUAAAAUAAGUAAAAGAAAGGGCACAAAGAUUUAAACGAUUUACCUAUUGUUUUGUGGGUCGAUCGGUGAACCAUGCAGCCCAUACGAUGGCUGAUGAGGGAAAAUAAUGGUCAUCGCUGAGGAUUUGGGUUGAGGAGGUGUCUUCAAUAGUAGUAGUGGCGGCUGAGGAAGACAGAAAGUCUUGAAGAUGAGGAGGAAAUGGGUUUUAAUGACUCCAACGGUUUCAGUUUCUUCAAAGUUCCAUCGUGAAUACUAAGGGUAAUGAAUCAUUGGGGAUGGACGAUGGCAGUAGAGAAGCUAUUGAGGGAUGACAGAGAGAUUGAACUAUUUUUUUCUUUUAAAUUUGUGUUUUGGUUUUCUAUUUUGCUUUAUUUUUUUCUAGUGGAUUUUUUGGGGGUUAUUGAAUGACUGUUGAUUUUGCUUUAAUUGUCAGUUAAAGUCUUUUUAGGUUUUCGGUAAGAUUUUACUUUUCUUUAAUUAGGGGACAGUCACAAUCUAUUUUGGUUAUAGCAUUCGUGUGACACGUGUAACGCAUGCAGUCAUGCAAUUAUUUUACUUGGUAAUGGCAUCCUUUCAUUUUUCAGUCAAAAAAAGUGAUGGUUAAAAUGGUACAAGAACUUUUUGAGUGGGAAUGUUUUUCUUUUCCUUUUGGAGCUUUAAUCUUCGGUUGAAAAUUGAGGUGAGAGUGUGGUGAGAUGUUGCAAAUGCAUCUCACCAUUAAUGAUCCAAAUAAAAAAAAAAAGAGUAAAAAAACAUAUGCUCAUCAUCUUCACUAAUGAUAAUUAACAAUUCAAAGAAGUACUAAGUGUAUCAUCAAGUUUGCUUUUUUCUUUUUCAAUUAGUAAAAAGUAUUUUCUUUGAUUUUUUCAACAACUUUUGAUUAUUUUCUUUAAGCAUGAAAUUCUCCUCAACUACCUUUAUGUUAAUGUUACAUUGUUGAUCCCACUUGUCAAGCAUGUUUUUGCAAUUUUUUUCUUAUGUGCUCAUCAUUUUCAUCAUUCUCACUCGACAAGUAUUCAUCUCUUCAAGUCAUAUUAGAAAACUUAAUUUUCAUAGUGUUUGUACACUCAACUUGUAUGUUCCCAAAUCCCUCACAGUAGUAACAUUGAAUACCUUUCUUCUAUUCUCUAAACUCAUCAUCUAUGGCAAUGGAUUUCUCUAUAACUUUUAUUGGCAACACAUCCUCUUUCACUACUCCUAUUCCUUCUAAUAAAUUUCUUGAUUGCUUGAUUGAAAUUUUUGGUAAGAAGGGCUAGUUGCUCUAGAAAGUUCUCAACAGUAAUUUCAGCAUCAAUUUAAAGUAAAGAUACAAUGUUUGAAGUUAGGUUUUUUCUCUAAGUUGACUUUAUCCUUUCUGAUUUCCUCCAAAUUACCUUUGAAGGUUAGAGGUGAUCUAAUCAACUAAUCGGUUCUCAUAGAGUUGUUGUCUUUUGCCUCCUCAAUGAUUGCCAUUUUGAUGGAAAUUCUUUCUAGAAGAGGUCUAAGAUCCUUGAGCGCACUUUGCAUUUGAAUAUUUCACACUAAAUGUAAAAACUGAAAUAGUGAUAUUAUAUAGCUUAGCAUAAAAAAAAGAGAGUAUUAUCCUCAUAAAUUCUUACAUUUCGAACAUAGUAGUUAACAUUUAGAUAUUUGACUACUCCCUAUUGUCCAACCUUCAUAAGAAGAAACACACUUGGAAAUACGCCUGAACUUCAUGAGGACCUAUCACAUUAAAGAUUACAUUUAAGGCCUUUGAGUUGUAGCUAGUUGUUCUGUCUUCUUCAAGUGAACAUAUUCUUUCAGGCUUAGGAGAGCAAACUCUAUUGGCUUUAGUAAUGAAGAGUUUCUUGUUAGAAAAUAAUUUAGAAAUUAUGUCAGAUUUGCACACAACAAUUUUUAAAAAAAAUCUAAAACAAACUUUUGUUGUGAAAUCUAAAAUAAUAAAUCUGAUCAAAUAAUCACUUGUGUAUUGAGGCCUUUAAGAGAUGUCCUUGUUGUAAUACUCCUUUGUGAAGGUACUCUAACUUUUUGAUCAACCCAAAGUAAAAUUUGAACUCUUUAGACUUUCAACAAAUUGAUAUUUUCUACUAUUCUCAAACUUACGUUUGCUUAGAGAGUAAACUCUAACUUAAAUAACUAAAUACAUCACAAAAUCGAGACUUUCCCUUCAAAAAGCCCUUUACGCAAACCUUUAUAAUUGAAUCCAAAAAUUUCAACUCUCUAAAUACAAAUUAUAAUUACUCCUAAUCUAAAAUCAAAAAAGAAUUUAUUUGAGUAUAAGAAAAAUUACUCAAAUAAAAUACUCCUUAAUUUUUGUGGAGUUUUCCUUUAAUAGUUGAUAGUUAAAUUUUAACUAAACAUGUGUAUUUAUAAAAAGAAUUUAUAUAAGAACUUAAUUUCCUUUCAAAGUUCUAAAUUAAUUUAGGGGUGAGCAAAACUCGAUUUGAUUUAAUUUUUUUUUGAAUUCUAAGUUAAUCAAAUCGAGUUAUUCAAGCAACUCGAAUUACUUCGAGUUUGAAUCGAGUUGAAUUUUAUAGUUUGAAUAACUUGAAUAAUUCAGUUAUUCAAAUAACAUAUUGGUUUAUUGUAACCUUCCUAACUUGGUCUGGACGUUAUGACCAGAUUGAGAAGGCUACAUUAGCCACCAGAAUGGCUAAGAAGACUAACUAACCUUUAAAAAAAAAAAACUACCCCGUCUAAAUUUAAGAAAAUCGUGGUUUUUACUUUGAGUUGGGUUAAAACCUUCAAGUCAUCUAUACUUUAGGAUUCAUUUUAUUGUUAAUAGUGAUGUUUUAGUAAAACCAUUGCGUAAUGAAUUUAUUUUGUAAAACUCAUGGUAAUAUAAUGCAGUGGAAAAUCAACAAUUAUGUUAGAUUUUACUUAAACAAAAUAACAUGCAAUUACCGAUUAUUAAAUUCAAACUACUACUCGAAUGAAUAAUACAUGCAUAAAAAUCCCAAACCAAAAACUACCAAGCCACAAUCCAAAUAACAAAAUUACAACCCUAACCAGUGAAAAACUUUAUUGGAAAUUAUUUUAAAAAUAAAGUAGUUUGAAGCCAGAAGGUUCGUCUACAUGUUGGGUCCAAUCCUAAUCUCGAGCAUUACUUGAGAAGUUUAAAACUAGAGAGGUAAGCUUAAGGAAGCUCAGUGUGAGUCAAAAUUACAGAACAUCAUAUAAUCAUUCAUAUCGAAUAUAACAGUCAACGUUACCCAUCUAUACCGUUGCAUAGCAAUAUUAAAUUAGUGUAUGAGCAUGUUAUGUUGCACAAUGCAAAGGAAAAGGUUCCUACCUAACCAUUUGCCACACACCAUGAGUUCUCCAAAACUCGUCUACCGAACUCCAAACAGUGCUAGACGAAACUCGAUGUGGAUAAACCACAAAUAAUAGUAAAGUAAGUAAACUGCCGGUAAAAAUGCAGUCAAGUUGCCAGUAAUGUGGACUAGCCACCAGUAUUGCAAACAAGAUGCUAGUAAUGCGAUUAAAUUGCCCAAUCUCCUCGGUACCCCGAUGCGGUGCACUAAGAACAAUAUUGCAGACUUUAAAUACCAUUAGUACUCCACGGAACUCCUUUGUCAACCAUAAAAACCUAUCCCAUGCAAAUGCAAUAUGUCAUGCAAUCAGUAAACACAUCAUGUUUCCAAUAAUAAUUUCGGUACAAUGAAAUGCUUAACAUGCAUAUCAAUAAACAAUAUUGGUGUAUGCCUUGCUUACCUUUCAUUUAAUAGUAACAAUGGCAUGCGCACAUGCUUUCCAUAUAGUCAAUAUCACAUAUGGUAUGUAAUUUAAAUACAUAUAAGCUCAAUGUCAAUCAUGGCAUACUACAUACAUAUCAAUCAAUGGUUCAAAAAUUCAAUAUGUUAUACAUGAAUUCAACACACAAUUUUCACCACAAAUUAUAACACAAAAUAAUACAUUACAUACAACUCGUACACAAUUCAAUCAGUCCCAACAAAGCCUUCUACAAUUGGGCUUCCUAUUUAAAUAUGUAUUGAUGGUUGUCGAGGCCACCAAAUAUAAAUUUCUAUGCUCUAACUAAACUAAACAAUAGUUUAGAGAAGUAAGGUCAAUCCCACAGGGAUUAGGAUUCCUAAUUUCAUUUUUUACGUAACCAGAUUCUGUGGUCGUGGCAAUUGUCGUGCCCACGACUUGUAACAUGUUAUGCUGAAAAAUAAAACAGACAUGUUUUAGUUGAUUAGGGUUUAAAAUAUGGGAAUAAAUAGAACAAAAUAAUAGUUGAAUUAUAAAUUCAAAAUAAAAUUAAAUAAUUGAAAUUAAAUUACAUAAUCAAAUAUGUGAAUUUUUAGCCUUAGACUUGAUAUAUUCUAGACUCGAUUUGAUCCUUGAAAGUGAAUUUUUCUUUUCAAACGGUAAGUUGGUUAUAGUGAUUAAAAACUCAUUAACCACCAACUCUUCCUUGUGUAGUUGAUUUCAGGAUGUCCUACAAACUAACCAUUACUGAUUAGGUCGUUUAAAUCUGAUCAUUAUGUCCCUUGACGAAAUCCAACUGGCAUUUUCCCACCUGGAAAUGCCAAUUUGUUUGUGGGAACCCAAAUGCGGCAGACAACUCUAAUCUAAUCACGCUUUUUGAGUUGAAACUGAAUUAACUUUAAGGGACGAUUGUAACUAUCCCAUAUUCUAGAGAGAUAAUGAAUAUCGUGUUGUAAGGUUUUAGUACGGGUUCAUUUCUCACAAUUCUUGACAAGAAUAAUAACUGACCUAAAGUUAAAUGUAGAUUAGUUGAGCAUGAAAUUAAUCAUACUUAAUUGGAUUAUGAGAGUGGACUUCAAUGAAAGAUAAUAUGUAAAGAAGGGAGAUGACUAAAAGAGCAAUUGCACCAAAGUAUAAAAAGCGGAAAGAAAUGGUAGAAUGCUUGACGCAAGAAUAUGCUAAUCGUCUUUUUAAAUUCAAGUGUGUUCUAAUGCCAAAAUUGCAAGCCUUUAUGUACACCCCUCAAAGAGCCAAUUUUACAUGAUUUAUGCCUAAAAUUAUGCUUAACAACCAACCGCUAAAUCAGAAUUUUCUAAAUAUAAAAUUUGUCUAAGUCAAAAAGUCUAAUAUUUUUAUCAGCCCAAAAAUAAUUCAAAAAAUUUCAAUUCAACCCCCAACUUGCUUUUUGUUCCAAUUUAUCCCGAUUUUUGCUUGUUUUUGAACUUUGACACUCCAAUUGCAUCCUUGAUAAAAUUUAAGCAAGAAAACACAAGCUUAGUAGUAUUCUAUUAAAAAAUUGACCAAAAUUAGGUACAUUAAACAGACAAAAUUAGCUUGCUAUUAGUACCUUACUUGACACUCCAUUUAUUAGUAAUUAGGCUAUUUGGUCAUGCCAAAACCAUUAAGGAUAACUACCAUUUUAAAACAUAUUUUAAAAUUUUAAGACUAACUUAGCAAAAAGAAAGACCCACACCUUAAUUCGCAAUCCACAGCACAAACCCAAAAAUUCGCAACUCCAAAAUAUAGAUCUAGACUAUUAAUUUGCCAUAAUUUGAUAUGUCAAAUUAGCCUUCCCCGUACACCUAAUAAGCUUGUUUCCAAGCAAAUUAGUAUCUUUUUCGUGGUUUUAGGAUUUCAACUUAAUAAGUGGAAAUAUCUCAUUUUACUAGUUUUUGAGACCUAAAAUUGGCCAAUUGUGCCAUUGGAGGCCCUAAGAUUCUUUUGAGUGUUAUAGGUGCUUAUCGAAGUCCCAAAACUAUGCAAAACUAUCACCAAAGGAAGGGGUAUUGUGACAUCGAAGCACGAGAGUCACGAUACCCACUCAAAGACCUUGAUGAAGACCACCUACAGUGGUAUCACGAUAUCCACUUGCCUUGGAAGGCCCUAUUUGAAGACUGUCGACGGUGUUGUGACAUCCACACUUGGGUAUAGCAAUACCCUUUCGUGAGGGGACAAAAAAUCACGCAAAGGGUAGUCUUUGUCCAAUUGAAGCACCAAUAAUUGAAGGCUCGUUCUAGGGCAUUUUGAGCACAAGAAUUGGGUCAGAAUAGCUGCUAUAUUAGCCAAAAUUUGGUUGAAAGAGAAUAGAGCCCCAAUAAAGCCACAUUAGGGUAGUUUUAACUUAGGUUUCUCUUUAGUUUUCUUUGUAGUUUUCUUUUUUUUUUCCUAAGGUUUUUAGUUUUAUCUUCUUCCUAAGUUUAGAUUUAGUUUUUCCUUUACUUUCUUGUUGUUCGUCUUGUUCUUGUAGUAGUUAAGUUAGGUAACAUUGUUGGUAGGGUUUAUUUAUAUCUUCUUCCUAAGUUUAGAUUUAGUUUUUCCUUUACUUUCUUGAUAUUGCUUAAAAUAUUUCUGAAUUAACUCAAUUAAAACUAGAUUGAAUAUCACUUUUUCACUGUUAGGUUAUAAUUAAAAUUUGAGAAAUAAAUAUGUAAGUUAGAAAUUAACUGAGUUUUAAAAAGAUAAUCACCGUUACAAGAAAAAUGUUAAAUUUAAUCAGAUUAGCUAACUCAUGAGUUUUUUUCUUUCUAAAAAUAGGCUACUUUUUCUUCUUAAAUAAACAAAUGUUUUAAAAUGACUAUUUUACAGACUCUGAUAGCUUACUGGACCAUUUUGGUGGCUAAUGUAAGCUUUCGAUUUCAGGCCUAGCGUCUAGGUUGGGUUGGGAGGUUACAGAAAAUCUCUUGCCCCCAAAGCUUACCCCAUCCCUACCCCAUUUAACAAAAUCAUAUCAUAAUUAAGAUUCAUAGGUUGCUUUAGAUAUAACUUUUUUUAACAUAUAAAUUUCUAUUUAGUACAUAUUUAUAUAAAAAAAAGUAAAUAUGAAAACUUAGUUCAUGAUAAAGUUAAUUGUUUGGUUUAAUAUUGUAGACUUAAUUUAAGAAGUAAAUUUUUUGUCAAGAUUUAACUCACUAACUAAACUGGAGUGUUGUUAAAAUCGGAUCAGAUUGAUUGAAUCGAAAAUUAGUUGAUAUAUCAAUUCGAACAAAGGGAUUGAACUAGCUUCUGAGCAAAUUGCUCGAGCUUGAUAAAGAAUUGGAAAUUGGGAUAGAUUGUCAAUGAUGGAAUUGAUCAGUGGUAGAUCUUGAGACUAAGUUUUGCGGGAACCUAAUUAAAAUUUUCAAAAUCUCUAAGAGUUUAAUGAGAAUUCUUUUAAAAAAAUUUUGGGGGGACUAAUUUAAAUUUUUUGUCAGAUUAAUGAGAAUUUCAAAAAACUUUAAGAGAACUUAAUUAAAAUUUUCAAAAAGAAAAAUAGGUAUAAUGAGAAGUUUUAAAAAUUUUGGUGGGACUAAUUAAAAUUUUCUAAAAGUUUUGAGGGAGAAAUGUAAUAUUUUCAAUAAUUUAGGCCUUAAUUAUUUUUUAAUGGAGAAAUGAAAUUUUUUCAAAAUUUUGGGGGGCCAAGGUUGCCCUGUCCAUCAUUAUGAUCCGCAUCUGGAACCAAUUAAAUUAGUUUAAUUUUUAAAUAAUUUUUAAUUAAUUAAUUAUUUAUGAUUGAAUUGACUUUGGGACCUCUUUGCUUGGAUUGGCAUAUUAACGAAUUCUUGAUCCAAUCCGACUAGUUAAUACGAUCAAGUUACAAAAACAUUAUAAUUUAUUGAGUUGAAUUUUUUAAAAAAAAAACUACCUCUUAAAGUAAAUCUACAGUAUUAAACCAAAUAAUUAGCUAGUUUGUUUAAGUUCCAAAAACAUUAUAAUUUAUUGAGUUGAAUUUUAACAGAAAAAAAAUUGACUCUUAAAUUAAAUCUACAAUAUUAAUUUUAUCAAGAUUAAGUUUUUAUAUUUAUUUUUGAAUUAGUAUCUAGUACACAAUCCACAAGUAAUCUUCAAAAAUAGACAUAUAUUUAUUUUUAAAAUAUUUAUUUAUUUUUAAUAUUUUAUUAUUCCCUUAAUCUGAAUUUGUUAUUUUUAUUAUAUAUAAUUAUAUGAUGAAUGUAAGAUUUAUAUAUUAGAAAAAGUUAAAUCUAAAUCAAAUUGCAACUUAUGGAUCUCUUUUUCCCUUCUAAAUUCAUUUUUAAAAUUUAAUAUGUAUUUCUCAAAAACAAAGAACUAGUUGAUGAAAAUAUCAUGUUAAUUCAAUAAAACUCAACCUAUUAGACUAGUUUAAUCCUCCUCGAUAUUCAAUUUUCUAUUCUAUAUGUGUGGAAUUGUUAUAUAAGUUGCAACUAAGAAAAUACGUGGUAUGAUUUUGCUAAGUGGGCGGUUCCUAUUAGAGAUGCAACAUUUUUUGGAUAAACACCAUGAGUUUUUAAUCCCAUCUUUACCUUAUCAAACUAUAAAUUUUCAAAUAUUUUCAUUAUAUCUUAAAUUAUCGAUAAUAUCUCAAUUAUGUCAUUUUAUUAUUAAAGCCUUUAAUUUAACUGUUGUUGCAUUAAGUAAAAAUUAAAAAUAAAGAGAGUAAGCAAUAGAGCUUUUGUAAAAUCUUCGAAAACCUUAAAAAUUAAGAUUUUUAAAACAUCCAUUUUUACGAUAUUUAUUUUUUAAAAAUUUUCAUUUUAAAUUACAUCACAUAAGGUUUGACAUGUCAUUUAACAAUUGAAUUAAUGAUUUUAGUAACGUAAGAACUCAAAAUGAUAUAACUACAAUAGUUUGGGGAUGUACUUAAAAGUUUUUGAAAUUUAGAACCAAUUUAAAAUGAAGGUCAUAAUUUAGGGGUGUUCAAUGGAAUUAACUCUUAUCUUAUUAGCUACUAUCUUUUGUAGCGUUUUGGAGUGUUGCUAAUUAAGGGUGAACAAAACUCGAUUAAAAAAAUUCAAAUAUCAAGUUAAUUGAAUCAAGUUGUUUGAGUUAUUCGAGUUUCGAGUUUGGGUCGAGUUGAAUUUUACAAUUCGACUAAUUCAAAUAAUAUGUUAGUGUAAAUACCUCUUUGGUGCCUGUCAAUUUUGAAAAUGAGCAAAUUGGUUUCUCUCUCAACAAAAAUUACAAAAAAGAAAAUUCAAAAUAAUUUUAAAAAAUUCAAAAUAUUCAUAAAAAAUCUAAAAUUUGUAUUUUUAAAAAAUAUAAAAAAAUCUAAAGAAUAUAUAUAAAGAGAGUUAUAUUUUAAAAUUUUUCUAAAACAAUAAAUCUAGAGACCUAAAUAAGUUAAUUAAUGUUUCAAGUUUAUCAUACUAAAAUAAAUUAUUUCUUAUUAUUUCGCUUUGAAAAGGUUUUCAAAUAUAUAUGAUUUCAAAUGUAUGUGCUCUAACAUGGUAUUAGUUAUAAUGUAACAAGAUUUUAAUUUGACAUGUUUAAUUUUUUAAUUUAACUCGAACAAUUUCACUUGAUUCGAUUUGAAUUUCAUUUCACUCUUUCACUCAACUCGAUUCGAAAAAAAUUUCAAAUCAAGUUAGGAUGAUAAAAUAAGACUCAUCAACUUAAUUAACUCGAAAUUUUUUUACUCGAUUCGAUCUAACGCGCACCCCUAUUGCUAAUUUCUAAAAUAAACUCUAUUGCAUAUACUUCUAAAACAUAAGCAAUUUUUUAAUAUCAUUAUGCUUCUUUUAUAAUUACCAUUUAUCUCAUUCACUUUUAAUAACUUUACAAAAUAAAAGUUGAAACAAAAUAAUUACAAAUACUACAAUUUUGGUGUAUUAGAAAAAGAAAUUAAUAUUUGAAAAUUUAAUUUCCUUCCAAAUGUAACAAUGAGAUCCAGUAUUAAAAUGACUCUAAACAAAAUGCUAACUAUAACAUAAAUAAAAUCAAUAAAUAUAUUGAAAUUUCAGUAAAAUUGGCAAAUAAUCUCUUAAUUUAAUAGUAAAAUAUUUGUGUUGUAUGAUACAAGAGUUUAAAUUCACUCCAAAAAUCUUUUACCUCUUCACUCACACUUAUCAAACAAUAAAAUUAACAUUUAUACUUUAAUUCCAACUCGAAUAAUUUAAAUUCACACCUAAGGUGAAAUUUGUUAAUUCUUUUCAUUUUUAUGAUUUGAGGACGUUGGUUUGAAUAUGGAGAUUAAUCACCUUUUCUUUAAUAAAAUUAUUGAGAAUAGUUUUAAACGAUAAAUUUGGAUUCAGAUGAGAUAUCGAAGAUUAAAAAGAAUAUACUUAAAAAAUCAAAUUUUAUAUUUUUAGAGCUGAAAUUUUAAUGAGGGAAAAGAACAGUUGAAAUAGAAUUCCAUGGUGAAACAUGAUAAGAGAAAAAAUCCAAUUACUUGGGCAAUUAUUGUUUUGAAAAGCAAAGCUUAAAGCUUGAUUUGUAAUUAAUUGACAAAUGAGAAAGACAGUUAGAGAUGAAGCAAGUGGCAAGAUUCCUUUUUAAUUGCCAUUUCCUUUUAUCGUAGAAAUGGACAACGAAUGGAAACCCCAAUCCAACAAAGUAGUGCGAAAAGAUAUAUAAAACCUAAUCCUUUGAUAUCAAGACAUGUGGUUCACAUUGAGCAGCAUACACCAAGCCUGCCCUACUUCCCCUUCUUUCCUUCACAGCUCUCCUACUUUCUUUGAGAGAAUAAUUCUUUCAUAAUCUUCUUCUUCUUCUUCUCUUUCCUCUCUCUUCCCAGUUCACUAAAUGAUACAUCCUAAAUACCUUUUUUACCCUUUCAAUAUAAAAAUAUAAAUUUAAUUGUUACAUUAAGUUAUUUUUUUAAUUUAAAAUAUCAUGUUAGACAGGAUCGAUUGAGUGAGGUAGCCCACCCAGCCUACUGCCUACUACGGUAUUUAUAAUGAAUAUGUACCAUAAUAAGCUGUAUAAAUUAUGUUAGAAGUAGGGUAGAAAAGAAAUGUUAGAUGAAAGAUACAGUUGAUUGGGUGUCGGGUGAAGUAGAAAGGAGUUUAUUUUAUUUUAAGCAUAAUACUGAAAAGCUUAUACGCCUAUCAGAUAAGAGAAAUGAGAGAAGAAAGAGGAUGUAGCUAGAUUGCCAAAAAUAGAUUAAUAAAGGAGAAAAGAAAUUAUUUGCACCAAAAAGUAAGGUUGGCAUGAAAAUAUUCUUUAUUUUGUUAUAAUCGUUUUCUUCUCCAUAUUUUCACACUUCUAAUAGUUGGGAAAUGGAAAUGAUGGGAUGUGCUAGUUUAAUGGGCAAUCUUUGACACCCAACUGCACAUCAAUUACAACAGUUCAGCAUCCUACUAGAGGAUCAAAGCUAAUAGCUAGCAAUCAACAAUCCAAAAAUAGCAACAAAACACGUGCAUUUACAAAAAGGUAAAAAUUAAAAAAAAAAAAGUAGAGAAUUGUAUCAUUGGGAAUCUGUAGCUGGAUUUUCAUCUCCACUGUCACUGCCUUGAGUUUGAUUUUCAUGAUGAUGCUGCUGUUCCAAAUUCAUUUUUAAACCCACUCUAUUAUUGUUGCUGUAAACAUUCAUUCCACUGCCAAGUAACCCCAUGUUAGUCUCCGUCACUCCUAAACCAAGCUGUUGACCCCCGGCCUGCUGUUGUUGCAAUAUCAUUGAGCCCAGCUGAACCGGAUUCCCUCUACCCCCACCUGAAUAAUGAGCCGGGAAUGUCCACAUCUGGGCUUCUGGCACUGUAGCUGAAGCUGCUGUGGCGCCACCGCCUACCGGCAGCAUCCAAAAGGCAUUACCUCCAUUGGUGGUGGCCGGUGCAACGGCCCACAUAGCUGGAGCUGGCAUGACGUUGGCUGUUUGAAACAAACCGGGUUCUUGUUCUGGCAUUCCGGUUCUCUCCGGUUUAGGAGAAUUCGCGUCUAUGGCACCCGUUUCAGCAUUGUGCUGAGAUGUUUCUUUGAAAAGGUCAUCUCUGAAUGGCUUUGUAGCGUAGUUGUCGUUAGGGUUACUGCCACUUCUCAUGUGAGUUUCGGGGUGAAGGAGCUGAGGGUAAAGUUGAUGAUGAAACCCUAGCAUGGCGGUACUGUUGCCGAUCCUUCUGGCCUCAUCUCCAUUACUGUUGUAAAAACCUAAAGCGCUGUGGAAAGAGAGAGGUGCGGAUUUUGAUGAAGGAGCUGAAAUGGUUGAUCCACUGCUGCGAAGUGAAACGUUGAGAGUGGAGAAAUUGGCUGGAAUAGUGCCGGUUCCCGUUGCAGCUAUGAUGGCAGGUUCCGCUUGUUGAAGCAGCCACUCGAUGGUCUCACCAUCUGAUUUAUGACCCAAUUCUCGGGUGAGUUGGAAGACCCUGGCGGCGCAAACGGCGGGCAUUCGGAUGCGACGGCCGCGGCCAUCGACCUUGGUGUGACGGUCUUUGGUGGGUCUUUUGGCAGCAGGAGGCUUAGCGAGGGAAGAAGUGGAAGUAGGGGAGGAAGAGGGAACCCCAAUUUGGUUGGAAAUGGAGCCCAUGAAUGAGACAUGAUGACCUGGGGCCUGAGGCUGUGCCUGAGUCUGAGCCUGAGCCUGAUGGGAGGAGGUCCCAUGUGCGGCACCAGCAGCAGCUUGUGGUUGACCAUCACGGGAGACUAGUUGCAGUGAAGCUUCUUGUUUUUGGCCAUGGUGAUGAUGAUGAUGCUCACUGCUAUUGCUGCUUUUAUUGCUCUGUGACUCCAUUAUCAGCAUAUGGGGUUUCCAAGGAUUUCUUUGUCUGCCAAAUUAAACCAUCUCAAAAAAUGAAGGCCCUAUAUUAUUUAUUUUACUUUAUUUAUUUGUCAUUUAUAUAAAUAUUUAUUUUAUGUGUAAAGGGAGGGUUAUGAGUUGUGAUCCUAACAACACCACCGAUGUUAGUGCGUGAGGAUCUUCUUUUCUUCCUUGUGAUUGACUGCUGCUACGCUAUGCUAUCCACUGAGAGGAGUAGGUGAGAGAAGCAGCAACUAGAGCCAAUCCAAAUUAAAGCUUAAAAAAGAAACAGUAAAUUUUUUAGCACUACCCCACUCGUGGGGGCCCCUGCCUUCAAUCAUAAUAUCACAUCUGGUAAAACCCCUUUUAUCUUUCUACUGCUAAAUAUUGGGUAAUUUACAAAUAAAUUUUUUUUUUUUUUUUAAUUAUCGAAAUGGGUCUAUUUUUUAAUUAUUUAUCGGAAUGAUUUUUUUUCGGGAAAUCGCGUCCACGUCAGCACGAUGUCAGGAUACGCGUCAGGAAAUUGCGUCCACAUCAGCAUCUCGCGCUGACGUGGACGCUAUUUCGGUCCGCGUGUGAACAGUACCCAACGGUCAAAAAAAUAAAAUACCGGGCCUAUUUCGAUAAAUUUUAAAAAUAUAGGGCUUUUUUGGUAUUUUGAAAAAAUAAAUUUUGAAUUUUUUUGUACUUGUAUUUAUUUUUUUAAUCAAUUAACUCUUCAAUAUUACAUCAAUAGCAACAAGUACAAAAAAGAUUCAAGAUUGUUACCAACAAAAUUUGAACCAAAAUACUAAGAGAAAAGAGCAAGCAUCUUAACCAACUAAGCCAAACUAAUUAAUUGACAUAUUAUAGAAAUACAGUUAUUAUUUUAAUUAUAUUACUACGUUCUAACGAUUUAUCGGACCUAUUCCAUACACGUGUCAAAUCAGAAAAAAUAAUACAACAAUUCUGUAAAAAAAUCCGGUGUUUACUUCAAAUAAAUAAGGAAAAUAAUGAUUUGAAUGUUUCAAAAUUCAAUUUUAAACCGAAAAAAUCAAAAUUUAGGGGCAAAAAAGGAUCUUUUUCGACGAAAACUGCGGCAAACCGCCUUCAGCUGUUUGCCAGCGCGUAGAUCUCGCAAAGUUUUUAGAAAUAAAAAAAAUCGUCUCAAUCGGACAACCGAACGAAAAGUUAUGGCUUUUCAAAGUUUUCCAAGCUAAAAAACAUAAACUGUUCAUCCACGUUAGCAAAUCGCGUCCUCGUAGGCGCGAUUUGUGUCCACGUAAGCAAAGCGCGCUGACGUGGACGCGAUGUUCUGACACGUCCCCUGACAUCGCGCUGACAUGGACGCGAUUUCGGAGAAAAUGGCCCAUUUCGAUAAAUUUUUAAAAAAUAGGGAUUUUUUUAGUAAUUUGCCCCUAAAUAUUAUUAUUUUUAUAUUUAUUGUUCCGACAAACUUUAAAACUUGGAUAAUUCAUUACCCCCCAAUCACUUUCAAUUUAACCUAUGCCUUCUGUGGAUGAAAUUAUUUCAAUAAAUUUGAAUUGCUGUCAAAUGUCUUUUAGUAUGUUAUGCUCCUUUUACAAAAAUAAUUGCCCUAUUUAAUUUCCAUUUUUAAAAAAAUAAUUUUAUUAGUUUAAUGAUAAAAUCAAAAUUUUAAAAAUUUUGAGAUCCUAAUUAAUUCAAAUUUUAUCUCUGAUUAUGGUGGUUAAAAAAAAUUAAAACAAUCAUUUAGAUUUGAACUGCCCAACCCCAAUGAAACAAGAAAAAGUAAAGAUUGGAAUCCAUGCUCACCUUGACUAGGAACGACGACUUUGAGGUGUGAAAUGUUGAAAAUGUAAACAGAGAAAGACACAAGACUAAUAUAUCUUUUAAAGCAGGAUUUGUUUUUUUUCCCCCUUACAGCUCACUGAUUGAGUUAUUGCUGAUAAUGACAACGAUGAUUUAUCAUUAUUUCUUUAAUCAAGUAAUCACAAUAUAUAAAAUUACAUACAACACUUGUUUGUGGUUUUAUCAUUAUUUCUUUAAUCAAGUAAUUUCGAGAUUUUUUUUAAAUUAUCGUUACGCUUAAUAGUAUCGAGGUCUUUAAAUUACAUUAUGUAUUAAAGUAUUCAUCGUCUUAUAGGAAUCAGAGUAAUGACUUUAAGAUUUCUUUUAAUUAAAAUUAAUCUUUUCACUGUAGGUGCUCUUCAAAGAGAUAAAUGGUUCACAUGAUUAAGAGAUGAGGUGAGCAACCACCAUGCCAACCAUGUGAUUAAUAUAUCUAUAAUUGAUUUUUAUUGAUAAAGAGUUAAACCCUAACAAAUACAAAAUGAGCUCAACUUUUGUAACCUUCCCAACCCGGCCUAGACGUUAGACUCGAAUUCAGAAGAAUACAUUAGCCACCGAAGUGACUCGGUGAGCUAUUGCAGUUUUGAAAACAAUCUUUUUAAAAAUCUUUGUUUAAUUUAGUAGGAAUCUUAAUUACAUAUCAAUUAAUUCUUCAAAACCUUAAUUAAGAUAUAGCAGCAGAAAAAUGAUAGGUGGAUGCUUUUAAAUAAAAACUGGGGUUUCAUGCAUACCUUAUAAAUAAUAAUCUCUUAUUAUCCUAAAAUAAAAUUAAGUGUCAUGCAAAAUAAAAUCCAUAAUCUCAAAUCCCAUGACAUGGUUCAAAAUAAGAUAAUAUGGUUUAAUAAUUGGAAUAAUAACUCUAAAAUAUUUUAGUAAAAGCAAAGUUGAGACCCUCCAGAUGUCGCGUCUACAUCCUAACCUAGCGGGUUAUCUGUCAGGAUGAAAAUUAAAGGGGGAGUGAGCUAUGAAGCUCAACGUGAGUUCCAUCACAAAUAAAUCCGUGCCAAAUAGUAAUCCAAGCAUAAAUAAUAACAGUUUUCAAUACAUUAGUAUUCAUAUAGCAUAGCAGAAAUUGGCAGUCCAUUCAAGCAUGUUAAUGCGUGAUGAUGCAGUACAUUUAGCAAUUUCAGUUUAAUAGUAUAAUUAAAUCCUACCCCACCGCUACACUCCAUAGUAAGAAUUCCCUAUAAUUCUUAUAUCCCGAACACUCCAGUUUGUGGAUAAACCACCAGCGUUACAAGUUAUAGCAAUUUCAGUUUAACAGUAUAAUUAAAUCCUACCCCACCGCUACACUCCAUAGUAAGAAUUCCCUAUAAUUCUUAUAUCCCAAACACUCCAGUCUGUGGAUAAACCACCAGCGUUACAAGUUAGUAAGCGUCAGUAAUUGUGAGUAUGCAACGGGUCAGAAAAAUGCUAAAAGAGGUUAAAUUGUCUAAGUGAUACACACUUCACGUUAGCUAGUUUUACUUUUUUCUCUUCAUCUUUUAGGGUUUAGUUCUUCUUCUCUAUAGCUUAGGGUUUAUCUUCUUGUUCAUUUUCUGGUUUUUCUUAUUUCCUUAGCUGCUAGUUAAACUAGUUAUUAUUGUAGCUAGGAUUUAUUUACUUGUUAAGCUCUUCAAACUUUCUUGUAUUUGCACUUUAAUCCAUUAGUUUAAUACCACUCAGGUUUGUUAUAUUUCAUUUGUUAAAAAAUAUUAUCUUAGGUGUUUUUAUUUAUCUUCUUUGCUGCCAUUAUUGUGUUCCUCAAGCUUUUGCAAGAAAGCUUGAGUUUUUAUCAACUUUCUUUUAGGUUAAGUUAAUGGCGUUUCUCUUUAAUUUCUUAUUGUUAAUGGGUUCAAAUAUGAGCAUGAGUAGAUAAAACCUAAGUGGUUGGUUGAUGAAAGUGAUGGCUAAUUGAUUUUUGGGUUCAGGGACUAAAUCAUAAAAAUUGGACUAAAUCAAAUAGACUUAAAAACAUACAAUUGAUGACCCUAAAGGAAAAUUAAAAUAAGUGAGACUGAGAGGAGAUCUUAUCGAACAUCUGUAACAACCCAAUUUUUAGUAGUGUAGGAAACAGUGAUUUGGGAUCACUAAAUCCGACAAGUAAGCUUAAAAAUUUAAUAAAUUAAUAAUUAUGGGUCAAGUGUGAAUUUAGAAGAAUUUUUGAAUUAGUGAAUUUUGUGAUUUAAAAAGAAUUUAUUAGGUAAAUUAGGUCUAAAACGAGAUAUCGAGACCUCAAAUUCAUAAGCCGAGCCAUAAAUAUUUUUAUAAAUAUUUAUGGAGUGUCAUUGAGUUAGUAUUAAAGUUUUGUUGAAAAAUUUAACGUUGGGAUAGUCAAUUAAUUAAAAAGGACUAAAUUGAAAAUAGUGCAAAAUUUGUUAAAUUAUGAUUAAAUAGCUUAAGUGACUAAUAAGGAGGGAUUUAAAAGGCAAUUAGGCCCAAAUUAUAUGGGCUGGACAGUUUGGGCAAGAAAAUCAACAAGAAAAUAAGGAGAACAAGGGCAAAAUUGGAAAUUUUGCAAAUUAAACAUAUAAAACAAAGACAAAAUUGAAAAUCUAGAGAUUUCAUCAUUUGACUUCAGCCAAAACGCCAUAGGAGAGAGUUUUCAAGCUUUUUUUUUUUCAUAUUUUUCAUCAUAUAAGUUCAGUUUUUACUUUUUCUUCGUAAUUUUCAUGUUUUGUGACUUUUACAAUUAAGUCCAACUAUUGAAUUCAUUUGUUUUUGAUUCUAUGAAUGAUUUUCAAAGUUACCAUGAGUGAGUACUGGAAUUUUUUGAUGGAUUAUCAUAUAUUUUAAGCUUUAAUUUCAUUAUAUUAUGAUUUUAUUAAGUGAUUUUAGUAGAAAAUGAUUUUUAGGACCUAAUUGUGAAAAAGCUAGGAAUUGGGGUUUUGUAUUGAAUUUAUGAAUAUCAAAGGCUUUAUAAUAGCCUAAAAUGAUUAGAUAAAGUGUUAUUUGAGGAAAAUUUAGUUCAAUUAAAGUGUUAAUUGAGUAGGGACUAAAUUGUAAAAAUUGUAAAUUUUGGGGUAAAAGUGUAAUUUCAAAAAUUAAAGGGCAUAAAUUGUGAAGUGAAUUAUUAUUGAAUUAGAUGCUAAUGAGUGGAAAAUUUUAUAUUAUAGAUCAAGAAUUCGAAGAUAAACGCGAAAAAGAGAAAAUAUCAAACUAGUCUCUAAAUUUUUACAAAUUCUACUGAUUGGCCCAGGUAAGUUCAUAUGACUAAAUUUAAUGAAUUGUUAUGAAAAUUUCAUGAAUUCUAUGGUAUGUUAUUGUAUAUGAAUGUUAUUAAACUGAGAUAAUUGUGAAAAUAUGAAUGUUUGAAUAAAAGUUCUAAUUUAGUGGAACAUUGGAUUGAGUACUUUCGUUCAGUGACUCAUACGCAUUGACGAAAAAGACCAUGAUUGGACCAUGGCAAUAUGUGAUAUGUGGUUUCCAUAUAAGACCAUAGCUGGGCUAUGGCAUCGGUGUGAUAUGUGCUUCCGUGUAAGACCAUGGUUGGGUUAUGGCUUUGGUGUGUGAUAUGCGAUUAGUACAAGACCAUAGUUAUACUAUGGCAUUGUGAAAAUGAAGUACUCAAUUCCGUAACCAUUCCCUAAAUUGAUUAAGAAAAGUAAGCGAUAAAUGGACCCAAGAAAUUGAAAUUGAUUAUUAUUUGAUAUUGAGCUUAAUUAAGUAAAUAUUGAGGUAAGUAAUUUUAUUGAAUUGAAUGAGAAAUAUAUUUUAGUAUUGAAUUAUGUUCUAUGUGUUAUUAAAAGUAAAAUAUAUUGAUACAUGAAAUUUUGUGCUAAGGACUAAAUUACAAAAUAUAUAAAAGUGAUAUGUGAAAUACAUGAUAAGGAUUAUUAGUGAAUUAUGGAUGAAUAAUGAAUUUAGAAAUAUAUUACAUGUAUUAAAGAUAUUGAAGAUAUAAGUAUACGGAUUAUCGGUGCAAGGAUUAAAUUGUAAAGUAUAUAGAAGCAUUAUGUGAAAAGUGUAAAAGUGAUAUAUGUGCAUAAUAUAAUUUGCCCAAGUAGACGAGAUUAGAACUACUAGGAUAUUAGUGGCAUGCCAUCAAGGAACCUUAGCGUGCUCUCUGAUUAUUAGCACAUCAGUACUCUCUGAUUAUUAGCAUGUUAGUGCUCUCCGAUUAGCACAUCUGUGCUCUCUGUAUAGCACUUUAGGGUUCUCAGUUCAUUAGUGCAUAAUAAUGCACCUCUGUAUUUGUUCCGUAUAUCUGGUGUGUUCUAUAAAAUCUACUUUGGGCUAAGAAUAUGAAAUAGUAAAUUGAAAAUAGAAUGUGAAAUAUGUUGCAAAUAUAUGGAAUAUAUGAGUUAUAUACUCAUGAAAUGACUAUGGAAUGGAUAUUGCAAUUAUAUAAUGAAAUGUGAAAUAAUUUGUGAAAAGCUAUUUAUAUAGCAAGCAUGAGAAUUGAUAUAUUUGUGAAACAAAUGAAAUAUGAUAUGGUUGUUGUAAUAAACUCAAGUUUGACAUGUCGAGAAAAUAAGUUUAUCAAAGUUGAAUUUAUAUAUAAUAUGUGCAAGUACGCUAACUAGUGUGGUUGCUUGAUGCAUAGGCAAGUGUCAAGCCAUUGGCAGAAUGGUAAUAUGAUUAUUUAUAUAAUGCAUUGAAUUGGUAAGUAUUUAAGUGAAAAUAUGCUAGUGCUCAUGAAAAAGUAGUAAGGUUUAAAUUAUGCAAUUUUUUUAUGAAAUGACUUAUCAUGCGAUCAAUUUGAAAAAAAAAAAACUUUGGUUAAAUGCACUAGCUUGUGACCAUGGUUGAAUGAUAUGAUUAUGACUUGUGUGUUAGGCAUAUGGGAUAAAUGUGGAAAGAAUAAUGAUGACUUUAAAGAAUAAACUGUACUUAUUGGUUAAACCAUAAAUUUUAAAAAUUUUAUGGUAAGAAGAUAUGUGAGUCUAGUUUCAAAGAAAUUUAGCGAAUCUUAAUUCAGAGUUCCGUAGCCUAAAAUAUAGAUAAUUUAAUGGCAAUGGCUUGAGUGGACAACUCCGGUAACAUUCUGUAACCCUGUUCCGGCAAAGGAUGUGGGUUAGGGGUGUUAGAACAUCAAUUUUUAGUAUCUAUUUUUUAUAAAUUUUUUAAUUUUAAAUAUUUUUGUAUAAUUUUAUGAUUUUUAAAUGAAAUACCAAUUUUUGUCAUGUGAUAUAACCUUGACAGGCCAAAUGACGAAAUUGUUACAAAAAAAUCGCAAUAGCUACUCUUAAAAAAAUAUAUAUAUAUAUAUAUAUAUAUAUAUAAAUGGAGGCUUUUGAAGUUUUAGGUCAUAAUAAAAAAAAAAAAGAAAAAAUCAUGGUAGUUGGUUCUAUAUUGGAUCUCGUCGUAUUGGUCGGUGCUCAUCAUUCUAGUGCUAAAGCGGGACAAGUAGUAAAUUUUUCGCAUCGGUAAAAAUUUUAGUUUAUACUGGUUACACCGAUUAGUUCCAGUCAAUUUUGAUUACAGUGGUCGAAAUAUGAUACAUGAAUAAUAGUAAAAAUUAUAAAAUUUUUAACUAUUUAUCUAACAACCAAUUUUUAGUGGUGACGGAAUAGUAGUUUUGAGACCACAAAUUUUCCUCGUAUCAACUCAUAAAUAUUAUUUUUAGAAUAUUUAUAGAGUCAUUAUAGUCGUAUUAAAAUUUGGUUAAGAAAUAUUAAUGUUUAGUUAGUUAAUUAAAGAAAAAGGACUAAAUUGAAAAAGGCGCACAAUUUGCUAAUUAUAGCAAUUAGGUGAUGAAAUAGUGUAAUUAUUAAUUGAGGAAGGACUUAAGUGAUAAUUAAGCCCUAAAUAAUAUAUUGGGAUGACAAAUUGAUGGAUAAGGACAAAAUAAUGAAAUUAUAAUGGCAAACUUAUAAUUUAGUUGAAAUUAAAACAAAAUUAAGUAAGAAGAAAUAGGUUUUCUUCUUCAUUUUCUUCUUUUUUCACUGUCGAAACACCAUAGAAAUAGCUUGGAGAAUCGGUUGAGCAUGGGAGCUUCCAUGUGAGUUCAAUUCUUACCCGUUUCUUGUAAUUUUUAUGUUUUUGAGAUCGUUGUAAUUAGGUCCAACUAACCUGUACCUUCGUUUCUGAUUCUGUUUAAAAUUUUGGAAGUUUCCAUUGAUAAAUAUUAGAUUUUUUUUCUAUAAAUAACAUGGAUUUUGAUCUUUGAUUGUGUUGUGUGAUGAUUUUGUAAAGUGAUUUUUGUUAAAUAUUGAUUUUAGGAUUAAAUUGUGAAAAUGUCAAAAUAUUAGGGUUUGAUAGUGAAUUUUAAGUUUAUUAGGGGCUGUAUGAGGGCCUAGAAUAUUUGGAUAUAUUAUUUAUUUGAGAAAAUUAGUUAAUUUGAUAGAUUAACUAAUUAAGGGAUUAAAUUACAAAAAUUGUAAAAGUUUGGGGUAAUUGCGUAAAUUUGAAAAAUAAAAGGGUAUUAAUAGUAAAAUAGAUUGGAAAUGAAAUAUAUGCUAAUAAAUGAGUAAAUUUUAGAUCAAGAUCCCGUAGAUACUCGUGAAAAAAGAAAAAUAGCAGAAUAGUCCCUGAACUUCUACAAUUACUACAAUUCAGUCCAAGUAAGUUCGUACGGUUAAAAUUUAACAUUUGUAUAAAUUUAUGAUUGGUAUUAUGCAUAUAUUCUAUUGUUGGAAUGAAUAUUGUUUGAAUUAUAAUAUUAAAUUGGAUAUUCGGUUUGAAUUGAAUGCGAGAUUUGAGUACAUUCGUGAUUUGGUGUAUGACAGGGGUUUGGAUUGGAGAUGGUAUUGGAGGGAGAUAUCGACAUUUUACCCAAGUAAAUCGGGGUUCAACAUUUGUUGUGAACUCUCGUGUUUUACUUUUUGUUUGUCAUGAUUGGGUGGAUCAACUCUUACGAGCUUUUGUUUAGCUUUUGAGCUUCUGCUGGCGUAUUCGGGAGGACCAGCUCUUAUGAGCUUCUGUUGAUGAUGUACUCUUACCCGUAAGUCAUUUUUCAAAUGGAAAAAUCUCGGUUGAUUUAUUUAAUGAAUUUGAAAGACAUGUAAUUUAAUUUUGUAUUGAUUUGAAUACGGAUGCAUUUAUCGAUUGAAGUUGUGAAUGACAGGGAGUUUUCUUGGAUGAUUUUUAUUAUUUGAUUUAUUAUAGUUAGUUCGGUAAGCUUUUUGUUUAUCUCGUCGAACUUACUAAGCUUCAUUAAGCUUACUUUUGUUGUUUAAUGUGAUUGUAUAUUUUCGGAAGGUUGGACGAUCGGAUCGGCACUCAAGUCACACUAUUCAGUUUAUCUUGGUAGUUUUUGAAACGUUAAAUUCGGAUUAUAUGGCAUGCAUAGGCUCUUGUGCUAUUUUGGUUAAUGUUUGGCUUAUGUAAAUGUUAUGUGUUGACACCAUUUUUUUGCUAAAACGGGGUUGACUUGGGUUUUAAAAACAAAAACGAAAAUGGGAGUCGCCACCAAUCUUUUUGAUAAGGUGUGAUCGGGCCACCUUGAAAAAUGGUUGUUUUUAAUAAACGAUUUAAUUUUUAUUAAAACAACGAUUUUGGUCUAUGAAAUUAAGAAAAACGGGUUCGGGAGUCGGUUACGUACGAGGAAGGAUUAGCACCCUCGUAACGCCCAAAAUUGGUACCUAGUUGAUUAUUUAAUGUCUUGAUGUCGAAAAUUGAAAUUUGAAGAAUUUUUAAAAAUACGAUCCUUGUAUUAAAAUGUUGAAAAUGUUUGAGUAAAAGGGGCAUAUUUCACGUUAAUCGGGGAAUAGAAUCAUAUCCAGUAAGUUAGGACACAAUGUCUCAAAUUCCCGAUAUGCGAAUGAAUGCCAAAAUUUUACUUAUUUAAAAGAUUAUUUUAUUAUCUCGGGUUUGGAAAAACGAAUCAUGCCCAGUAAGUUAGGACACGAUCUUUUCUUAAUUCCCUAGAUCGUUUUAAAAUUUGAGUUUGAAAAGAUUCGUGUAUUUAGAUUUAUUAUAAAAAUCGAAACCCAGUAAGUUAGGGUACAAUUUUUUCGAAUCUAAACACGAAACGCCAUUUUUUAAACAAAUGUUGUUGUCGAAUGAAAUGAAAUACGAAAACCACAGUAAAAAUGCGAAAGCUGAUAAAAUCAUAAUGCACGCAGAAGUAUGAAAAUGAUGCGGGCAAUAGCAGCAAUACAAAAUAAAUAGAAGUCAUACUUACAAUUAUAGAAAAACAUUACAUAUACAAAUAAAUUAAAAUAUUUAUUCAAAAUAAUAUAGAAAAUGAAAUAAAUGAGCAAUAAAUACAAAAUAAAACAAUAGUAAGGAAUAGAAAUAUAAUGCAUAUAUAUAUACGUAUAUUGAAAUUAUAAAGUACAAAAAAUACAUAUAAGCAGGUAUUAAUGUGUUUAUGAAAAUGAAAAUAUGGAUAUAUACAUAUAUAUAUAUAUAUAUAAAUAAUUUAAAAAUGUAUGAAAAUAUGUAAGUGCAUAUAAGUUAUAAAAAUAGGUACGUAUGUAUAUGUAUAUAUAGAUUAUAAAAGGGUGGGUACAUAUAUAGGUAUGCGUGUAUACAUACAAAUAUAAAAGGUUAUGGGAACAUAUAUGUACAUAGAGCAUAAAGUAUCAAAUAUAAAUAAUAUAUAAGUACAUAUAUACAAAAAACAAAUAAAGAUAUGUACGGAUACAUUGUAAAACAAAUAAAAAUAUGUGUAAACAUAUGUAAUACAAAAGCCUGUAUAUUAUAAAAGACAUAUGUACAUAUAUAUAUAAAUAGCAACACCUAAAGUUUUAAAAAGGGGUACGAGUAAAUGAAUAAUAGUUAUUAGUAAUAAUAACGUUAAUAAUAAUAAUAAUAAUAAUAAUAAUAAUAAUAAUAAUAAUAAAUGAUAAUAUAUUAAAGAAAAUGAUGAAAAUGUUAAAAAGGGGACUAAAUCGGAGUAAAGUCUAAAAUAUGGGUCGGAAUCGAAAUAAAAACAAAAAGGGACUAAGUUAUGUAACGCACCGAAAUACAGGGGACCAAAAUGAUAAAUACCCCGAAGCUGCAAAACGCUACGCUUAGACGUGGACUAAAAUGAACCAAGAAUAAAAAUUUGUGGCUGAAUCGAAAAUAUGCGGAAAACUUCCAUGGAAGCGCUAUAAAAUCAAAAGGACUAAUUGCGAAAAUAUUCCAUUUUAAGAAAGCACGCGGAUCCUACCCUGGGUCGGGUCACACGCGCGGGUUGAGGGCCUUUAAACGGCGCCGUUUCGUUUAGGGUAUUUAAAACCAAUUUUCCUUAAAAAAAUUCAUUUCUAGGGUUUCCUUUUUUAAAAAACUGCAGAAGAAAGAAAAAAGAUCAUUCUUCUCUCAACUCCCCCCAUCGUCGGUCAAAUGGGCCACCGUCGACCCCGCCGUGAGCGGUGGUCAGAAGCCCAAACGUCGGUCUUUUAAACCCUGCUUCAAGGACCAACUGAAGACCAAGUCUUCAUGGCCUUGGGGUCGCGAGAGAAAAAUCAAAUCGCUGCCUUCCCCGCCCAAUUUCGGUGACCCGAAGUAGGACUCCGGCGACGACGCUUGCGAGGCGAUUCAGGUAAGGUUCUUUCUCCCCUUUUUUUUUUAAAAAAUAAAUAAGUAAAUAAAUAAACCCUAAAUAAAUGGUGACCUUUCGGCCUCAACGCCCCUUCAAUCACGGUCCAAGCGAAACCUUAAAGGCUUUCGUGACCCCGACGAACGGAGAAGAUCUCCGACGGUGGUCUAUGGCCGAUCCUCAGGUACGUUUCAAAACCUCUUUUCUAUAUUUAUUUUGGUUAUUAUUCUUAUCUAUAACAGUGUAAAAAAGCAUAAUAAAAAAAGAAGCAGAGGCGCGAAGUAAAAAAAUCAACCUUGAUACUUUGAUUGCUUUCGUUCUCUGUUUUUAUUCCUUUUUUUUCAGAUUACAUUUUUCUUCAGGCUUUAUAGCCGAUUACAAAGGUUCUCUCUUUUUCUCUGUGUUUUUGUCCUCUUUUGGCUUUGUUUUGCAGGGUUAGGCAAGGUCAACGGAGGUGACCUUGCCAUUUCGGUGCAAAGGGGAGGCAGACCUCGGGACGAAGCACCUCGGGUGGCCCGAAAAGGGGGGAACGGCGCGAGAGGGGAGGGAACCCUAGGGUUCUCUGGUGUUUGCUUGAUUUUGGGCUCCAAUGAGCCUUCUAUGUUUUUUAGAAUUUGGGCCGUUUUAGGUCUGUUGUAAAUGGGUUAUUUAAUUUUGGGCCCGGGCUUAAAUUGAGUCCUACAUUAUGAAUGAUAUUUUGUGCAAAUAACCAAUUUGCAAAGGGUAUGAGAAUGAGGUAUAGUUGUUAUGCUUGUAUGUGUGGCUUACAUAUAUUUGAUGUAUUGUGGUUGUGGUAACUUUGUUAGUUAUUUUGAUUUGGUAUUGCUUGAAUGAGUUGAUGAAUUACAUAAAUGUGUAUUUUGAGAUUAAAUUGUAUAUAAUUGUGGUACCAAUGAAGGUACAUCGGUUAGGCACAUAUUAGGUUGGUUUUGAUGUGUUUUUGACCCGAUUAAUGUCAAUUUUGAUUUUGUAUUUUAGUUAGUAUUUGAGUUUCUUAAGGUCCAAGCAAUUUGAUUAUGUUUGUAUUAAUGUUUGAUUUGAAUGAUUUACUAUUCCGUCGUCCUGUAAUACUCCAUAACCUUAUUUUGACAACGAAUACGGGUUAGGGAUGUUACAAUUUACUAUUGUCAGACUGAGGAGGCCUCAAAAUUUAGAGGAAAUCUCAUUUUUCCUUAGAAAUUUUUUAAAAAUUUAAUUAGGCCUUCUCAACAUUUUUGAAAAUUUUCAAUUCUUCCUUAAAUUUUUUUUAAUUUUAAUUAAACUCUCUUAAUUUUUUUUAAAAAAAUUCUCAUUAAACUUAUAAAAUUUUUGAAAAUUUUAUUAGGCCCCCAAAAUUUAGUCCCAAGAUCUACCAUUGACUAUUAUUAUUAUAAAAAUUAAUUAGAAUGUAUUGACCAAUCAAAAAAACCUUUUAAACUUUGAAUUUUUUGGGACAUACUUUCACAUUUAAAAUAUAAAAACUAAAAUAUAAUAAUAAUAAAAUUCACUCACUCAAUUAUCAAAGAAAAAAAAAUCCCCACUCAACCUUCAGUUUCUUUUUUCUUGUUAAUUUUGGUUUUAUUGAAUGAUGUAUUUUUAUUUGUGGAGUUUAUUAAUGAGUAUUUUAUAUAAUUGAUGAAUAUUUUAUAUUUAAAUUUUAUUCAGGAUAAUUUAUUUGAUAUUUCUAAAUAUUUUCAUAUACAACAGUACAUCGAAACGAAUCGGUACCAAAACUUAUCAGUUCUAGUAGAAAAAAUAAUGCGAUCACCUGUGCAGUACUGAUUAUUUUAGGCAAAAGAGAAAAUAUGAGAAGGUAGAAAAUUAAAACAAAUAAAAUAAAUUGAAUUUAUUUUGUUUUUUUAAUUUAUUAAUAUUAUAUAAUUUUCUUAUAAGUAAUUUUCAAAUAUAAUAUAUUAAUUAUAUAAAUAUAAAAAUGAAAAUAUUUUAUACUUUAAAGAAUAUUAUUUUUAACACACUUACAAAUAAUAUUUUGUUUAACUUUUAAUUAUAUUUAAUAUAGUAAAUUAUAAGAAAAAUUAAUACAAUAUUUAUAUAUUUAGUUUUAUCCAAUGUUAUUUAUAAAUUUUGUAUUAAUUUAUUUUAUAUUUUAUUAUUAAAUAUAAUUAAUUUACAUUUAUAUAAAAUAUAUUUUUUUAUAAUUAUACGGUAAAAAUGUUUUUUUUUUCUAGUUACUCCUUGCGUAUUCCCUAUCAGUAUUUUAUCCAACCAAAUAUUGUAAUUGUUGAAGGUAGUGUUUAGCUAUCCAUGGUUCUCUUUUAUCUAUGGUCCUUCCUUUUGUUUGCUUAAAGAUGGAAAAUUAUGUUAUAACAGCACCAUCAGAGGAAUUAGAAGUUGUUUUUAAAGUUUUCUUUCAUCUUUUGGAAAUUUGAAGAACAUUGAGAUGGUUUUAAGUCGAAUGUUUGAUAAUACAAUCAUUGCCAUGGAUAUUGGGUUGCCCUGCUGGAAUGUAAUAACAUUGUACUUUGCAUCUUUAGUUUUGCUGUAGCUAAAUGUUUCAUUAACAAGAUUGAGAAUUUUCCAGUUUUCGUUUUCCUUUUUGGACAUCUACUUUUCAUCCUUUAUUACAGGGAAAUAGAGAGUGAAGCCUCUGAAAGUGGAUAAAUAUAAAAUAAUUGCAGUAGUGGACAUUUCGAGUAGCAAUGGCUCUUGGAGGCAGUGCUUGCAAAGAAGUCGUUGAGGCUCAUUCCCCUGUUGCAGAUAAUGACAUAGCUUCAACAACAUUUGUGAGUAAUACUACUAGUACUACUACAACAACGAAAAGUGCUGUUAGUAUGGUUGGAAAACAUGGAGCACGGGGGUGUCUUAAGGCGGAGGCCUCCAAGGGAGAAUGUGCAAUCGAAGAAAUCUAAGCCCUCCAAUGCAUGAGUGCAAAGAAAGGAGUGAAUUAAGUGUCCACAUCGUGGAAGUAAAGGAACCGAGAGUGAAGGUUAUGAGAGUUGCGAUGGUUGAGAGAAGCCGAGGGUAGAAGUUGUGGCAUAGUGACCCCAAAGAAGUCACUCACGUAGAAGGCAUCGAUACAUAUAAUCAACAACGAGGGCAUUGCUAGAACGAGUGGGGAGAAUAUCACGAACUACCCAUGAAUAAAGCUAUCCAAAGAACUAGAUCAAGUCUGAAAUGAUGCAAGCACAAGAAAACCGAGUCAAAAGAUUCUUGGAUUAUCCCGAAAGACUUUAGAACUCUAGAGAAGGGACUAAAUCUUUGUAGAACUAAUUAGAAUUAAGCUAGUUGUCAUUGGAACCAAGCCUAAAGCUGCACGUGGCCUGUUAUACAUAUAAUCAGUUAUUUACUCAGGAUUGAGAUAAGUCGCACAAAAACCCAAACCCAAUAGAUUGAAGUCGAAUGUUUUAGAUAAUGUCCUUGAGAAAGAGGUGUUAGAUCGAAUUUGUCAAAAUUAACUUAUAAAUUUUUAGGAGAGCCAAAUUGCAUUUUUCUUUUUUAAAAAGUUUAAAUCAUAAUUUUAUCAUUUUAGGAGGGAUAAAAUAUAAUUCUAUAAUAUAUUAAUAUAUUAAUUUAUAAAUUUAUAAUUUUUCUGAUUUUAGAAAGGCUUAAGUGCAAUUUUUCAUUUUAAGAAAGGUAGGUUGGCCUGUGUGUCACGACUUUUCGUCGUGCAAUCCGUGCAAUUUGAGGCAAUUUCUUCGAUUCCAAUGAACCUAAAUCAGCCUAAUUUUCAAAAUUGAGAAGACACUGAAAUAAAUCGAAAGCAAACUCAGAAAAAGAAGAAACUACGAACAAAGAAAACCACAAAAAAUGAGUGCACACUAAGUGUUUGAUUAAAUACUAUCAAUAUAUAUUUCUUUUAACUUAGAAAGGAUGAGGUGGUUGCAAAUGAAGGAAGACAUCUAUUUAUAGUUAAACUCUUCAAAUUCAACGGUACAGAUUAAUUUACAUCAACAGCUAAAAUUAGUUUUCAUCUAUACAAUAAGAGAGUCUUACGGAAUUUAAAUUCUAUACAUGUUUAUCCUUUAAGAUUUACAAGAAUUAUCAUGAUAAAAUACAAUUUACUGGAGUCUUUCAAUUCAACCAAGAUUCAAGUGAUGGGUUUUUGCUUAUAUUCCACGAAUCGGGUCAAUUUAAGUAAAUCAAAUGAGUCCCAAUUCAUUUGUUGAUGUCUACGGAACUUUCUAUGCGAAUUGGUUACGAGUUUUGAUCCUCCGCCUGUGAUAUUGACCCGUGAAGGAGGAUGUUAUUUAAUUUAAAGGGAGUCAUUCGGGUAAAUUUUUUGUUGGCCGACACUUAUCUGCAAUUUCGGAUGGCUGCUGGGAUGCUCAAUUUCAUUUGGAGUUUAGAGAUCUGCCGUGGUAAACUAUGUUAUAGUAACCUGGAAAAUAUGAAAAUAAAGGUGUGUAAGGCUAAUUGAGCAAAAAACCUGUAACAGCUUUGAUUUUGUCCUAAGUUUUAAUGACUUUUUGAGAUAUGUAAGGGGAAGCAGAGGACAUAGCAAGGGGUUGGGAUGGUGUUUACCACCGAGAGGGGAGGACUAAAUGAAACAAGAAUGCUGCUGUUGAUAAUAAUUCAGGUGUAGCAGCAACGGGUGGUCUACUUCAAUGGGUAUAAUCAGGGUCUUGGUUUUGGUCGAAAUGUUGGGCCUGGACCCGUGCUAAAAGUAGAGCUUCUGUCAGUAAUGGAUGGCUUGGCAAAUGGAUUUAGGAAGAUCAUUUUAGAGAGUGAUAGCUUUACAGGCUGUGCAGUUGGUUAUUUCUGUGUCAGCUUGGAUAAUACCUACAACAUGAUGUGCUGCGAUGGCGGUGGGAGAUGGGAGUGAGACGAGAAUAAUCAACCUGCUGCCAAGUUUUCUAUGAAGGUGAUUGCAGCGUUGAUGGUCUAUGAAUGGAGAUGGUCCUUGCUGUCAAAUGAUACUGUUGGUUAUGUUGUUCAAUCAUUUUGUUCCGCUGAGUAUAUUUGAGUAUGCACAAGUGAAUUGAAGAGUACAAGAUGUCACUUCGUAGCAUUUAUUUGGCAAGGAGGACAAAUCCAAGCCUGGGAACGGAAUCUAUUUUCUCUUAAAUCAUUUUGGCUUUAACAUUCAAUAUUUAGUCAAUACUAUUCGAAGCUCUGACCCAUUUUAAAACAACAAUUUUGGUUUUAAAAAUUGCUUUCUGAAUCUAAUAUUUUUGUCAUCACUCCCAAAUUUCGGAUUUUGAACAGAAUAGGAUAUUACUAUUAUGAUCUUCAACACAAAAAAGAAAAAUGGUAAUACUAUUGUAUAAUAUAUAGGUCUAGAAGUAAAUAAGAAAUUACAGAGCUAGGUGCAAAGAAACCAGUGUUUUUAUUUUAUAAUAUGGAGGACAAAACCUCAUAAAAAUCCUCCAUUCUUAUGGCAAUACCAAUAUUAAAGAAAAUAAACAAAAAAAUGUGGAUCAAGUAAUAUAAAUGAUAUAUUAUAUCCCAACCCCCAUGGCCGUAGUUAUAAACUCUAAAGUCUAAGCCUAAAGCUGCAACUACUGCUGGAAAUUCUGAUGGCAUUGUUAGCAGAUAAAGCAUUCACCACAAGGCGGCACCUAAUCCUGAACUUCAUUUUCAUGAGCUUUAAGCUCCCAAGCUUAACCCUCACAGUCUGUUUAGCCCUCAGCCUCAAAGGUAUGUUCCCCGUCAUCUGCUGCUGCUGUUGCAGUGCCGUCAGCAACACUGUACCGUUCUGGACUUGCCCUGUCAUCGGCAAUACCAGCACGGUCGUGUUCCGAUGACCUUGGUAGAAUUUGGGUAACGCCCCUUCACAUAGUUGGGUUUCAUUGUACCAUACGGUUAUAUGACUACCUCCGUCAUAAUAUAUUCCGAUUCUUUUAUUGGGGUUUCUGGCGGUGAUGUUAACAUCGAAGCUAGCAGAUAAGCUGGAAUUCACUGAGCUGAGAUCGAACUGCGUAACCCGCAGGCCGUCGAUAGAAUACUUGGGUAGCUUUGGUCGGAAAACAAGGAAUAAGAUGCCGACGAUAAUCCCCAGAAUGACGAUCAGAAGCAAGAGAAGAGACAGCGUCCAACACAUGCACCUGCAACAACAGCUUCUUCUUUUCUUGGGAGCUGUCGAAUGCUUAACAGGAGAUGGGCCAUGGGACUGGGAGUUGAGUGGAUGUUGCUCGACAGGGUCACCGGUAUCGGAUUUAGAAGUGGCUAGAGGAACCAAGGGAGCACUGGGGGAGGCUUCUGGCGGCGCUUCCACGUCUGGGACGGGAUGGAUUUUCUGUUGGUCCGCCAUUGAUGAUGUACUCAAUUCAAUUCAAUUCAAUUCAAGCCUCUAAGGGAAGGUAACCAUAUAAAUUAUUUUUGUAAAAUGAACCUUGAGAAAAAUAGAAUUAAUAUAGAGCAGGGGAAGGAAGCUAUUGAUUAAGUCAUACGAUAGAAGCUUCCUUUAUUUGACUUUUUUCCAAAUGACGAAGUUUUGAUCCAAAUAUUCACCUAAUGGUCCGCAUUCAUAUUACAAUCCUUUUGUAAUUAAAAUAUAUAUUAUAUUUAAUAAUUUCUUUGGAUGAAAUAUUUACAAUUAUUUAUAUUUCCUUUUUAAUUAUUAAAUAAGAAAAUAUUGUGUUUUAGCUUGUUCGAAUUCAUAUCCUCUCAUAUUGAUAACAAUACCGUAUCAAUUCAUUAUUUUAUUAAAAUUUUUAAUACAACAUAAAUUACCAUCUCACAUAAAAAAUUUGUGAGUUAGAAACAGAUUGGGAAUUCAGAAUUGUUAUAAAAUUGACUGUAGACCAAGUUGAACCACGUGGAUGGUAAAUCAGCACUAAUUUUAUUUUUAUAUUUUUGAAUUUGGGAAAUCAGCACAUAGACUUCGGAUUUGUUAAAGGUUGGACAUCAGGUUUUUCAUAUGAUAAUAAUCAUAAUUCUAAUGGUCAAAAUUUUCUAUUAAUCCUUGUCUUAUAAAAAUGUUUUAAAUUUAGUCCUCGUACUUUAAUUUGAUCAAUUUUAGUCCUGUACUUUUCAAAUUUUUGAAAUUUUAAUUUUGGCUGUUUGUUUAAAUUCAAUUACUAGUUAUGCAAUACACAUACUGUUGUAGAUUGUUAAUCCAUUAAUUAAUUUUUUUUAGUGAGAAAUAUGUGGAAAUAAUAAGCAUAUGAUAAUAUGUUUAACACAUCAGAUUUAGAAAUAAAAUAAAAAUUAAUUCAAUGAAUUUAACAGUUAUCAUAUGGUGAUAACUAAAAUUUAAAAAGCACAUGGCAUAAAAAUAACCAAAUUAAAUUGUAGUAAUUCACAAUUUUUACAAAGUAUAAGGACUAAUAGCAGAAUUUAACAAAUUAUAAUAGUCAAAUUGGACAAAAUAGAAGCCUGUACUUGAACUAAUGACACAUAUCGAACUUAAUGUUGAAAAAAGGAAUAAAAAGUAGAGAAAAUUACAAAAUAUUUGUUGAGGAUGGCAUCAACUACUUGGAAGGGGGAGCCAUAACUCAAAGGAGCCGCCUUCAAAAUUGAAUAUUUAGGACAAUCUUUGAUGAAUAGCUUUCUUUUGGGGAUUUUCUUCUGUGGUUCCAUUUUAUGUUAUUAUUUAUUUAACAUCUUUAGCUUUUAUUUAAGUGGAAAACGAAGACCAUGAUGUCAUGACUCUUAAUAAAAGCUUGCUUCCAUUUUCAACUUUGAAUAUUUUUCAUUAUAAGGUUUAGUACUUUUCAGAAGGAUAGCAUGACAUUUCAUAAUUCAAGUUUAAAAUAAUGAGUCGAAUAUAAAUAGAAUUGCAAGCUUAAUGUUUAACUUUAAGGAAUAAAAUUUCUUAAGCUUCAAGUAACUUUUAAUAAUUUCGGUUUAAACCCAAAUUAAUAAAUAAUUAUAGACAUGAUUUAAUAUUCGUGAUGAAUAAUGUGGAUUCGAAUAUUUACAAAUAUUUAACUUAUUUCAGUAUUUGUACAGUUUUUUAUCAAGUUCAGACAUUCAACAAAUAAUUUCAUUAAUUCAAAUUUGGACUAUAAACGAAAUCUAGUUUUAAAGUAAAUUGGAAUUUGGAGAAGUGUAUGUUGGAGAUAGGUCACUUGGCAUGGUAAAAAGCAAAAUGUUGUUUAAAGUAGUGCAGAGGCUGAUAUUUAGAUCAGUUGCUCAUGGAGUUUGUGAAGUGUUGGGGAUUACAAGGUGUAUUGGGACAGCAAAGUAGCAAUCUCCAUUGUUCGUAAUCAAAAUUUUCAUGAUAGAACUAAAAACAUUAAAAGUUGAUACAUCCAGUGUUGUAUUCAUUUUUCUUUCUUAGAUAGACAAAAUUUUCUUUGCCGUUUCGGCCUUAAAAAUCUGACCCUGAAACAGCAAAAUGUAUCAUUUUAUUAUAAAUGUAAAGAAAAACCAGCUACUAUACACAAAUAAUCCAACUUUUGAUCAUACCCUAAAUAGGCAAAUGCCAAAGAAUAGUGUUAUAAUGAAAUUUGAAGGUCCUCUUACCUUCCGUCUGUUUUGUCCCCUCUACUCAUCCACGUUUUGUUUUGUUAGUUUAGAGUGUUUAGCAAUUCCAGGAAGAUGAUCUCUUUAUCAUUGGCUUCCUCUGUUUGUCCUCUUCCAAAGCGAUCAUCCCCAAGUGUGAUGGAUCCUCUAGCAUCAUUUUCGCCACUAAAUAUCCAGCUAUUGACCAUGUCUGGUACUUCCUUGCUUGUUUGCCGAUAAAUCUCCCGAGUUUUCCGUCAUAAUAUUCUGGCCAGCCAUCUUUCAACAAACGUGUCUCCGCAAGAUCAAUUGCCUGCCUUGCAAUUUGUGGCCUUCCCGUUUUGAUGCAAGCAGCUGUUAGCAACCACAAAAGCACUGCGUAUACGAAAUAGUGGAAAAUUGCAAACGGUCACAUUCUAACAUCCAAUAAUUCUAAUAAGAAAGGUGAUAAUAAACUCAGCAAUAUCUUCAGUUGGAAAAAUGCAGAUGAAAAUGUUAAUACAUCAGUAGCCUCAUGAUUCCUAGUUCAUGACUGUUGAAUGUCAAAUACAGAUACUUCAAGAAAAAAGAAGAGUUGAAACAACAUAAAUCCCACUCAUCUAAAUGGCAACAACUACUUUCUACCAGCUUCAUAGUUUAACAAAAUACCAACAAUAAAUUUCUAGUUAAUAACAAACAAUAAUAAAUUGUUUUGUCAAUAAGACAACAUGAGUUACCCAUAAAACAAAUAACUUCGGUUCUUAUAAGAUCAAAAGCACUAUAAUGGUGAAGAUAGAUAAUAGAUUAGAGAAUGAUGGUAAUACCUGGCCAAGAUCCUCCAUUGUGAUAACUCCAUCUUGUGUUCUUAGGGUCACAACCGGUGACAAUUCGCCAUUCAUGUUUUUCUAUUGCAGGAUAAGCUAUUUUUAAAGGCAUUUCUCCAACAAGUUCAUCCCAACGGGCUUCAAUAAGAUCCAUAAUAGCCACUGAUUGCUCUGGUGUUGCAAGAGAAGAUAAAAUUGCUAUACAGUUACCUAAACAAAACCAUCGGAAAUCCAUCCUAGCAGGACUAACAUUCCCAAUAAAGUAGCCACCACGUGUUGGCAUAAAAUCAAAUAUCCAGUCAGGGAUAGAAUCGGGAAUAACAUUAAACUUAUUUACUGCAGUGUGAGAGUACUCCUCAGUCUUAUAUCUGUAAAUAUCAUUUAGUUGUUGAAAGUCAAGCCAAAAGUAACUACGCAUGUGAUAGCUCAAGGCAUGUAAACGCUUCUCAAUUCUUUCAAUGCAAUCUUUUCCUUCGGCAUCUUGCUUCAGCAUUGAUAAUGCACACCUCAGAGCCAUAUAGAAAAGCGCUUGAAUUUCAAUAGGAUAACCAUAAACAUCCUGUAAAAUAAGUUCACAUCAUAAUUGGAACAAGCAAUUAAGACUCCUUGGUCCCAUAAAGGGAAGGACUGGUGACGAUAAAUACAAAAAUAUCAAUCUCCAUCACCUCUGUUUGAUUUUCUAUUCAGAAAAGAAAGAAAAUAAGGAGUUCAUAAAGCACUAAUGCAAAUUAACUUCUUAAGUAUUUUUCAUCAGCAUAAGUCAUCAAGUAAGAGGAAAAUUUGAAGAAUUCAUUUAAGAUCCAUUUACCAAUAAAAAAAAAGGGGAAGACAAUAGCUAAAAAGAUUUCUAGGGAAACAUGAAUGCAACAAUUAGUACUAAAGUACAAGCAUAACUUGGUGAUCAAUCUUCAAUAGGCAAAUACAAUUUAGAAUCCAGAUACAAAUUGUUUCCUUGAUGAAUAUUUAACACCCCAAAAUCCCAUAUUGGAAAUUUGUAAUGAAUUAAGGAAUAUAAAUAGAGACCUAAGUGUAACAAUAAGACAAAAACUGUAACACCCAAUUGGCCAAAACAUACCAUACCUCAAAGGUUGGGUCAUCACUAUAGAAGAACAUAAAGAACAUUGUUCCUUAAUAGUUAAUCAAAGCCAAAAGAGCAUUUGAGACAAACAAUGUAUUAUUGGUAAACUAUGACUAUUUUACACAUAUAUUCAUAUCAUAUAUAUGAUAUUAAAUAAUGCCAAAUUCACUUGCUUGAUUGGCUUACCAAGCCUCUACAAGAUUGGUUAUCAAUUAAGAGUAUGUUUCUUUAUGUCAUACUGCUCUAUUCUAUCUGCUAUUCAGCAGUAGCAAUAAAUAAUAAUUGGAUGUACAUUAUUUUUUGCAUUAAUUAUCCAUAUCUAUCCAAAUUCCAAUUUUCAUAAUGUUAGACACUUUUUAUUUCUCAACUUCCUAGCAUAUCUCACAUAAAAUAACUACAAGACUGGUAAGGAAACUUAAGAAAAGGAAAGCACACAAAGAUGCACAAAAUAGAGGGAAAGAUUAAGAAGUGAAGGCUGGGUUACCAUUCUUCGAUCGAUCAUAGAGCAUCCAUCAGCACAAAGCAGUGUUGGAAAUGUAUCAAAUCCUUCUGCUAAACACAGAGUAAGUAUAAGCCUCAUCCCUUUUUGACACUCAGGCCUCUCAGCUAGUGAUAAAUCCCCAGUAGAUUUUGUGUAUGCACGGAGCAGAAUGAUCCACCAGAAUCCAGAGUCAACUGGAGCAACUCUUCCAAUGGCACUCUCUCCAAAAUCAGCAAUAAUCGUGUCCAAUUUACGUACAGGGUCAUGUAGAACUUUGAAGCUAGCUGGCAUUGCUCCUUCUCCUAGCUUGAACCUAUCUACUUUUUUCUCCCACCCUUGAAGUUGUAGAGUCUUCAAGAGAAAGUUCUUGACUAUUUCAGGCUCUCCAUUCAUCAGAAAAGCCAAAGCACUAGGUACAAAAUCUCUAACAAAAACCUGAACAAAUCAACAAUUUAUUAAAACAUGAACAGUCCAAGAAAUUUUCAAUAUCAUAACUCACCAGAUGGUAAUAGAUUUUCGGCAUUAAACAUAAUUGCAGAUAUUUUGAAUUUUCCUCAAUCUUUAACUUAAAUAAAAAUAUUUUAAAAACAAAAAUGUCAGUGAUCAUUUAACUUAAUCUUCCCAUUUUCCCUACCAAACCUCAUUUUAACAAUCAGGAUUCCUAAUUCAUUUUAAAGUUCAAUUAUUGUUCAUGUUUGGCGUUAAGUUUCACGUAGUCAAAUUUAUUCAACUUGGACCAAGGUUUGUACCAUUAAAUGAUCUAGUCUCACAUUCAAUUAAGGCCUGAGUUUGUUAUAACCUUAUAUCCAGGAAAGCUUUCCAUUUAUGGCCGAUUAAUUUUAGGAUGGAUGCUUAACAAAUGAUCAUAUUCAAUAAUAGAUGUCAUAAUUUAUAAUUUCAUAAAUACGCAACAAGAAUUUCAAUACUCCUAAAAAGGAUGCCCACUAUCUGAUGAGAACUUUACCUGAUCAUAGUUCAAAACUUCCUCGGAAGCAUGAUCAUACGCAGCAAUGGUACCAACUGGUUGGCCUCUGAAAUACACCAAAGUCCUCCUGAGAGCCUCCCACGCUUCAGCCACAAUGGGGUGCGGAUCAAAGGAAUUUCUAUCCCAAGAAGCCGGAGUAUCAAUACCUGACCUCCCGCAGGGCGAGUGCAUGCCCUCAUAAUUGUCAUAACUCCCUCUUGUGAGAAUAAUAGGGAGCUCACUGAGUGACCUUUCAUCAAAUGAUCUUUGCCUCUCUAUGUUAAGCCUCGGCUUAUCAAGGAGGCGUGAGAGAUCAUGAUCAUCCAUUUCAGAGAGGGAACAAAUAGAGCUCACAUUUCUAAGUCCCAUCACUUUAGUCCCAUCCAUUUUCUUUGUCUAAAUUGCACAAAAAAUACAACUCUCAAGUUUCAGAAGAAGAGAUUUAUGCUCAAAAAAGAGAAGAUAAAAGGAUUAGAUCCCAAAAUAUUUUAGAUAACAGCAAUACAAGAGUAGCAAAGAAACAUUCUUAUAUAGAAACUGAAAUGCUAAGACUAUAUCUAAAAGUUGAUGAAAUAAAAGCCUUGCUUUGUUAUCCAUUCAACAAUCAUUUGCGCCAAUCACGGAAAUGGCUUAGUGGCAAACUUGUGUAGGUUUCAAGUUGAUUGGCAUGAGAUCAGGAUCCUUGCGUUUUGGAAACCCUUUUCCCCUUCCCAUUGAAAUGUUAUAAAGAUGAAACAAUCAUUUGCCUUUUUGUCACAGUGCAGAGAACAAAAUCAAAUUUAAUCAACAAAAUCAUCAUUUAUAUGGAUAUGAGGAUAAUGGACAUUAAAUGAAUAUGUUUUGAGUAAUUUACAGCAUUAUACUUUACUAAAGGAAAACAAAUUAAUCAAGACUAAGAAAAAUUGAAGGAAACAGAUUAAGCUGCAGAAAAACCAACAAAGAGUAUGAAAAACAAAUAAACAAAAGAAAUAGUACAGAUGAAGUCACCUGAAAAGUAAAACCAGAUCUGAUAGUCAGCCAAAACAUCAAAGAAACAAAUCAAAACACCGAAACACCUCCCAAAAAAGGAAAAAGAAAGUAAAGAUUCAUAUAAUAAUAAGGACAGGAAAAGCAAACCUUUAAGAAAGCAAAGAUGUCGGAGAAGUGAAAUCUCAGGCAAGCCCAACAGAGAUAAAAUUACUGAAUAUUUGGCCGGGAAAUGGUCGGAGAAAGGAAAAAACAAAAACAAAAAGGAGAGAAAAGAAAGGAAAAUGAAAAAAAGAGAAGAAAAAACAAACAUGCCGUGAAGAUAUGAUAUUUAUAGAGUGAGGGAAAGAAAAGACUUUUGAGAAAGAAAAACAAUUGUAGUAAUAAUUACAACCGUACGACUACCGUGUCUUUCUCUGCCCUUUGAACAACAUAAAAAGGAAAUGAUGGGAUGGGACUAAGUUUACCGGUAAUAGCCGGUGAAAGCAAGUGUAAAAUGUCCCACGCGUUACCCGACAACAUUGUUUGGAAAUAAAGCAGAAGUUUUAUUUUCACCUCUAUUUAUUUAAUACAUUUGAUUUUCCAAUUUUACAAAAAAUAUAUUUUAACUUUUAUUUAAUUUUUAUAAUAAUUAUUAAUAAUUUUAAAUAAAUUUUUAAAAAUUUAAUUAAUUGUUGACGUAGUAUACGUGAAUGUCAUGUCAACAGAGUUAAGGAUAUUUAUUUUUAAAUGAAUUAUUAAAAUAAUUUUUUUUUGUAAAGUUAAAAGUUAUUUGCAUAGGUUGGGUUUGUUUUUUCAACUCUUAUUGUAUUCGUUAAGGUAUCUUUCUUAUUGAUAUUGAUAUGCAUGGAUGUUGAUAUAUUUUGAUAUAUUGUUUUGGAUUAAUUGAUGUUUAUAAAUGUUUUUCACACAUAUAUUUAUAGUUUAAUAUUUAGUCAUUUAAUAAGUUAUAUGUAUUAUAGAUACAUGUAAAUAUAUUUUAAUUACAUGUAAAAAUAUUAUAUGUGUAGUCUAAUUUUUAGUUUCUUAAUAUCAAAAUUGUGUACCAACUAAUAUGAAUUGGUACCCACCAAUAUAAGUCAGUAUUGGCUAAAACGGGUUGAAACACAUUGAAACAGUUGAAAUGCAUCAAAAUUGAACCUAGACUACUUGGUACCUAUUGAAAAUAGAAACAGUAUGUACUAGUGUCACAAAACUAGAACUUUAGUUUGGCAAACAAUGCAGUCUUAGGUAAAAAGUUAGCUUCAAAUCUGCCUCAGUUAGCUUAACUCUCGGAAGAUGAGAAUUCUCACAGAAAUUUUCUAAUGCACCAAAAUAAAACAGAAGCAAACUCAAAAUGAAAGAACUAAAAAAGCCACAAAAUAAUGCACAUAACGCGUUUGAAUAAAUGCUAUCAAAUUCUCUCAAAUAUAUUUUUAACUCAAGGAUGAAGUGAUUACAAAUGAAGUGCGAAGGCUCUAUUUAUAGUUAAGGUCCCUCAGAUCCAACAGUAUAGAUGGGAUUAUACCAAUGGCUGGGAUUAGUGCCUAUCACAAGAGCAUUAAAGGAUUUAAACUCUCUAUAUUUUUAUCCUUUAAGAUAAUUAUCCUGGUAAAAAAAAGUUACGGAAGUGUUUAUAAUUCAACUAGAAUUCAAGUAGACGGGCCUUAAGUCUCUUUCAAACAAUGGGUUAAUCAUGUCGGGCAUGAUCCCAAGUGAAAAUGAAGAGUUUGAAAUAUGCGUCUCAAUUACGGGUUCCUUUACGCGGCCCGUGACACUAGUCGAUAUGAUUGGUAUCGGUAUAGUACCGACUACCUCGCUCUUAAUUGAUUUUGGUUCCUAAAUCUAAUUUUGGGUUAAUCUACUUGGAUUCAAUGUCUAAUUUGUUUCCCUAAUUUCUUUUGUUUCACUUUUCUAACGUUCAAUUUGGUACCAAAGAUUUUUGAAUUUAAUACUUUGAGUUUUCUUUUUGUGUGUCUUAAUUAAGUAUUUAAGUUUAGCUUCAAUAUUCAAUUUAGUAUUUAAAUUUUUUUGUCCCAAUUAAGUACUUAUGUCUUUUUACUAGAGCAUACGAGUCAAAUAUUCAUUAGAUCACAUAAUAUCCUUUAGCCUAGAUAACAGAUUAAACAUCGAAGCCAAGCUCAUAUACCAAAUUGAGACAAAAAAAAUCAGGUACCAAAUUAAUCAUUGACAUCAAACACAUGUAACAAAUGGUAUAUUAUUCAAGCCUAAAAUAAUUAAAAGUUAAUUGAAAUUUUCUAAUUUAUUUAGAUAAUUUUUUACAUUUUUAAAUAUUUAAAAUAAAUCUUUAACUUUUAAUUUAUAGUAAAAUAAGCUUCACUUUAAUUUAUAUUUAAAUAAAUUAUUAAUAAAAAAUAUUUAUUUUAAAAUAAAUCAGAUGAAAAAUAUUAUUUUUAUUUACAUGAAUUAAUUUAUUUUUUAAUAUCUUAGUUUUUAAGCCUUUUGUAGUCAAUUAUAAUUUCAUUUAAUUUUGAGUACUUGUCUUUUUUAGGUUUGAGUACUUUUGUUAAUUCUUUUAUUUGCUUUUAAAUUUAGAUUUAUACUUAAUCUUUAUUCUUAUUUACUUAACGCAAAAAAAAAAAUUAAUUUUUUAUCGUCAAUAAAAUUUUACAUUUUAAUAUAUUUAAACAAAGCAAGCCUUUUGGGUUGAUGUCCCAUUACAAGUUUGGCAUAAGAGGAUUUCUUUUUCUUUUUCUUUUUUCUACUAAAAGAUGGAUACAUUUAGCUUUACAAGCACCGCUAGCUUUGUCGUGAUGUAAGGACGUCAUCAAACACAUGUAGACUUGUCUUCCAGCUUAAAGUCAAUUUAGUCAAGCAAUUAACAACUUGAUUAUUUUCUCUAGGAAUAUAACACCCCAUACCCGGCCUAGACGACAAGGCCAAGUCUAAAGAGUUACAUCUAAAAUCACACAAAACAUAACUUCUGAAUCUUAGUUAAAAGUCUUUUCAAAGCAAACCAGAGUUUAACAAACAUAACUCGUAGUACAAAAACUAGUAUCUUAACCAUCAUAUGUCUUGAAGCUACUGAAAAUAAGCCAAUGGUAAUAAUAAUAAUAAUAAUAAUAAUAAUAAUAAUAAUAAUAAUAAUAAUAAUAAUAAUAAUAAUAAUAAAGCAGAUAAAUAGUAUGACCGAGCUCCCGAUCCGCUGACUCGAUUAAGCCUAUGGGUUACUUGUAAUUCAGUCAACAGAAGAAAUGAAUUAAUGAUCUUAUAAAGAAAUAACUAUAUGUUCAAAUAGAUUUAGGUUAGAAUCAGUAAAGUCCCAAAUUCGAGUUCAGAAUAGAAAUAGAUCCAGUAGGUAAAUCAUUUAGUUUAACAGAACAAAACAGUUCAGACAGAUAGUAAGCUAGAUUAUUCUCAGAUACAGAGUAGAUAAGAAUAGAUGCAGUUUUCAUAUUCCCCACCGUUACACACCAUCUUUGACCAACCCAACACACCAAAUAAGGUAUUGAAUACUCAUCCAACCCUACACACCACACAGUGUUGGUAUGACACAUUCCGAUAAUUGCAUACUAGUUACCGGAUCAGAAUACAGAUACCAGUGAUUUAGCCACUAUCUCAGAACAGAACACUUCCUCAUUUGCUCAAUUCCCACCCAAUGCAGAUGCAAAUUUCAAAUAUUAGCUAAUACAUAGGCCUACUCGACCGUUCAGAUACACUUCAUGUUUGUACAGAAUAAUUAAUAUCAUUAACAGGCAUUACACGUAGUACACACACACACACACACACAGAUUUCCAGUACUUAGUCUCAGAUCACAAAAUGACAAUUUAUAUAGUUUAAGUUAGAUCGUACGGGCCCCACAUAAGGCCUACAUUCAUUUCAAACAACGCUUGUAGCCCAAGAGAAAAAAUUCACAUUUUUGGUCCACACGCCUGUGUGAUUUCACACGGCCUGGAUAGCUGGCUUGUGUGGCUCCACAAGGCCUAACACACGCCCGUGUCACCUGCCCGUGUGGUACUAAUUCGCAAACAGUGAGUUACACAGCCUAGGCACACGAUCGUGUCUUUAACCCGUGUAAACCCUGCGCUAAAAAUCCCCACACACGGUCUAGACACACGUCCGUGUCCUUAGCCUGUGUGUCUCCAAUUUAUGAACAGUGAGUUACACGGCCUACCAUAAAGCCAUGUGGCUCACACGGUUUGGCACACGACCGUGUGGCGUUAACAGUUUCAUUUUCUGACAACUAAAACUCGAAGAAGAAGGGGUUUUCAGUACCCACCUGAUGUAAUGUCGGCGCAAGGGCAAUCCUGAGACUCCCACAACCUAAAAACAAUAUUCAAUCACUCAAUUAACUCAAAAAACACUCGAUUAGAGCACAAAACCAAAACUCGUCGAAGAUUUUGACACAAACUUCCAAUUAAACAACAACAAUUCCUUUGCACAGGACAACCAAAUCGCGAGAGGCGGAUGUUGGGGAAACGUUAUCCACGAGACCUCCUAACGGACCACAAUCGAACAUAUAGAUAAAGAAUUCGGGCGAAAUAAUCAGAAAAUCCACGUUUGACAGAAACAAAUAAUAGCGAGAGUUAACGAAAAUUCAACAAUAGAACUUACAAAUUUACCUCUCGAUCGAUGCAACGACAACCUAGAAUUCUUAAUUUGGCCUGAUACAGUUACAAAAACAAGCAAAAAGAAAAAGAACAAGGAAAGAAAAGAAAAGAAAGGAAGAAGGAAAAGAAAAGAGGAAGAAGAAAAGAACUAACAUGAAACUAAUUUUAAAAUUUAAAUCAAAACUGACAAACUUCACUAGGCAGCAAAAUAUUUCCUUAACGCAGAGACUCGAACAUAAGUCCAAAAGAUAUACAAAAGUUUAACCAUUGAACCAAUAUGCUCAUUCUUAAUAUAAAAUUGCGCAGAAUUAAACUCAAGUUAAUAGUUCAAGAGUAGUUUCUAAAUGCACAACUUGAACCCCUAACCUCAAACACAUACGUAAAGUACAUAGUCACAAAUACAUAAAUUUAAUUACAAUAGAACCCAGCAGUCAAAUAUUUAAAAUUUAGGACAUUACAAGGUACAUAUCUAACCAACCAUUGUGCUUCAAUUCACAAAACCUAUUGAACAUGUCUAAGCACCAUAUAUAGUACCUAAAUCCAACUGAUAGAAUAGAUCUCAACCUGCUACAAAUUUUAGAGCACAUAAAAAUCAUAAUACUAAAGAACAUAAUAAAGAACUUCACUAUGAAAACAGUGAAUAUCAGAGAAUUGUAAAGCUGAUUUACAAAAAAUUUAAAAGCUUACUUGUAAUAUAUUAUUUGAUAUUCAAGUUUAACGUGUUAUUUGUAUUAUUUUUUUGUCUAAUUUAAUAUAUGUAUUUUUUUUCAUUUUGAUAUUUAUGUUCAACAAAAUUUAUAUAUUUUAAUAUUCAAAGGUAACAUAUUUAACAUUUUAGUCUUUAAUUUGAAUUUUAGGGUUGAUUUGAUGAAAGGUUUCUAAUAUUAUUAGGUUUGAAUUUUUAAUUAUUUUAUUAAGAGAAUGAAUUUAGUGUUAAUUGUGAAUUUUUUUAAUUUUAUGUUUAAUUUAUCAAAUACAUUCCGAUGAAUGUUUUUUAAUUUGAGUUUUAGGAUUGAUUUGAUGAAAGUUAAUGGCUAAUAUUAUUAGCUAAUUAUAAAUUUUCAGCAAAUCAACUCUAAAACACGAAUUAAACACUAAAAAAUUAAUAAUGUUUACUUUCAUAAAUCAGAACGCAUAAAUUUUGUCAAAUACAAGUACCACAUUAGAAAAAAAUGUCAAACUCAAGUAUCAAAUUAUGUAUUAAGCCUAUACAAGUCUAUUCAAUAUAUAAGUAAUUGAGACUUGCUAACAUACUAUUUCAAUUACAAUCAAUCUUCCCUUGAAAGCAUAAAGAAUAUCUUCAAAUAAUUUAAGAUGUACCAAACGUUAACUUUUUCAUCAAUUUUGAGGUGAUUUGACCAAAAAAAUGCAAAUUUAAUGACUAAAAAAGGCGAAAAAUUAAAUAGAGAGCUAAAAUGAUAUUUUCUAUAAAGUUGAAGGACCAAAAAAAUCAUUAUGCAUUUCAUUUAUAAUAACUAUAUAUUAUAAUUUAGUUUGUACUUCUUUGUAUUUGUGGAUGAAUAGGAUUUUUUUUUUGUAAAUCAAUGGUGUUUUUUUCUAUAAAAAAAAGGAAUUCCAUUUCAUUUAUAAUAAAUCAUUGGAUUAUAUAUAAAAAAAUCUUUAAACAUAUAAAAAAAUUAAUUAAGCCCUUGUAUUAAAUUUGCAUCUGAUUAAGUCCUUUCCAUUAAUUAAAAUAAUCAAUUAAGUCCCUCAGUUUCGUCAUUGACCACGUUGAUCAUUAAAAUAAAUUGAGUGACCAAUCAUAUGAUGAUAUGUGUCAACUUCUACUUUAAUCUAAUAUUUUCCCUUAAAAUAAUAAAAAAAGAAAAGUAUAAAAAUUAUUAAUUAUUAAUUAUUAAAAAAAUGAAAAUUGAUAUAAACUUAUAAAAAUUUAUAAGAAUUGUAAAAGAUAUAAAAAAUCUAACAAAUUAUAAAAAUAACCAAAAUAUUUAAGAUAUUAUAAAAACAUAUUAGAAUUCUAUAAAAAUCAUAAAAAAUAAAAAAAAUAAAAUUGAUAUAAAUUAUAAAAUUAUAAAAAAUCAUAAAAACUUAAGUUAAAUUAGAAUAGUUGAUUGGACCGAUUAGAUCGAAACCAACAAGGGUGUCGUUCUGGAAAAAAACCAUUAAACUAAUUAACUUGAAAACCGAAUAAUUGAACCAAUUUUUUAAUUUUUAUUCAAUUGAUCUAAAUGGAUCAAUUAAAUUAAUAAUCCAAUAACUUAACCAAUUCAACCACAUGUUUAAUUCUGAGUGGGGUAGAAUUAGAAGCAAACCAAACAAUCACUGCAAGAGCAUAUGGAAAUAUGCUACAGCUCACACUAUCUAGACUUACCUUGUAUGCCCACUCAUCCAUCAUUUUUUCUCUAUCUUACCCACACUAGCAUUCUAAUAUUUCCUUCUCUUUUUCUUUUCUCCAACAAGUUGUGCAUCCUAAAUAAGUUCGUAAUAACCAUGAAUCACUAUAAGAUUAUUCUUCAAUGUCAUAAUCAAAGAGAUGUUUUUAGCAUUUUUUCCCUUCAUUUUACUAGGGUCAAAUCGUUCUCCACAUUGAAAAACCUGUACAACAACGUGACAUGCCCACGUAUCAUUAAUCUAAUCCACAAUACCCUUUCCAUAUGAAUAUAAUCCCCCUUAAUCUGUUUUCUUUUUAUAGAUGCACAAAAAUUUUAUCAUACUUGCUUCUAUUUUCAAAUCUCACACGUGUUUAUAUUAUAUCGUAUUAAAUUGUCAAGGUUAGGUAACUCUACCAAAUCCUUUAAUAAACUAAAUUUAUUUUUUCUACAGUUCCUAAGACUUAUAUAGGAAAUACGUCUGAUUAAAACAAAAACAAUAUAGCAUGUAAAACCCCAAAAAGAUGAAUAAGAACUCAACUACCUUCCUAUGAGCCAUCACAAAACAAAUUUCUAUCAUCAAAAUUCUAAGUAGUGGUGGUAUGCAAAAACGUAAAGAACUGGCAAAACCCAUAGUUAAUACCACAGUCGAUGGUGCAUGAUAAAAGAUAAGCGGCGUGACAUAACUGUAGUAUUUGAACGGCGCUUGAAAUGCAUUGUUACAUUGUUCUUUUUCUUUUAAUUUCUCUUCCUCCAUUUAUUUGAUUGAGUAGAUUUGAGCAGGAUAAAAAACAGAUUCAACAGCUAAAGCUUGUUCGAAAGUUUUGAUCUUAUUGAGUGCAACCAUAGGUAGGAGCUAUCAAAAUUUUAUGAUUAAUUUAAGAGAGAAAAUUAACAAAUCAAAUCAUUUAUUUUUUUACAAUUACAAACAUUUUAAAAAAUAUAUUUUUUUAUAAUUUGUAUACUUUUUAAUACUUUUUACUAUUAUUUUGAAUUUUAAAUUUUAAAAAAUUAAUUAAUUGUUAGCAUUGCAUCCAUGUGUAAUUUAUAUACAUGUCAUGUUAACAAAAGUAAUAAAUAUUAACUUUUUCAUUUAUUUUUAAGUGAUUUCACAAACGGUCUAAACCUAAGAACUAAAAGAAUAAAAAAAUUAAAUAUAAGACUAAAAUAACUUAGUUAUAUCAUCUCUUUAUACUGCAAGAGAGUAAUGUAUAAAGCAAGAGUGGACUUGUUCAUUGUCCAUUGAAUAUCAAUAUAGAAAUAAGGCUUUUAGGGGCUAAAUUUAGAACAUAGAGGCGUGUUUGAAAAUAACAUAUAAUAAAUAUUAAAAUGUAUGGUUUAAAACUAAUUAAUAUAACACAUAAAAUAUGUACGAUAUUAAAAUGGAAAAAAAUAAAAUUCAAUCGUGAGUAAAAUGUAGUUUAAACACGUAAAUACAUCAUAUUAAGAAUACCAAUAAGUGAACCCAAGUUGUGGUCUAUUUGCCAAGUGUUUAUCUUCAUCAGAAAUAGCCUAGGUUUGAACCAUCACUUAACAAAAAAAAAAAUACUAUUAAUGAGUACAAUUGUUUAUCAUGGUGUUGUCACAAUUUUGAGUCGAUAUCGAGUUAACUUUUGGCACCAACUCAAUCAACAUUAUUAAUACUAAAAAUUCUAUCACAUACGUAUGUAUGUGAAAAUUACCUACUUAGAAAAUAGAGGGGUGUUUAAAAAUAAUAUAAAUAAAUAAUAACAUAUGAAAUAUGUAUAAUAUUAAAAUGAAAAAAAUAGAUUAAAUUGUGAGUGAAAUAAAAUUUAAACACGUAAAUACAUUACUAAAAAUUCUAUCACACACGUAUAUAUGCAUGUGGAAACCAUUUAUUUAGAACAUAAAUUUAUGUUUAAAAAUAACAUAUAGUGAAUAUAUAAUGAAAUGAUCAAUAUAUACAAUUAAUUGAGGUAAUAAAAUAUGCAUAAUACAAUUAAAAUGAAAAUAUUAUAUUAAAUAAAGCUUUGAUUCAAUGGUAAAGAUUAUAUUUUAUUGAUAAAGAUGGUAGAAGUUCAAAUUCAAUCACAUUCAAAAUUUUUAUUGAUUUUUUAAAAAAAAAUAAAAGAUUAACAUAACCUUGAAUAAUAUGACUUAUUUUAUUACGAAGGGACAUUUUUAUAAUUUUCAUAACCGAGUCCCAACUCAGUUAUUAAAUUAUCAAAAUGCCCUUAUUUUAACAAAGUAAUAAAUGUUAAUUUAAGGAUAUUUUUUUCUUUUAAAUAAAUAUAAAAAAAUUUAAGUUUGCGAUGAGAUCUGAACCCAAAACACCAAAAAAUGCACUCUCCCAACUUUGCCAUUUCAACUAAAUUAAAUAAGAUUUAGUUUAUAAGUGAAUUCUUAAUAAAUAUAUGUUACAUAAUUAUUUUCAGUUGGUAUGCAAUAAUUAUUUUUCAAUAAAAAUACAUAACAUUUUAUAAAAAAAUACAUACAAAAUUAUCAAAAUAUAUUUACUUUCUCAUUUCCUAAUAUGAUAUUUAUUUAUUAAAAUAAUACUUUUAUAAAUAAAAUAAUUUAAAGAAAAAAAUAUGAAAACUUAAGCAGAUUCAACAACCGUCAUGUUCUAGUUGAGUCAAAGAUUUACAUCCUAUGACUGAAAAGAGUAAAAAUAAAUAUCUUUAAGUUAUUUUCUAGAACAAAUUUACUUCGUUUGAAGUUGAGCUUGCGUUUGAGAUUUGUGGUUGGGUCAAAGACUACAAUUUUUUUUCCUUUUUCCCAAUAUAAACAUUGUCGAUUUGUUUUUUUUAAUUUCUCUUCCUCCUUUUAUUUUAUUGAGUAGAUUUGAGGAGGAUAAAAAAUAGAUUCAAUAGCUAAAGCUUGUUCGAAAGUUUUGAUCUCAUUGAUGGCAACCAUAAAUUUUACGAUUAAUUUAGGAGAGAAUGUAAAAAAUAGAAUGUCGGUAAUGAUAAUAUAUUACAAAAAAAAGAGAAAUAAAAAUAAAGAACACAGAUUUUUAUGUGGAAACUUUUUUGGGAAAAAACCACAGAGGAGAAGAAACUUUACUAUGUCGAAUUCGAAUGAUUACAAGAGAAAUAGACUAUGUCUAUUUAUAGGCUUGUAAAACCAUAUUCUAAUAGGAGUGUAGUAAGAUUGAAACACCUUAUUCUAAUCAAUAUCAAAUAGAUGAAGUUUAAUAAGGUUUAAAAAACCUUAUUCUAAAAUAAAAUAAAAGAAGUAUAAUGCUAUAAGGAUUUUAUUUUUUAUUUUAUUUUACCACCGUAUUUUAUUUAAAUAAGGAUUCGGGUCACUUAGUUCUAACAUAGAAAAUUAACAAAUCAAAUCAUUUAAAAUUUUUUAUUUUCUCUUUAGAGCUUAAAUUCGGAUUUGAUAUAAUAUUUUUUUAUAUUUAUAGUAUUUUAUAUUUAAAGUUUUUAAAAGUUUGACUUUAUUUAAAAUCACAUAAAAUGUUUAAAAAUAAAUUUGUCUUUAUCAAACAAUCCAAUAAUUUUCAGUAAUAAAUUUUAAGUAAUAUAUCAAAUAUAUUUUAUAACUUAAAUUUAACAAUUAAAUUUUUCGUAUUUAAAUUUUCAAUACUUAAAAUUUUAAUUUACCAAACAAAACAUUAAUUCAAUAUUUAAACUUUGGGUACAACUUUAGAGCUUAUCAAACAGCACUUGAGUUUAUAUUUUUUUUAAAAAUAAUUUAAUAAAAAUAAUUCUUAUAAAAUAAAAUAAAAUAAAAUAAAUAUUUAUUUUAAAUUAUAACUUGUAAAUUGUAAUUGUGGUAUUGAAUUAUAUGGGAUGCAGGCGGGCUCUGUGAAUCUCAGAACUCUCCCCAUUGAUUCUAAAAAGGUUCAGUUUCAAGGCGAAGGCAAGACCCAUUUGAUAUUCCUAACUUGCAUUUUAGACGCAUCACAAAUCAAAAUGAGGUCAUUCAAUACGAUAUCAUUAAAUUAUUUCCACCAGUUUUGACCCCAUUUUUUAAAAUUUUAUAUUCACCUCCAAAUAAUAAACUAUGGCUUCACCCCUUAAAUUUUAAAAUAUUAAUAUCCCUCCUAUAGUCAUCAAUGAACCAAGUAGCCUCUACGACAGGGAUGAGCGUCAUCAGGAUGGAUCCAGGGGUAUGCGGGGCGGUAUCUUGAAAUUUUUAGAUUUUUAAAUUAUAUAUAUAAAUUUUCAUGUUCAUAUUGUAUAAUAUUUGUCUCUUUUAGUCAAAUUAAUUCGAAUUUUUACCAAAUAAAAAUGUCUCAUUCUAGUAUGUUGAAAGAAAAUGUAAAUUUUCUCAGCAUAUUAUAUCUUUUAGGAGGUUGAUUACAAAAACAAAAGCUAAAAAAGCCAUAAAACGUCACCAAAAAUGAUAAUAUAAUUUUGUAUAUAUAAUGCAGAAACCGACAACCAUUAGCAUGUAUAUGACAAAUUAAAUUUCCAUAGUCCGCUUUCAGUUCCAUCACUUCCAUGUACUAUCAUAUGACAAAGGAUUCAUUCUUUCUUUUAUCGAUACCAUGUCAUGUGUACUGUAUCAGAAAAAAGUGUUUUCAGAUGGAUGAAUGAAUUGAUUACCAACUUGCUGAGCCUAAAACCAAAAGCUAGUUACAGCUAGUGCUCAAUUCCACGUCGGCCUCAUCUGCAUGGUCCGUGCCUUCAUGGCUGAUGCCUUUUGGAUUGAUUUCGAAGUAACAAUUGUUUGAAGUUGACGUGUACAUAUAGACAUGUAUGCUAAAAUAAAUAGGAUGGCCGAUGUGUCAGUUAAGUUGGAGCCCAAAUAACCGACAUGAACUUCAAUAAUUUAAAGUGGGGUUGUAGUUCGUUUUCAAGCCCUCUAAGACCUUAUGGCAAGUUUUUGUCAUUGGUAAAUCAUAAAUGUGGUUUUUGAGUUGGAGGAAUGGAGGGUAUGCCAAUACCAGACUGCAAGUGAAAAGAGCUCGACUCGCUUUCUUUCUCUCAAUGUAUAAUAUUCUCCAUAUUUCUUUCAGACCUUAUCUUAAUUUCAUGAGAUAUGGGAGGCACGUGGCUUAUAUGAACUCUGCAGCAUGCAUGAACGCAUAAAUCUGUUCAUAUGAUUAAUGUAUUUAAUUUAUAUUUAUCUUAUCAAAUCAUUAGUGCAAAUUACAUUAGUAGUCAUUUAACUAUAAUUUUUUUUAUCACUCAACUAUGGAAAGUUAGAAAAUAGUCAUCCAAUUAUUCAAAUUUUUUUCACUAUCCGACUAACGUAAAAAUGAAAAUGCCAAAAAAUCUAAGAUAAUUGAGUAACUAAAAAAGAUGAAGCUAUAGUUGAGUGAUCAUUUUUCAUAAUUGAGUGAUGAAAAAAACAUAAUUGGAUGACUAAUAAUAUAAAUACGAAUAAAUAUGAAUGCAUUUCGUAUACCAAUAAUCUACCACGUGGCCUACACAUCACGUAUAAGUAUAACAAGUCUAUUUUGCAUGGAAGAAACAAUUAGCAGGACAUAAUUCAUGGAAGAAACACGACAUCACGUGUUUUGAAACUAUGUUAAAUGAUGAGUUGAAAAUGGUUUUUAAGGAAGUGCUCAAUGUAUAAAUUUAUUUAUAUUUUGAUAAUGUAUAAAAAUAGAAAUCCAUUAAACUUAAAUGUAAUCCAUUUAAAUACCAAAUAACAAAAAACAAAAUAACUCUUCAUGUCUAAAAACUACCCUCAGUUUAACUUGCAUGGGAUACUUUUCUAAAUCACAGCUUCAAUACAUUAGCAACAGUUGUCCCGGGGAUUUAAUUGUAGCUAGAGAGAAGAACAGUAUAAUCAAAAUCAAUCCUUACUUGUCUGCCUGACCCUCCAUCAAUCUCUGUCUCUCUUUCUCUCUCUCUUAACACCAAAGCUUUUACAUCCUUAUCUUCCAUUAUAAUGAAGGCAAGCCACACCUCCCAACUUCUCUAUAUAUAUACUGUAGAGCAUUCCCUUUUAAUUAAUCCAAACAUCUUUCAUUUUUUUUUCUAUUGAAUACAUAUAUGUAUCUAUAAUUCAUUCCCACACUUUUCAGUUUUCUUUUUCUCGAGUGAUGAUGCGAAAGAAGGUAGAGGUUGAUAAAAGGAGUAGAGCUCCGAAGGGCCAUUUUGUGGUAUAUGUAGGCACUGAAAUGACAAGGUUUGUAAUUCCCACAUCGUUCCUCAACAACCCUAUCUUCCAGCAAUUGCUCGAUAAAGCUGCAGAAGAGUACGGAUUCAAUAACCAGAACAGGAUUCUACUGCCUUGUGAUGAGUUUACUUUUCAAAGCCUUACCAAGUAUUUGGCCAAGCAAUGUCCUUAGACAUCUUUGGUCCAUUUUCAGCUCUUGACAAUAGCUUAAUCAUGGUGAUGACAAAGUUUGUAUUUGUCAAAACCUUGUGUAAUCUGUUAAUAAAAAUGCUCAACUCUUAAUUUUCAAUGGUUAAAAUUCAAUUCAUGCAUAAAAAUAAAACAUCAACUUUAUCUGGUUUGCUAUUAGACCGGAUCAGGCGUAUCAAUUAUGAUUACUUUCCUAUAUUUCAAUAAAUGAAUUAGCUAUAAAAAAUAAUUACAAAUAUUUAUCAUUUAAUAUAAUAAAUAAUUUUAAAUAAUUAUAUAAUUAAUUAGAAUAUUUAUAAAAAGUAUUAUGAUACAUCUUAUUAUUUUAUUCAAUAAAAUUACAAAUUCAUAUUUGUUUAAUAAUUUCAUAAAAAUAAAAUAUUUUUUCUAUUCUCACAUCACCGCUACAAUUUCCCUUUAAUCCAAACACAUAACUCCACCGUGGUUUUAAUCUCACUAGUACACUGAAGAGCGUUAUACUUGUCAGUGUAAAAGGAUAUGGGUUCGAGCACACUGAAGAGCAUUUAAAUAGAAGGAUAAUAUAUUUCAGCGCACUCGAACUCACGCCUACAUUAACAAUAAUGUUGAUGCCAAUAGAGUUAAGACUCAACUAGCAUAAGUAGUUAUUGACAUUUGUAUAAAAAAAAGAAUUAUAGUAUAUUUUAUUUUUUUAGUUUAUUUAAAUAUGUUAAAUAAUUAACUAAUUUAUAAAUUUAUCUUAAUUAAAUAAUUUAAAAGGUUUUAAAUAAAAAAAUUAAAAUAAAUUAACUAAAUGAACGAUAUAUUUAAAAUAAGGAAAUAAAUAAAAAUAAAAUAAUUAAAAGUAAAAAAUCAAAAUGAAUCUAAACAAUGGUAAUAUUGGAACAAGGUGAAACUGACGUGAAGGAUCCAACCUGUUAUAGGGUCAAAGUGGUAAAAGAAAAUUUCCUCCAUGGAGGAGGGUUAUACCAGCCGAAGCUUAAUGCUCCAGUGGAAAAGAAAAAGGGGUGGUGAGGUGAAGCAAUCUCACCCUUGUAAUCCAAAGGCCUUGUUAGUGUGUAAAAAAUACUUUUUACCUAUAAUUAUUGGAGGAGUGGAAAUGCACAAUUCACUCUUAGAGAGAAUAAGAUUUAAAUUUUGAAGACAAUAUUAUUAAAAUAAUAACUCCAAACCCUACUCAUAAAUCAUAAAACGGACAUAAAAAGUAUAUAUAAAAAAAAUAUACUCUUUAAAAGCUAUGAACUGCUUUCUUUUUUCAUCCAAAGAAAACAUUAAUUUAUCGUGAUUUGAUAGUAAAAAAUAAUCUAAAUCUAUACAAUCCAAAAAUAAAUUAACUCGAAACAAUUAAAAUUGAAAAUAAGGUAUACAUUAAAAAAUUUAUCAAUAAAGUAUAAUUUUAUUUUUAAAAAUGAUUUAAUAAAAUAAAUCAAAGCAUUACUAAAAUGUUUGGGUGAAAUGUUUGCUCUGAUAAUAAAAACGCAGGAAUAAAUUGUAAAACUAAAAAAAGAGGACACGCAAGAAUUAUUUUUGCAAUUCAAUAAAGAAUCAUUAAUGGCUAUGAAGCCACACAAAAUAAUAAUAAUAAUAAUAAUAAUAAUAAUAAUAAUAAUAAUCCAUUAAGUACUAAAAAGUAGAAGCAUUAAUAUAGAUUUAGAAAACCUCGAAUUUCCUGGGAUUUUUACAAUCAUAAUGCUAACUUUAUGUGGAUCCAGUGUCUUGUUUGGAAGAGUCUGUGGGCUAUCAAGUAUCAACUACACCUCUCUCAAAUUUUCUUGAUUAAUAGCUUUAUUUGCUCCGAUCAAGUUCAUACUGUGAGAAGAAUCAUUCCACCAAUUUAUCUGUUAGUGUCGGUGAACUUUCUAAAAUUGUCCUCUCAAUAAAAAGUGUGAGAGUUGCUAAGAAUUAUCUGGCUAAUCUAGAAACUUAAUAGCAGCAAUUCGCAAGAUGCAUUAGACUUUUAUUGAUAAGCAGAGGGUUCAAAAUUAUAUUUCUAUCGCACAUUACAUAGUUUCCUUUCCCCAAGAGACUCCCACCAAGAUUACAAAAUCUUUUUUAUGUGCUCAAACAUCCAUAUUCUCAAGUGAUCUUUUUAUUUCUAUCAAAUCUGCAAAUAGUGAACAGUUAAGGGCGACCUAUUCCAACUUAAUAGCUUCAUUGUAAACUAUACUCGUCUCACCAUUCUAUCUGGUGUCCUCCAAGGCCUAACUGGCCCUUCUAACGUUACCAUCAUUUUUCUAGCGUUGCUCAUGUUUCCUAUUGCUACUAGAGCUGUUGUUUUGUUGUUGACUUGCAACUACCUCUAGAGGAUCAACUUUGUAACAACUCGAUUUUCAGUAGUAUUGAAAAAUGUGGUUUCAAAACUCCAUUUUCGUAAAUCGGGUUCAUAAAUAUUAAAUAUGAAUAUUUACAGAGUUGGUGUAAAGGUAUAGUAGAGUUUGGUCUGGUAAUUUUGUUGAUUUAAUAGUUAAUUUAGAUGUAGGGACAAAAUUGUAAAAUUCUAAUCACUAUAUGUUUUUAAUUAGCCAAAGGUUCAAAAUGGUAAAUAAAACAUUUUGUUACAUCAAAUAGUGGAUGAUGAUGUUAACUUCCACUAGUUUUUUAUUAAUGGUGAUUAAGGUUUAAAUAAUUAAUUUAGGUUAAUGAAGAUUUAAUUCAAGUAUAAAAAAUCAAUUUGUGCAAAAUUGUCCUCUUUCUUUCUUCUUCUCCACCGCCUAAUCAUAAAAACCUAAGGGAAAAACCAUUUUUGAAGCUCAAAGCAUUCGACCCUUGAUUGGUAGGUAAAUUCAUGUCAUUUUCUUGAAAUUUUUAUGUUUUUUUAUGUCAAGUGAGCUUGAUUGAGCUAGCUCAUGUACCAAUUUGUAAAACUAUUAAAGUUUUUAAAAAUUUUCAUUGUUGAUUUCUUGAAUAAAUUGGUAUGAAAUUGAUAGAUUUUAAUUUUAGAUUAUGAAAAGGACUAGAUUGUAACGUUUAAUUGUUAGUUUUAUACAUAGGGACUAAAGUGAAUAAAUGUGAAAUUACUGUGAAAUUUUGGUAUAAAUAGAAAACAGAGGGUCCCUAGUGAAUGUAAUUGAAGUUGGUUUUUAAAUCAAGGCUUAAAAUUAGAAGUUAUGACUAUUUUGAAUUUAAGGACUAAAUUGAAUAAAAUGUAAAAUUGAAGGGUACUAAAAAAUAAGAUUAUAUAGGUUCACGCAUGUCAUGGAAUAAUGUAUAAGUGUUCGGUAUUGAUGGAUUGUAUGGAAUAAUUGUAUAGAUCAAGAAUUGGAUCAAAUCAGAGGUAAUCAAGGAAAAUAUAAAAUUGUUGAUUAGUUCUUGAAGGAUCAACUUGUUGGUGUUUUGAUCAGGUAAAUUUAUAUGGUAUUUAUUUAUUUAGGUUGUUAUGUACUUGAAUUGUGCAUAUAAAUGUGUUUGGUUGCAAAUUGAUAUGAUCAGGCUAGAAUUGGACUAAAUUGAAAAAUGAUGUUAAUAUGUGUAAAAGAUAUCCGUGUGAACUUAGUAAAGGUUAGGAUACAAUGGCAAUUGAGUCUUGUGCGUACUUGUAUGGGAUUGAUUACAAAUGUUACAAAGGUCUAGCACUUGUUGCGAAUUCUUAAAUACAUGUGACACAGGUUUAGCUUGGACGAGUAACCUGAUGUGUUGUUAUAAAGGUUUAGUCCUGACGGGUAACCUGACAUGUAUAUAUUCAGCUUAGACAAACAACUAGUGUGGUGUAGAUACAUGUGUAUCUGAGUCUGUUUACUAGGGUCCAUCAAGCAAAUCAAUUUAUAUGAAAUUGAGAAAUUAAAAUGGGAUGAAAUGAACUUGAUAUUCAAAUGAUAAGUUAUUGAAUGAAUUAUGUAAGAAAAAUCGAUUAAAGUGUUGCCUUUGAUAUAUAAGUGAAUGUAACAUCCCUUGAUUAAAUAUGAAUUUGAGAUUGUUACCUAAUAUGACAUGAAUUAGCAUGUUAAGUACUUGUGAUGUUAUAUGGUUUGAUUAUAAGAUAAUACUUAUCUUGUUGAUGUUUAGAUAUGUUAUGUCUAGCCAAACUAUGCUAAGUUAUGGUAGCUUAUUGUAUUUAGAUAAAAGAUAAGAUAAGUUUUCUUUAAUAUCUAUGGACUUACUAAGCAUCUUAUAUGCUUACCUAGUUUGUUUUCCCUUUUCUUUAUAGAUUGCCACAUUGUGGAACACGUCAAGUUGAAUCGUCUCGAAGCUCACACUAUCACUGAAUCGGUAGUUAUAUGAUCAUUUUGAGUCUAAGAGUUGUGGCAUGUAUAUAACUGUCAUGGUGUGUAUCUUAGUAUGAGAAUGUGUUUACUUUUUGUCAAGCUUGUCUUAAAUAUUAUCUACUAUGUUGAUUUGGUGUUUUGGAUUACAUAUGGUGUUGGACAUAUGAGUGCUUCUAUGCUAAAAGAUGUGAUGAUCUAUAAUUAUAUGUAUAGCAUAUGAAAUGACAUAAUUGAGGUAGAAAAUUGAAUUGGUAGCUUGGUUAAUAUAUGAAUGAAUUGAAUAGAUAUUUGGAGAAUAGUACUCUAAAAUGUGCUCGUGAUAUGGAACUUAUAUGUUUAUUAAGUGCAAAGUUGAAUGUAUUGAAGUUGAAAGACAUGUUUUUGAUAGUUUUGGCAUAGGUGAAGUUGUAAUGGAAUGUAUAAAAUGUCAUGAUUUGGUUUUGAAUUGAUUUACGUCAUGGUAGAUUUGGAUCUAGUUAAAAUUGGUUUAGAAACUUGUUGGCAUGAAAUGACAUGAAUUUCUCUUGAUGAUGAUUGUAUAAUAUGGCUUGUUUCAAAUAGGUAAAGUGUAUGACUUGAAUUGGGAUCAAAUGAUUCAUUUUUGCCAAAAAUAGGGGUCACGUCUUGAUGACCAACCUACUUCGUCGCGAUUUCGCGUCGCAACGUCGGCCAAUAGUAAGCGACGUCGCGACGUUGAGUGGCCUGAGAUCAUAACGUGACCUACUAUUUUGGCGACGUCACGACGUGGAAGAGAUGACAUUGUAAUGUCGGCCUUGAACUUCUAAAAUUUUACAAUUUGGUCCUAAUUCGUACUCGGGCUGACAAAACAGCUUUCGUAAACUCGAUUAAGACUCAUAAUUGAUUGUUUAACAUUAAUUGAAUGUGAUUGACACUUAAUUGCAUGUGUGAAUGAUUUUUUUUAAUGCGUAUUCGACUAUAAUUACUCCGAAAACAAAAGUGACACUCCAUAACUCGGACCUGACGAUCAGGUCGGGUGAAGGGUGUUACAAGCCUCCUCCUGCACUGGAUUUCCACUGCCUUAACCUCAGCCAUAUCCACGAUUGGUUUGCUUAAAAGCAUCAUCUUUUUUCUUUAUUAUAUGAAACUUGAUCUGUCUAUAUUAACUUUGAUAAAAUUAUAUAUUUAAUUCAUAUACUUUAAAAAUUAAAUGUUUUUUUCUCUUUUUUUAUUUAAAUCAUUAGAAUUAAUAAUAUUUUACUCAAAAUUUUCUAAGUUCAAAUAUUUAUUUUUUGUCAAUCACAUACCUUAUUAUAUAUGAAAAUAGCCUAAUUAACAUACUAAGUUAAAAAAAAAAUUUAACAAUAGAUACGACUAGAGGUGAUCAUGGGUUGGGCUAACCGAUCUGGUCCGAUGGCCAGCCCGAAAAAUGGGAGGUUCGAGUAAAAAUAUAGGCCUGAAAUAUGGAUUUGGGUAAAAAUAUGAGGCCCGUUUCGGGCCUUGGGUAAAUUUUUUUUGGCCCAGGCCCGGCUCGAAUUAUAUAUUAAAUAUAUAUAUAUUUUUAUUUUUAAUCAAAUAUAUAUAUUUUAUAUAUAUUUAAUAUGGGUCGGGUCGGGCCAGACUCGGGCUUAACAAUUUUCUUUCGGGUCGGGCCUAAAAUUUUGUCUGGACUCGGCCCGGCCCAUGAUCACCUCUAGAUACGACUGAUGUUCAUGAUUGAACGAGAAAUUUUGAAUUGAAAAAAAAAGAGUAUCUAAAUUUUAAUUUUUUAAAUAUAAAAACUAAAUUUCAAAUUCUAUCAGAGUGCAAGGACUGAUAGAAAAUUUUAACCAAUUCAUAACACCGAACCCAUACACCUAAGGGUGAGCAAAAUUCGAUUCAAUUCGAAAAAAUAAAAAAAAUUCAAAUUUCGAGUUAAUCGAAUCAAGUUAUUCGAGUUAUUCGAGUAAACUCGAAUAAGAAAUUUCGGAUUUCGAGUUCGAGUCGAUUUGAAUUUUUACAAUUCGAAUAACUCGAAUCAUUCGAAUAAUAGAUUAGUAUAAAUACCGUUUUGGUCUCUGUCAAUUUUGAAAAUAAGCAAAUUCGUCUCUCUUAACAAAAAUUACAAAAAAAAAAUCAAAGUAAUUUUCAAAUUUUGAAAAUAAUUUUGAAAAUUCAAAAUAUUUAUAGAAAUUCUAAUAUUUAUAUUUUUUAAAAAUUAUAAAUUUAAAAAAAACUAAAAAAUAUAAAAAAAUUAAUAAAAUAAUAAUUUUGGAAUUUAAAUAAGUGAUUAAUGAUUCAAAUUUAUCAUACUAAAAUAUCUUAUUUUUUAUUAUUUUGCUUAAAAAAAUUCAAAUAUAUUUUGUUUCAAAUUUUUGUGUUCUAAUACGAAAAUAGUUAUAUUGUACAAUAUUUUAAUUUAACAUUAUUAAUUUUUCUAAUUUAACUCAAAUGGUUUCACUCAAUUCAAUCUAGCGCUCACCCCUAAUUCGAGUUAUCUAAAAAUUCAAAUAAAAAAAGACAAAAUUAUGUCGUUUUGAUAAAUAUUUAUUUUUUUCUAAAGUUAAAAGUCAAAACUAUUAAGUUAAAAGGCAAAAUUACGUUGUUUUGAUAAAUGUUUACUCAUUAGUUUUACUUCCCUUCCGGAAUCGCCUCAUUCUUCUUCUUUUUUUCUUUUACUCAAAAUUAAUCUAAAAGCUUGUACUUUGUCUACUUAUAAAAUAAUCGAUCUAUGUAAAUGGAACAUUGAGUAUAAAUAAUAAUAUUCGUUAAUUCGACUCGACUAGAAAUUAUUUGAAUUGAUUCGAAAAAAAUUCAAAUUGAAUUCAAUUAGAAAAUAGGAUUUGACUCUAGUGUAAUAUCCACCACUUUAAAUAUGUACCUAUAGUAACCAUAUUUCCAUUGAUCUAGAAACGGAAACAUGGAAAAGUCCCGCAAAUGGUGUUUCUGGAGGAAACCGAAAAUAAAAGCAACCCCUCCAAUGCCCAUAAUCUUAUUGCUGCUCUUAAGCAUAUUUGAAACAGGAAUUAGUUCGACAGCUGAUCAUUUUAAGGUAGAUGGGAAAGUGUUGGAGUUAGACGAAUCCAACUUUGACUUAGCUAUUUCAUCUCUCAAUUACAUCCUCGUUGACUUCUACGCCCCUUGGUGUCGCCACUGCAAGCUCCUUUCCCCCCAGGUUUCAUAUUCUUCAUCCAAUUCUUGUAUGGUUUUUUAGAUAUCAUUUCGUUUUUGUUUUUUAAAGUUCAAUUGAAUUGGUUUGAUUCUAAUCAUAUUUGGUAGCUUUAUUUCCUUUUCUUUUUGGUUUUUAAUGUCCCAUAAUUGUUGUACCAAUAAACUAAAAUUGCUUAUUUGCCUUUUCUGCAUCGCAGUUAGAUGAAGCUGCUCCUGUUCUUGCAGGAUUGAAGGAGCCAAUAGUGAUAGCCAAAGUUAAUGCUGACAAAUUUACCCGUCUUGCUAGUAAACAUGAUGUUGAGUAAGCGUCUAUGACACUUUUGUUUUAUAAGGUGGAUUAGAAAUAAAAUUUCCAAAAUUUGUUAUGCAUUUGGUUUGCAGAAAUGUCUUUAUGUAGUGUUGGCAAUCGAAAUGAAAACUGAGAAACUGUUUCAGCAAUUCUUUGCUUUGGGAAUAAUAGACUUUUAAGUAAAAACCCUUUGUUAACUGUAAUAAAUUAUUUAUUUUUAUGCAUUUCUUUCUAUUUUUUGCAAUGCAUGUCCGUUGAUGCCUUUAAUACAUAAUCACAGAACAUGAAUGAUCUGUUUGUAUAAAGAAAGCAUAAACCUCAGGCUAGGCCAUUAUUGUCUUCACUUUUAAGAUUUAUAGUAAAAAUUGGAAUUUGCAGUGCCUACCCCACCCUCAAGCUGUUUAUGCAUGGUGUUUCUAUGGAGUAUUAUGGACCAAGGAAAGCGGAUUCACUUGUUCAAUAUCUGAAGAAAUUUGUUUCUACCGAUGUGUCUAUUCUUAUCUCAGACUCUGCCAUUAGUGAUUUUGUUGAAGAAGCCGGUACUUUCUUUCCUAUAUUCAUAGGGUUUGACUUGAAUGAGACAGUGCUUUCUAACUUAGCUGUUAAGUACAAGAAAAGGGCAUGGUUUUCUGUGGCAAAGGAUUUCUCUGAUGAAGCCAAGGUAUUGUAUGACAUGGAAAAGUUUCCUGCUUUGGUAGCUAUUCAUCCGAAUUAUAAGCAACAAAGCAUUUUCUACGGCCCUUUUGAAGGUUAGUUUAUUAUCAAGUGUCUUUUAUCUAGGUUAGCAUUCAACAAUGCAUUUCAAGUGCCUUUCAAAUAUUACAGUCAUGUCACAUCGCUUAUCUUUUAUCAUGCACAAUCGACUGUGGUAUUAACUAUGGGUGUUGCCAUUUCUUUAUGUUUUUGCAUACGAGUACUUAUAAAUUUGAUGAUAGAAAUUUGUUUUGUGGUGGAUCAUAGGAAGGUAGUUGAGUUCUUAUUCAUCUUUUUGGGGUUUUACAUAAUAUUCUUUACCUUCUAUAUUUUUUUUGUUUUAAUCAGACAACUUGAUCUGGUAUUUCCCAUGUAAGGCUUAGGAACUGUGGAAAAAAUAAAUUUUGUUUAUUAAAGGAUUUGGUGGAGUUACCUGACCUAUUGUAAUUUUAAAAUUUUUGGGUAGAUUUUACUUGAACCUGGAAGGCAACUUGAUAGGAUAACUGUAACACGAGCCAAUUGUGAUAUUUAUGGUGUGAAAUGUGGAAAUAGAAGAAAGUAUGACAAAAAUUUUGUACAGUUGAGUGUUUUUCAUAUAAAAGAAAGUAGAUUAAAGGGAAAUUAUAGUCAUAUGGAAAGGGUAUUGUGGAUUAGAUUAAUGAUACAUGGGGUUUGUUGAUGGCAUGUCACAUUGUUGUAUAGGUUUGUCGAUGUGGAGAAGGAUCUGACCCUAGUAAAAUGAAGGGAAAAAAAUGCUAAAAACAUCUCUUUGAUUAUAACAUUGAAGAAUAAUCUUAUAGUGAUUUAUUGUUAUUAUGAACUUAUGAGCUUUAGGAUGCGCAACUUGUAGGAGAAAAGAAAAAGAGAAGGAACUAUUAGAAUGCUACUGAAAAUGAUGGAUGAGUGGGCAUACAAGGUAAGUCUAGAUAGUGUUGAGCUGUAGCAUAUUUCCAUGUUCUUGCAGCGAUUGUUUGGUUUGUGUUUAUUGGCAUUAUCCAUAGGAUUUCUACUACCCACUAGAAGUAAGGCUCCUGUUUCAUCUGCUUUGCAUGCUCAGAUAGUGGCAUUUAGUUAUUUCAGUUUGUCUGGGACUCAGAAGGUUUAAUUUAUUGUAUUCUUGACAAGGCUUUCAUUUAAAGGCAUAUAUUUUUCUGUGUCUUUUCUUUUUUACAUUGGUUACUAAAUGCAUGGUAGUCAAACUCAAGCAUUCUGAAUCAAAUAAAUCAUAAAUGAGGAUAUAGCAGAGAGAUGGCUAAUUUGCUUUUCAAUCUGUAAAUUUUCUGUCUGCAAAAGAAAAAGAAAUCUAACCUUUCAGCUUCAAUCAUGCAGGUGAAUUUUUGGAGGAUUUUAUAAAACAGAAUUUUCUCCCUCCAGUGGUGCCCUUGAACCAUGAGACAUUGAAGCUAUUGAAAGAUGAAAAGAGAAAAAUUGUCUUAACCAUCACUGCGGAUGAGAAUGAAGACCAAACACAGAACUUGAUCAAGUUAUUGAAGGCUGCUGCAUCUACAAAUCGUGAUUUAGUGUUUGGUUAUUUUGGGCUUAAGCAAUGGGAAGACUUUGCUGAUAAAUUUGAAGCUAAUGAGAAGAUGAAGUUACCAAAAAUUAUUGUCUGGGAUGGAGAUGAGGACUACUUUUCUGUAAGUAUUAAUUCUUCACAUAUUAUAGUUCAACUCUAAAUCCAAGAUUUAGUGCCUCUAAUGGUAGUGAUUAGCUUGUUUUCUUCUUAUCUUAGCAUAAUUUAUCAUCAGGGCAAUGAUUCUUAUAUGGUCAUCUUGAUUUUGAUCAUUGAGCAUGGCCAUCUUAAUCAUAAUUAGCUACUGGAUAUUGUGAAUACAUUUUGAUGUUUAUGAUUAUAUACAAGGGAAAAAGCUAAAAUUGAUCCUUCAGCUAAGUGUAUUAUUUUCAAAUCUAGUCCCAUAACCCUGAGCUUUUACAAUCAAAGUAUUCGAACUCUUGAUAAGGGACCAAUUUACUCCAUUUUCUGUCACAAUUAUUUGAGUGCUAUUUGGGUGUCUGAAACAAAUGUUAAAUAAUUCAAUUGCAACUGUAGUCAACCUAAAGCCUAAAUCUUGAUCCAAGUCUAACCUAAAGAUUAUAAGCUCAAAUCUUAUGUUCUUGAGAAAAGAAAAUCUUGAGUGCCAAUCUCUAUUGCUACAUUUUCCUUGUACUGCCUUUUUUCUCUCAAUGUGGUCUAAUUUUCCAUCCUCAAGAUUAGUGACUGUUCACCUGCUCUGAUGCUGAAAUUGAGUUUAAUUGUUAUAUUUGUUGAGAAACUGAAACAUUUUCAGAGCAGCAGUGACUGAGGUUAAGUAGAGGGUAGAAAUUAAGGGAAGUGCGCUGAGGAGAGAAGGACCAUAAACAUAAGUUUGAAAGGAGGAAAAUAAAGUAAAAAAGAAGAAGUGCCGUUAUCACUUGAGAAGUGAUAUAUGUUGGUGCCAAAAAAGAGGAAAUGAAAAGACUGAGGUGAAAUAAUGGACUAUUAUCAUGCUAGAGCUUAAUGCGUUAUGGUUUUGGGUAGCAAUGUAAGUGAACUGAUGCAUUUUCUUGACAGGUCAUAAAUAGUCUUAGUUUUGGGUUUUUCUUGUUUAUUUAUUCAACUAAACAAAUGAGUUCAAAUAUAUCUUUUCAGAAUGAGUUUUUAGUUGAGUUGGAGCUUCAAACAUGGGUGAGCUUCACUGGUAUACAUUCUUGAAUAGACAUGUUCUUAACAUGUUUAGCUGCUAGUUUUUUAGUGUUUAAUCAUUCAAAUUAAUAUUGUUGAGCCUUGUUGAGAACUUAUUUAAAAAGAUUACAGUAUACAUGACAGUAUUAGGUUUUUCUUUUUUGGCUAUCGAUUCCCCUGCUUUUCAGACUUGGUAAUUGGGUAUGAGUGUCAGACAUGGAUGUGUCCUUCAUGGUUACAAUCAAUUUUUUUCCCCUAAGUUUAUUCAUGUAUAGGGAGGGUUAUAUCUCCAUACCCGUGUUCGAAUAUUUGUUGAAAACGUGUUUUGGACACAAGUACUUCAAGAAAAGGAUGAGGCCUAACAACAUAGGAUGCUCUAGUUCCCACUCUUAGGGUGGUGUUGAAUUUGGAAAAUCAUAGAAUUGACUGUUAUAUGCCAGAUUAUUCAUGGAUAUAUGUCAAAUGCAACCUAGUACUUAAACUUGGAAUUUUUAUAAACUGUUUACCGUUAUCAAUCAAGCAUACUUCAUUAUUUGAUGACAAAGGUAAUUUUAUUGAUCUUAGAACUUUACAUGGUAAAAUUAGAUUGUCUUCAAACAAAUCUAUUUAAAGUUUACCACUUUAUCUAGUUAUUGAAGAACACCUAAUGCUUUUGGUACUGAAACAUCAAAAGCAAUUUAACCCUAUUAUCUUUUCCUGAUAGAAAAAAAGAAGCAAUCCUAUAAGUCAGUAUAGAUCUUAUCAUGCAUCUUUCUAAUUCUUUAAAGUGUAUUAACCCUUUCUUUAACUCUUAUUCUAUACCGGAUCUGUCACUAAGUGUCAGAAAAUGGAACUGAGCUCGAUAAUUAAAGAAAGAGCAGGAAAGUGUUUGCAUGCAAACUUUAAUCACUCUUUCUUGAAUUCACUAUCCCUACAUCUUUUGAUCCCAUACAAUUGUUUCUAAAAGCGAUACAAUUAUUCAUCCAGGAAGAAAUAUAAUUGUUGCAUUUUGGUGGUUAUUCCUUUAUGUCUCAACAUGGUUAUUUCUUGCAUUUUAAAAGCAAAAUUGCAGAUUAGCUGACGUGCUACAUUUUGUUGAUAUGCUAGGUUAUUGGUAUUGAAAGCCUUAAUAAUGAGGAUCAGGGGUCUCAAAUCUCACAAUUCCUUGAAGGGUAUAGACAAGGAAGGACAGAAAAGAAAACAGUCAAAGCUCCAUUAUUUAUGGGCUUCUUCAACUCAGUAGUUGGCAUUGUAGCUUUCUUUAUAAUUUUCAUUGUCGUUGCGAUGAUGAUAUUGAUGGUUGUACUACUAAUCAUUAUUAGUAAAGACAAUGAACCUGUCAGGGUUGGCAGUCGUGAAGAGGUUGAUCGUGCUGACAACUCCGAGGCCGAAAGCAGUCAGCAUGGACCUGGGAAGAAAGAAGAUUAAAUCAAGGUAUAGUAAGAAAAGGAUUUUAAAAAUGACGUAGGCAAUAGAGUUGCAGAGAGGGAGACAAAUAUGUUACCAAUGCUCUGUUAAAAUCAAUGAUAUGCUCACUGCAAGGCGCCUUGUUUCAAGAAAUCAAGCAUUCAAGGGCAAGUAAUAUAGAUAGUUUGGUUCAUCAUGAUUCCUUUUUCUUUCCUUUAAACACUUUUUUCCCUUGAUUUUCAUUGCUCUGCAAUUUUUAUUCAGUAUUUUUUUUUGGGGGGGGGGGUGAGGGAUAAGUUCUUAGCGUUUUCAUUAUCAAAGAAAGCAGUUAGACUGCUAAAAUCAAGUAGUUUCAGAAGAAUAUGUAUAGAGUCUGCCAUUCUCAUUCUUUAAUCCUUGAUAAAUGAAUGCACAAAAACCAUUGCUUUAGGAUAAUCAAAUAGUAUAUCGGUGGAUAUGUUAAUUUUGUCUUGGUAUUGGUAUAUGGUGCUAAUAAUAUGUUUUUGCAUUAUCAUUUUGAUUUUUUUUCCCCAAAUUUUCAUGUAUAUAGGUUAUUUUCAAUUUCUCUGGUAAUAUAUAUGGUAUACACAUACAAAUAUAUUUUUCUUUACUGUAAACAUUAGUAUUCCAUUAUCGGGAAAAAAAACAUAAGCAUUCAAAUUUUAUAUCUAGGAUAAGCAAAAUAAACAUAAAAUAUUAUAUAUAUAUAUGUAUAGUUUUAUGUAACCAUUUAACAUAAAACAAGUUGACAGUAGUAAGUUACAAAGAUCUAAGGGCACAUCUGGGGGAUAUAAGGGCCGACCACAGCCUCCAACAGAUUCACGAGCCAUGACAUUAUUGUCAGUUAACAGUGAAAGCAUUUUGAGUUUGUAUUAUUUCUUGAGUCCAUAAUUUUAGUGAUGUAUUUAUAGAUUACGGACCAAUAUGUAAGGGUUUAAUCUUUAACCCUUGUGGUAUUUUUACUAACGCUAAAAUAGAAGAGUUUAAACCAUUAGUUUAUUUGGAUAAAAUAAAUAAAUAAUAGCUUCAACCAUUUCCCAUUCGAAAAUAAAUUAAAGAUUACUAUAUGGUUUAUUGUUAAUAUAAUUUUCAAACUUCAUAAAAGACUGGCAUCUACCUCUAAAUCUUGAUGUUAAACUAAAAUGACUUAGAACUCAAUUAAGUGCUAAAUCCAACUAGCCCCACCCCAAAUUGCUCAAAAAUGUCUACUUAAAAUAAACUAAACUUGGAAGUGUUGAAUAUGAAAUAAUUCAAACUCUGCGAGAUAUAAAAAGUAAUAUGAUGUUUUUUUUCACUAACUACCCUAUAUGAGCUCUUAAUAGUUAAUCCUUUCUCUAAUUUUUUUUUCUAAAAAUCAUUCUUUUUUAUUUUUAGCACAUGCAUAGUUGCAAACAUCCCAAAUACCCCACUUUUUCCUCUAAAUUUUUCGCAGGUAUCAAUAAUUCACAUUAAAGUUAAGAUGAUCUUGCAGGUUAACAUUUAACAACAAUCUCUCCUUUUCUAUUCUCAUUUUCUUCUUCACCAACAAAGCAAGGCAUGCAGCGAUUUCCAAGUGUAAAAAAUGAUGCUAAUAUAAAGACUAAAAUUAGAGAAGCUUAAAUGCGAUACACACAUGAAAAAGAAAUAUAUAUAUAUAUAUAUAUAUAUUAUAUAAAGCUAAUAUAAACAUGACUAACCAUAAGCAUCUACUUAAGUAAUACAUAACUAUAUUCACAAGACUGAUAAAACAAUGUUCACAAUCCUCUUCUCAAAUCACUCACAUUCUCGAAAUCUCAAGUUUGAGUACCUCAAUUAUGUAAAGCAAAAUAUCAUUCGGGGAAAUAAAAAUCAAUUUCAUAAAUCUUAUGUUACAAUGUACAAAUUCAGCAAGUUAAAAUCUGGAUAUUGAAUAACAACACAACCAAUCGUAUCACGAAGGAUUGAAUAAUAAUUUGCUGUAGGUCAUUCCAUUCUACCAAAUGCAGCUCAUAACUACUUUACCUCAUUAACAUUCUGGAAGGGAUUGAGCAGAUGCAAAAGGUGAAAAACUAGCAGCUGACUUGCUACAAUGCAAUGGAUACAGCUGGCGACUGGAAGAUCGGACUAAACUUGGUGACGCGUUGCUUGGGCUUGGAAAAUAUUGGGACAUGUAUCUUGCAUUAAGUGGAGAAAUGGAUGGGUAAUUCAAUGAGGCAGGUGAAGCCAAAUGAGAAGAAACAUUUCUGAGGUCUACUGAGCUUCGGCUAUAGCUCAUGGAAGGAGAAUGACGGUAGGACCUAACUGAUGGCUGAAUAGAUGGAACACUGGCAAGAGAAUGAGCGUGAGAAGCCGGUGGAGAUGUCCAUGCCGCUGUGUCAAUUUGUAUGGAUGAUGAUGAUGCUAUCCGAGAUCUAGCACAUGAUAGCACAGAGGACACUGAGCUUGGGCUGGUUGAAAGCAAUGGUGUACUUUCUGAAGCUGGUAAAUCACCUACGGUGGUUCUUGCAUCUCGCUUGCAAACAGGGCAAAAUGUUCUCCAUGUUGUAAGCCAAGAAUCAAUGCAGAAGGCAUGAAACUCUGUGAAAAUGCCAGGAAAUAUUAAGACAUACAUGCAUAUUAAAAAAUAAUAAUAAAUCAAAAUAAGGUAAACAAAUCAAAUAACUAGUUGAAGAAGCUGUACAGAAGUCAUUGUGAAGGCAAGAAUGAUAGUAAGAGUCUACAUUCACAACUCAUGUUUUGGUGUCCCAAAUAAAACUGGUGAGUAAUAAACAAAAAAACCAUUUUAAAAUUGAUAUUUCCUUUAAAUUUUACUAAAGAAACAUUAAAUUGGGGGAGGGAACAAUAAGGAUAUAAUUUAAGUACUUGUAACCUCAAUACAGUUUGUUUCAUAAAGCAGCCCAUAAAGAAAUGGACAUACACUACAGCAUUUUCAUUAACCUUCUUAGAGAAGCAACGUUUCAUAUUCCUAGAAAUCAUAAUAUAAAACCAAACAACAAAAAAGUAAUGCAGGAUACAGAAGGGUUGGUUUUAAACCUAAAGCAGAGUGGGAAACUGAAAGGUAAGAAGAAAGAAGUCUGAGCUUGACAUGAAGAUUUCAUUAGAAGUCAUGACCUGGCAACUGAAGGAUUAAUACCUAAACCCGGGGUUAGUUAAAUUCAAUCCGAUGAAAGCAUAACAGCUGCUCGAGCUUUCAUGAACUUGAUACUAUUAAUUGGAAGAAGUUAAGACUUCUGGAUAUCCUGAACCCAAAGGACUUUCCGUCAUAGGAUAACAGGAUAUUCACUACUUCCAAGCACAAGGAUCUAAAACUUAGCACAGUGAUGCAAGAGUUGUUUAAUGUUCUUUAUUUAUUCUGUUUUGUGCUUGUUUUUAAUUUGUUUCUAAGUAGUCAAAUGACUACAAUUGAGGCUUAGACUUGAGAUUAGUGGAGCCUUGAAAGAUUGGGCUAAGCUUUAGUAAUAUGCUAAUGACCCUAGUAUGGAUAACCCUAGGGAUUUAUAUUCAAUAUUUGGUAUUUUUUUCAGCCGUAAUAUUAUAUUUUCUGUGUUGAGAGAUUUCUAAACCUUAGAGUACUUCUUUUAUCAUUCCACUACUAUCUCUACCUACUUCUCAACUCUGGCUAUCAUCUAAUACUGCACCAUAUAGCUCUGCGAGCUAGGUGUGAUUCUAUAUUAAUUUGAUAGCAGGUAAAGAUCAAGAACCCCAGAUCUCUUCGGCAUUGGUAUUACUUCUUCUUCUUGCCCUAAUAAAAAAUCACAUCAAAAUUUUAAGAUCUUCCUGACAAUUCAAACAAUUUUUUUAUUCAAGAUAACUAGAGUAGAAGUUAGUGUAGGAAUUAGGAUUAGUCCAACAAUAAAAACAGACCGGGACUAUAUAUUCUCAGCAUUUGAUCUUGCAUCUUAUUCUUACGAAGAUUACCAAGCACUUCCUAAUUUGAAAGUUGUCCUUACAAUUCAAAUAAAUUAUCUUCAAGGAAAAGACAACAGCCAAAGAAGUCAUAGACAUGCUUUUGAAAAUGACAGACGAAUUCGAAUCUCAGACCAACAGAUUUCCUAGACUAAUACUAGUACCUUGAACAUGAUGCCACAUAGUCAUUCAGCAAGAAAGAUCAAUUAGACUAAGAUGGGAAAAGAACAUCUAGCAAAUAGAAUAUUUUUAGCAUAAUCAUCAAAUAGCAUAUUCCCGUCUUUAAACAGAAUGGAAUGUGCAAGUAUCUGAGGACAGCAAACAUGUAUUAUAAGCAGGUGAGUGCAUGUAUGCAUGUGAUCUGUCAUCAAUGGGUAAUUUAGAUUUCUUUAUCUGAGAUUAUAUUUAAGACAAGCAAGUACCAAUUGAUAAUCAGGUUUAAACACUUGGUGGGAUAACUAUAUAUAAGAAUCCAUUUUCCCGUCCAGCUCUAACUUGUGUAUUUUGAGACUUUUUUUAAUGCAAUAAAAAAAAGUAUAAAGAAUCCACUAGCCACAUCAUCUUUAAUUAAUUGAGAAAUAUUCUUUUAUAUGAACAAGGGACAAUCCAUGAUAAGAGAGUUAGAUGAAAUAAAUCCUUCAAGUUUAGGAGUUUAUGAUGAGGAAAGCUAUUCCAAAUUCACAAAGGAGUUCUCUGGCCAAUUUGAAAUGGCUCGGAAGUAAUGUCCCCCCCCCCCCCAAUUUCCCUUUGAGUUUUAAUUUGAAAGAAAUGGAUAAACAAGAAUUGUUAGCAUCUGACACUUCUAACUUAAUCAAAAUAAGCACCAUCCAUCUCCAUUUAAAUUUAAUAUUGCCCUAUAGUAAACAUCAAAAAAUCAUUUAGCUAGAACAGAAAUAAAAUAGCCACCAAAAAAUGUCUCAUGGAAUGGUGGCCUAAUCACCAUGCAACAUACAUGCAAAAAGACUACCACAUUAAAACAAAUAUAAUUAACACAGAAAAAUAGCAAGAAAUGUCAUCCUCGGUAUUGUAAGAAGCUUACUGUGAUGACAUGGAAGAAUCCUGAGCUUCUCUCCAAUGGUAUAAUCUUCAAGACAUACUGCACACGUUCUUGAAGUAGAAUUAUCAUCUAAGACAGCAGUGAAUAUCAAGCUAGGCAUUGCUUUUACUAAACGCCUACUCAUUCCAUGAAAUUCACGAACUCGAGAAGAUCGAGAACGUUCACGCCUAACGUGAUAUCUGCGUACAAAGAAACAAGUCGCGAGCACAGCUGACAUGGCAAGUAGAGAAAUAAAGGAGAUGGCCAUGAUUGACCAUGCUGAGUUUUCAAAAGUUGGGCUUAGCCAUAGCUCGAUAUCAGGAGACCCAGUAUACUUUUUGAGUAUUUCACCAGAAGCUUUGGAAACAAAGACAGCGUGUAUCUUUAUGCCAGCAGCAUUCCCUGCCACUGUAAAUAUAUAUAUUACGAGGAAAAGUUAGAGGCACCAUAUAGAAAAGCAUAAAUGUUGUUCAAGGACAAUAAUAAUGACUCAUAGAAAUAAAUAUAUGCCACAAAGGAAUUACUAAAAGAUAAUAAUAAAUUUGGAACAGAAAAAAGAUAUGCAUAAAUGAACAAUGGAAGCAUGUUUAUAGAUGUGGAUGAAAUAAAUCUUGGUAAAGGUUUGGUCCUAAUUCUCACCCUUCUUGAAAGCCUUCCAUUAUCCAGCAAGAAGAUGCCACUAUACUAUAUAACAUAUCUUUAAUGUCAGCACUCAGUUUAUUUUCAAUAUGCUUAAGCAAACAGUAUCUCCCAGACAGCUUAUUCCAACAUCCAAAAAGCUAUUUGUUGAAGAUGAUUGAGCAAUUACAGGUGUGACUAAUUAAAGCAAUUAUAAUUUGAUUGGUGUAAGAUUUUACUCAGCCAGAAGUAAAUCUAAAGAAGAAAAGAUAUCAGCAUGAUGAGUUUUCAUAGUAAGCUGUUUAAGGGUAAUAUGCACACUGCUUUAAACAAUCACAUAAUACACAAUUGAGUUUUACAUGAAUUAAAAUGAAAAUUCAAAGUUUUUCACACAAGUAAUGCCUCAGAAACAAAACCAAGAGUGGAAUGUUAUCGUGGAGACCAGAUAAAUUGCAGAGUGCCAGAAGAGAAGAUUUCUAUCUAUAAUUUAUGAGAUAACAAAAAUAUGGUGUACUACUACCGACCACCAAUUACACCAAACUAUCAUCCAACAAAUACAUCAAAUACGAACUUAGGAGAAUGCUUAUGGUCAAAAUGUCUGCAAGGGUUAAACAAAUGGUGAGCACUUGAACUGAUGCAAUCAAGACUUAGUAGAAGAUAACGUCAUAAGGCAAUUCAACAGGUUUCAAGAAGCCAACAGGUUACAUACAAUUUACAAUUUAUUUCUACCAGCAUAUUCUGUUAAAGAUCUUCUAGAAUCUAUUGACAACAAAAAAAAGGGUCUAUUAUAUGCAUUUAAAUAGUGCUCCAAUAAUGAUUACUGGCAGUAAAUUGCUUGAAUGGCCCAAGUUUCAUUAUAGAAAACCAAGUAUACCAAAAGUAAAAUAUGCAAUUUCAAUCAUUGAAAAUAAAAAAGGUGAUUUUAAAGAAAUAGGACAUUACUUGCAACCAAGAAACCAUCAUCAUUGUCAUAGACGAUAGCGGCUUCAAAUCCUGCCUUUUGCACUCUCCUUACUUUAUCAUCAAAACUGCACCCUCCUCUAAUAACCAGCGCAAAGGGGGAAGUAAUAUUGGAACCUUUUUCAACUUUAUUACUCAAAUCCGAACAGGCAUCAAGAGGAUUUGCCAAAUAUAAUAUCCCACAUUUUCCUGUCCCUUCAAUUGCCGGAGCUGAAAAGUACCAACCAACAACAAACAUCAAACAAGAAAUCAAUUAUAUUGUCAAUUAAAAUAUGUUAAUCAGACAUAAAUUGCUUCAAUUUGUCAUUAAUGUACAGUUUACAUUAAUAAUAAAUUAAAUCACAUAUUUCUUCAAAUUAAAUAAGUUAAGCACAAUGAACAAAAAAUAUAUAUAUUCAACUUGGAGCUCUCAUAACACCUAAAGAUCCAAUCUUUUUCUUGAAUUUCCAACACUUCGUCAGGAUCCAAACAGGAAAAGCUGAAAACAUAUCUGUAAAGAAAAAAAAAACAAAAUGAGCUUACCGAAAUUAGCCUCAACAUCGUCGAAAGAGAGAGUAGUGUUGUUCCCAAUCAGCACCACACUAGCUGAUGUCAUCCAACAAACACCCAGUAAACAGAGAAACCAUAACAAUAAUACCACAACACCAUUCAUCUUCAUCCAAAAAUUAUUUUUUUUAAAUCCAAAAAUAAUCCUAAAUCUCAGUCGAAAGAAAGAGAUAUGUUUCUGUUGGGGUUUGAGAAGGAAAUGGAUACAUCAGCUUCCAUUAGCGAAAUACAAUGGAUAGAGAAACAGAGCAACAAAAAUAGAAACCCUAAUUCUGCUUCCAAAGUUUGAUGAUUUACAGCAAUUUCCUAUUGCAAUAGAAUUUUGUUUGUUUUUCCUUUUAGCUAUUAAUUCAAACAAAAUCGCAGAAACGAAAUGAUUUUUUAUUUUUUCCUUCCGUUCCAAUUUACAAUCAUCCGAUUACAUGACAGAAAAAUGAGAAAGCGAGAGAGAGAGAGAGUUUUUUUUUUUGGGUACAUAAAGAUAUUAUAUUUUACAUUUGUUAAGAAAAGCUGGGUUUUUUUUUUUUUUUGGAGAGUAAAGCUGUGGCUGUUCAGUUUAAUCAGGGAAGUUUUAGCGUCUUUGCCCGGGAAUUUAAUAAAGUUUUGACCUGUUACACAGGUAAACGGUAGACAUUAUUAUAUUUAAAAUAAAAACUAUAUAAAAUUGUCAUGGUUAAAGAUAUAUUUAUUAUUGGCUUAAUACCUCUCUUGGCCCCUCUAUAUGCUAAAUCAUCACUUGAGUACUUAUACUAUUUUUUAUCAGUUUUGCCCAUGUACUUUACUUUCAUUUGUAUAGCUUGUUACCUCAAUCCAAUUUUCCAUUAAAAAAUUCUUAAAUCAACUAAUGACACGCUGCCAUAUGUCAAAAAAGAAAAAAAUAUUUAAAAUUUUAAAAAAAAUCAUUAAAAUUAGAAAAUUAAAAAAAUCAUAAUUUAUUUCGAAAAUAAUAAAAUAUUUUAGGAUUUAUAAGUAUGUGAAACUUCAAAACAAUUUAAAAAUUUUCAUAAAAUUUUUAAAAAAAUUUGUUUGUUUGGAAUUUAAAGGUUUUUGGAAAAUUUUAGAACUUUAUGGUAGUUUCUGAAAUUUUUAGGUUUUUUCAUUUUUUAUGAAAUUUUUUAUAUUUCUUAAAGAACUUUGAAUUUUUUUACUAAAAGAUACCAUAAAAUUCUUUAAUUUUUGUAUAAAUUUCUAAAAUAUUCUAAAAAGCUAAAAUUGUAAACAAACAAGAUUUUUAAAAUUUUUGAAGCUUUGCAUACUAAUAUAAUUGUCUGAGUUUUAAAAUUUUUAUAAUUGUCUGGGUUUUAAAAUUUUUGGGGUUUUAUUUUUUUUAUGAUUUUGAGUUAGGGUAACUGGAUUACAGAACUAAAAUACGGGGGCCAAACUGCUAAUAAAAAAAGUACAAGAGCCAAACUGAUAAAUAAAAUAGUAUAAGUACUAAAGUGAUAAUUUAACUAUAGUACAAAAGCCAAAAGAGAUAUUAAGCCAUUAUUAUUAUUAUUUUUUAAAAGGAUAAUUAUUAUAAUAGUUUAAUCUUUCCUUUCAGAAAAUUUGGGUUCCUAUAAAAAGAUUAAAUUUAAUAAAUUUUAAAUAUUCAAAAAGGAUUCAUCUUCCAACAUCAGCAUCGUCUGUGGGAUGGUAUUGUUGUGCUCCUCUCACCCUCUCUGCACCAUGUUUUAUUUGUUUCUGUCCAUGCUUUCAGCUCUCAAAUUUUAGAUUUUAUAUGAGUUUUAACAUGAUAUUUUAUUUAUCGUAAUCUCUUUACACUUCAGGUAAUUUCAUUAACCAAAACCCUUUGUAUUUUUAAAUUUUCAUCCAAUUAAGAUGGCAGUUUAAAGGAGAUGAUGGUGUGCCUAAUCCUAUUGGAUAGAUUUAUAAAAUUAAACAUGCACUGAACAUCUUCAACCUCCGAUAUCAGGUGAUGCAAAAAUCCAAGAAUUUAGCACAAAUAAACCACAAGUCAGAAUUUGAUAAAUGGGGAUAAAUUUAAUACGUAAAUAAAGAUGUUAGAUUUAAAUAAAACGAUUGAGUAAUAAUAAAUAAAUAAUAAUAUGAUAGGAUCAAUCUUAUAAAAUCCUUGAAUAAUUUGUAUAAAAGAAGGCCAAUGAUUGAGCUUGAACCCUUGGGAGAACAACUCCUAGAAACAUUGAUUAUCAAGCUUGAUCAGGUUUGAAGCGGAAGACUUGAAAGUGUGAACAAAUACUCAAAACAAAAAUCACUCUUAUUCUUAUAAUAUGUUUAACGUGUACAAUAAAAAAAAGAAAAACUUUCAAAAUUAUUCAAUGAUUAAUAAUAGUAGUAUUCAUUUAUUCAAAAUUUUCAUGUCCUUCCAAGGGCAGCAGCGGAUACUACAAAGUCUAUUUCAAAUAGACACAAAAAUGGGAAGGUUUUUUCUGGACGAAGGUGGAGGCAGCCACGGUAGUGGUGGUGGGAGAAGAGGAAGAGGAAGGUAAAUUUUGAGGAUCAAAUUGAGAUUAUUUGUAAAAUUUAAGGGUUAUUAUUUUAAAAUUAUGACUAAAUCGAUAUAAUAUGUAAAAGUUAAGGGCUAAAUUUGUUAUUAUAUUGAUUUUUUUAAUUGUCACAUUACCCUCCCAUCACAUAUUUAACGGCACUUAAAGGACUAGACUAAAAGAACAAUCACAAUUAGUUGGGUGACCAAAUUAAAAAAUUUUAAUAGCUAAGUGACCAAAAGAAAAGGACAAUAAUUAGGUGAACUAUGGUGUAAUUUAUCCUAAUAUCAUCAUAGCGAGUCCCACAGUACCCUCGUUCAACGCCUGGUAAAAAUAUGAGCAGACAAGUCUUGUGGAACUGGGAAGUGUUAGAUAUUUAUGGAAAGGUGAGAGAUGUUUCAUUUCUUUCAAGCAUCUCAACCACGUAAAAUCUGAGGACAUGACAAAACGGAGAUGUUUAAGGAUAACUGUACUAUUAUUUAGGAAUAAUUAUUUUUUGUCUUCUAAUUUUAUAAAUAAAAAUAUUUUUUUUAUUUUUUUUAACUUUUGAACUUAUAUUACUUAUUAAAUCACUCUAAAAUAAAUAAAUAAAGUUAAAUUUUUGUUAAUUUUACUAAAGUGGCCAUUUACAUGGAUUAUCAUGUGUAUGCCACAUAAAUAAUUAACUAAAUUUAAAAAAUUAAAAUAUUAAAAAAACAUUUUUUUAUAAUUUUCAUACUUUUUAUCUUUUUAAAACCAGUUAGAUUUUUUUUUUUGAAAUUUUAAAAUUUUACCUUUUGUAUAUGGGUUUUAAAUAUGAUUUUUAUUUCUCGUAACCUCUUUUACACUUAGGGUCUGUUUGAUUGCCAGUAAAAUAUUUUCCGUAAAAUGAUUUUUGGAAAAUGUUUUACUUUUCUGUAAAAUGAUUUACUGGAAAAUAUUUUCUGGUGUUUGAUUGAAUCUGUGAAAAAAAUUUUCUGCUGCUUGGCAGAUUUUUUGAAAAUAUUUUUCGGAAAAGUUGUUUUUACAUAUAUUAAUAUAUAUUAAUAAAUUUUUAUAUUUUAAAUUAUUUUUACAUAUAUUGCAAUGAUUUAUUUAUAAUAAUACUCAAUUAUUAAGCUACAAUAUUAAUCGUUAUAAAUUGAAAAAAACUAAUUAAAAAACAAGUAUUGAAUAAUUAAAAAAACAAGUUAUUGGAAAAUCGAUAAACAAAAGCAGUUUUCUACAGGAAAUGAAGGAAGGAAUGAAGGAGGCGAUAGAGAGGAGAGCACGGAAAAUGUCUUACGGAAAUUGAAAGGGUAAGACAUUUUCCCUAAAAUGUAACCCAUUUUCUCUUGUUUUGGAGUUCAUUUUCCAAAUGGAAAAUGUUUUCCGCCAAUCAAACGCUGGAAAAGUUGGAAAUGAUUUUCCGGAAAAUCAAUUCCGUCAAUCAAACAGACCCUUAAUCUUUUACAUAUAUAGGAUAAUUUCACUAACUAAAAUUCUUACCAUAUUAAAUUUUUAUUGAAUCAAGAUACAAUUUUAAAAGAGAUAAUGGUCUACCUCGCUCUAUUUGACAUCAAUUUACCAAACUUUAUGACACAUAUAAAGAUAACUCAAAAUCAAAUCUAAACUAAUUCCUAUAAAUUAAACCUGGAUUACCAACAGUAAAAUGCAAGUUUUACUAUUUUAUCAUCCCAGAAUCUUACAUGGGAUUAAAAAGAAAACAAGUUUAUGAAACAAGCACCCUGCCUUGGCCGUGGUGCUGCCCCUGGUUGGUGACAUAAAGUUUAGGAACAAUGCUUAUGGGCCCAAAAUUCUUUGGGAUUAAGGAUGGUGAGGAGUUUUAUAGACAAUCUUUUGUGGGUUAACCCUUUGGCCUGUCGUAUCCCGGUUAAAGCAAAAUCUAUGAGGAACACUGUUUCAUGUAGGAAGCCUGAUGAGGGUAAAAUGAAGUUCAAAGGUGAUGGCCAAGUUAGGAAGAGCAGUGGAGCUGCUUACUAUAGAUAUCAACAUAGUUGAGUUGAUGAGAUUUAAAACGGCUUUGGAAAUGUGAUGUUUCCGAUGCUUGUGGCUUGAUUUCACUCCAUCAUCGCUUUGAACUACAUCAGCAAAACCAAAGGUUAGACCAUUGAGGCUGUGCCAAACUUGAAGGAGAUGGAUUUCUAGCAUCAAAGAUGCCUUGUUUCAUCAAAAUGGAAUGCAUGUUAACUAUGUUCAAUUAAAAAGAAAAAGAAGAGGUGCAAGGGAAAGAGACUUUUAACCUCCGAUUCAUCUAUAUGUGCGAUUCUGGUUCUGAGCAGAGAAAGAGGUUUGUUUAUGGAAGGCUUUUAAGUCCUCUCCAUCUGAUAUUGGAGUCAAAUACCAUUAAUGCUGGUAACCUAAGUAUGACCUGGUAUACUAGCAAUUUAAAUGCUUGCAUUACAUAAUAAUGACUUAAGUUUAAGCCAGAAAAACAGGGAAAAAAAUGCAGUAACAAUUAUCUAUAUUCCAAAGAAUGUCAUGAAAGUUUAUAUUCUGACACGAGGCAUUGGUUAUUUUGUAGUUUUCUUGUUGGUAUCUCUUCGAGUCUAUUUAAAAAGAAAAAAGAAAAAAAAAGGCUAAACUUAUAAAUUGGUACCUAAAUAUUUCAUUUUUCUCAUUUUGGUACUUAAACAUUUAUUAGGUCAAAUGUUAUCUAAACUAUUUUUUUUUCUUAAGUUGUACCUUGUUAGUUCGAAUGUUAGUCAAAUAAUUAAGUCUAUAUCAAAAAAAAGAUAACCAAUUAAAAAUUAUCAUGUGGUAAAAAAAAAACAAAGUAUUACUUUCUCUUUAUAUAUGUACUUUAUAUUUUCUUUCUUUUUCUUUCUUCUUCCUUAUCUUAGACUUUUUCUACAAGUGUGAGCAUUUCGAGUUUUAUGGUUUUAUCAAGAUUUUUAAAAUUGGAUCAAUGGUUAAACCAGUCAAGCCACUACUUCUUGAUUGAUCGAUUCAUUUGGUUCGAUCAAAUUAAUUAUUAAAAAAUUUAUAAAAAUAAAAAAGAAUGAAAAUAAAGAAAAUUGAUUCAACUAAAUUUUUAGCUCGGUUCAACUGGUUUGUAUCGACUCGCGGGUCAACCAAUUCAACGCUAUCUUCAUACCAGUACCUCGAUUGAUUCUCGGUUCAAUCAAUUGAUUCUGUUCAGUUUUGAAAACAUUGGUUUUGAUUAACGAAAGAAUUUUUUCAAUCCCGUCAAGUUGAGCAAGCAAGAAGUGAAGUUCGAAAACAAUAUUAAUCGCUAGUGUCUCAAUCUCAGGAGAGCAAAUUUCGAGCAUUACUAACAUUGUCAAAUAUUUUAAAGGAAUAAGAAAAAAAAGAAAAAAAAAGAAUUAUUUUUUAAAAAAGUUUUUAUGAAGUGGCGGCCUAUUAUUGGUUGGAAUUUUUUUAAUAGAUUUAACGUUUUAGUCUUUGCCAACAACUUCUUAAUUUAGUGGCAAGAGUAUUACGAAUAGUUUAUGUACCAAUUUAAAAAAAAUGAUAUAAUUUAAGUAAUAAUUGGUGGAUUCAACAUUUUUUAAAUAAAUUUAAUAGUUUGAUUAAAAGUUAAAUUAAUGAAUGUACAAACUUGAAAAACACAAGUUGCUUAGAUACCAUUUAUAAAAAAAAAAAAAAGAGAAUUAAAUAGUAAAAUAAGAAAAAAAAUUACUUUAAAUACCAAUUUAUAAAUUAAACCUAGAGAAGAAUCCCAAAAUGUUUAUGUUUUGGUGGGCUUGGGCUUUAAUUCUGUUGUUGUUAAUUAAGAAGCAUCGUUACCUUAAAAAAAUUAAUUAAUUAAGAAGCGACUUAAAUGAGCUACGACAAUAUUUGUUUACUCGUCUACAUGAGAUUAAUCUAUAAACUAUAUAUAAAAGGAAUUUACAUGAUAUAUAUUAAAGUUAAAAGAUUUUUUUUUAAAAUAUUAAGAUGAUGGUUAAAUUUUAAUUUUGAUGUUUUUAUUUUAAUAGUAGAAUUUUAACUUUGGUUUUUAUAUCAUGUUUAAAAUUUAAUCUUUAUAUUUUAAUUUUUUUUAUAUAAUUUUGGUAUCUCAAUUUUUGUAAUGUGACGUGUUCCUUACAUGACACGCGUCAAAGUCUCUUUUUUUUUGUAAUAGUAUCAUAAAAGGUCCUAUACUAGGAGUUAGAUUACAUUUUACUCAUUCUACAUAAAAAAAGGCAAAUUAGUCCAUAUAGGUUUGAUCAAAGAGCAAAUUGGUCCUUUUAGUUAAAAUUUUCAUUCAUUUGUACUAUUAAAAACUGACGUAGCUGAUGGAAUAAUCAAACAAUAAUAUGUAGCGUGCCAUGUGUACCACAUGCUAACAUAUAAGGACCAAAUUUUAACAACAGAAUUGGAUGAAAUUUUUAAUAGAAGGGCCAAUUUGCUCUUUGAUCUAAUGUACGUGGACUAUAUUGCCCAUUUUUUAGUAGAGGUGGCAAAAUACAAUCUGACUCCUAGUACAGGGGCCUCCAUAGUACUUUUACCGUCUUUUCUUUUUUAUUACUUUAUAAGAUAAUGGUCAUGUUUUAAUUUUGAUCCCUUUACUUCUUUUUUUAAGAUUAUAUAACAAUAGUCAAUUUUCAAUUUUGAUCUCAGCUCAAAUUUAAGAUUUAAUAUAUAUACUUUAAUUUUUGUGGCAUAUUUGACACCUCAACUUUUACAAUGCUAUUAGUUAAUCUAAAUAUUUUAUUCUAAUUAAAAUGUUGACGUGAAUUUUGAUUUAAUAAUUAGAUCAAAUGGUAACAUGAUUAUAAAAAUUAUAUUUCAGAAAAGGAGUUCCAUUCAAAUUUAAGAAUACCUUAAGUAUUAAUACAUGCAUGGAAAUUGUUUACUUCACUGAUAAUAGCAUUUCUUCUUAAUUAUUAAUUAUAUUUGGGGAAUUUGUUAUUUAUAUUUAUAUAAAGAGAUUCUUUACAUUAAAAGAAUUAAAUAUGUUUGUAAUGAUAGAAUUAAGUGGAGGGCUAUCAAAAUCUAUAAUCCUAGUAUUUAGCUUUUCUUAAGAGGAUUGCUUUGAGUGCAAAAAAAAGAAAGAAAAAUGUGUAUUUUAAUGGACAAAAUCAAUAAAAAGGUGAAAUUUGAAGCUUAAUAUGCAUGAUUUAAAAAUAGUUGUAGAAGCCAAAGAUUUCAUAUAAUAUAAAGACAAACCAAAAUUGCAAACUUUGGUAUUUCAAAUCCAAUUGAAUAAAAUAUAAUGAAGCUUUGGAUAGAAAUGAUGUGUUUUACAUUCAACUUCAUCAGUGAAGUUAAAGAAUUUAAAUAAAAUAUAUAUGGGAUUUGGAGCGAUAUGUAGCAUAUUAAAUACUUAAAUGAAAAUUUUUAUUUAAUUAAUUUUAUUUUAAAUUUAUUAUACUUAAUAAAUAUAUAUUUCCAAAUUGAAAAUUAUUCUACAGCUAUUUUAUUUUUGCUUAACUGAGAAAUGGUAAGUACCUUCAUGCCUUGUGUAGAAGCCCAAAUUUGUUGGGCCCAGUAUCUAAACCAGAGACCCAAUAACAAUGGCCCAAAAUAACCAGGCCCAAAAUAACCAGGCCCAAAAAAAUCAACUUUCAGCAAACCCUAGUGGCCUCCCUGAGCCCUAGCGCCAUCUGCCCAAGUCCCUUGGCACCGCACGUUCCCUGGUCGGCCUUUAGCGCCACCACCGCUCGACUCACCAAUCGACGACUUUGUGUCUGCCUCGUCACAUCAGUCGCCUGCAAAACAGAGAACACACGCAACAGAGAAACAACAAAAAGGAAACAACAACAUGCAGAACGACAAACGAACGAUCCAAGGCACAAAACGUCAAAAUAGAAAUCUAGGGAUUUUUUAAAUCGGUUAUAUAAACCGAAAUCGGAACUGUAAUGCUUCUUCUUCGAUUUUCCUUGUAACGAACACACAUAUAUUGAAAUCAAAAAAUCGAGAUUAAGAAAAAGGUUUUUUGAACUGCUUUUCUCUUCAUUUUCUUAAAUUUUUUUGUGUAUAUAUUUAUUUCUUUUAUUUUUAUUUUAUUUUUUCGCGAAUCGAUUCUAAACAAAAAAUAAUCAAAAAAUAAAAGGAAAGAAACCACCUGAAUCGGCCCCUGAAGCCGUCGUCGUCGUCGGCCCUUCGCCGUCGUCAGACGCAAGUUUAGAUAGGGGCCCGAAGCUUUUCUUUUUCCCGUCGUUUCCCCCCGUUCCUUGGCCUCGAUCUCUGAGUGCGCUUCAACGCGCGGCCUGAAGGCGCCCUUGCAUGGCUCCGGCCACCGGGCAGGGGAAGGCGUGACGGCGGCGGGCCUGGAACCCUAGCAGAGAAAAGGGAUUUCCCUUUUCAUUUUUUUUCUUGCGUUCUUUGCAGAGAAUGAAGCAGCAGAAAAUAAAGCAAAAUUUUAGCCUUUAUUGUGAUUGCAAUACGGCGCCGUUUAAGGGGGAGAUUGCGCAUUUUUGCCCUGAUGGGUAAUUUAUGAAUUUAGUCCCUCCGUUUUGCGCUGAAGCGCAAUCCAACUUUCUGCUUCUUUUAGAUUUGGG